CGUUUCACGCCACAGGUUUCAAUUACCGUAAUGCAAAGGUUGCGAGCUCUUCAAUUUAGGGAAUCUGGUUCACCUAUUAUGACUCUUUAUAGCGAGGCAAAAUGGUUACGCCUGUUGGAUUUACAUGAUUCCAAAAUUUCUAUGUUGNAAAGCAUUGGCGCGUGCGUUCCGGCCCCCACCAUAAUUAUUGGAGACACAGCACAAUAAUUGGAGCAAUCAUCUUCCACUGGUGGAGGAGCAUCCCCUUAUCAUCCUCUGCUUCUCUGUAGUAGGACGUUCGUAUUGAGAAGGAUUAGGCAGCAGCACGCGCGCGCGAUGGCGGAGGGGAUCGCAUUCGAAUUGGUGACGGGAGUGCUGGGCAAGCUGGGCUCCGCUCUCGGGGACGAAAUCGGGCUGCUGCGGAGCUUCAAGGACGACGCGGACGACCUCCGAAGCAACUUCUCUGCGAUCCAGGCGGUGCUUCUCGACGCCGAGGAGCGAAGCAGCGCUGGGAAGGAGAGCCACGCUCUGCGCGACUGGCUGCGCAAACUGAAGGACGCCGCCUACGACGCCGACGACCUGCUGGACGAGAUCCGGACGCAACAGCAGUACCCCGAGGUGCAGAAUCAUCAACACCAGCCAGCUGGAAAGGUACGUGGAUUUCUGUCCCGCGCUAAUCCGAUGCAUCUGAAGUUUAAGGUCAAGAUGGCGCACAGGAUGAAAGCGCUCAGAGAAAAGAUCGGUAAGAUCGCGAAACAGAGGCAUGAUUUCGGUCUUGCCGAAGCUGGCCCUCUUGGACAGGCUGAGUUCAAGCGCCCUGAGACAUUCUCGGUCGUCGACGAAAAGACAAUAGUGGGGAGAGAUGGUGAUAAAGAGGAAAUUGUGAACCUUCUCCUAGAGACUAACAGCGAUCACGACGUGUCGGUCAUUCCGAUCGUGGGAUUGGGGGGAUUGGGGAAGACGACGCUUGCUCAGCUGGCCUACAACGACGAGCGGGUUACGGACGAGCUGGUUACGGGCCAGAAGCGCUUUGAUCUACGGGUGUGGGUCUGCGUGUCUACCGAUUUCCACAUGAAGACGAUUGCAAAGCCGGUGAUAUCUGCAGCUGGAGAAAAUUGUGCUCUUGAUAACUCGGAUGCCGUUGCCACUUGCCUUGUCAGGAUCUUUAGCCAGAAGAGAUUUUUGCUGGUGCUGGAUGAUGUAUGGAACGAAGAUCAGAAUAAGUGGAAGGAAUUGAAUGUUGUAUUUAAGAACAGCAAGAAGGGAAGUAAAGUCUUAGUGACCACGCGGAGCGAAAAGGUUGCCGAGAUAAUGAAAACAGUCAAACCGCACCGUGUGAAAGGCUUAUCAGAUGAUGAUUGUUGGACAUUGUUCAAAAGACGGGUAUUCGAUGAUGGGGAAGAGAACUACUAUCCGAGUUUGGUCGCAAUCGGAAAGCAGAUAGUUAAGAAGUGCGGCGGUGUGCCGUUAGCAGCAAAUGCUUUAGGAAGUAUGAUGCGCUUUAAGAGCAGGACAGAGGAUGCAUGGUCCGCUAUUAGAGAUAGCGAAAUUUGGAGUCUGAAAGAAGAGAAAACUAUUUUACCAUCGUUAAAGUUGAGCUACAUUCAGAUGCCGUCGGCUUUGAAGCAGUGCUUUUGUGACGCCCCAACUUCCCAGGAGGUCACCCAUCCUAGGACUACUCCCGUCCUAGCACGCUUAACUCUCUUAACCUCUUAGGCCUUGCUACCACCCAAAAUGCUUAAGCUGGGUUAAGAGUUUAGCCCUAUUAUAUCUUGUAUAUAGGACUACCCGGGGUCUCACAGCUUUGCUUACUGCUCCAUAUUCCCCAAAGACUAUGAGAUUGACAAGGAUGACUUGAUCCGGCAAUGGAUUGCUUUAGGCUUCAUUUCAUCGCAUGAAACAUGGACUUCGACGGAAGAUAUUGGGAAUGAGUACUUUAACAAUCUAUUAUGGAUGUCUUUCCUUCAAGACGUGAAGGAAAAUUAUAGAAAGGUUACCACCUGUCGGAUGCAUGAUUUAGUGCACGACCUCGCACAAUCUGUAGCAAGAGAAGAAGUUGCUGCUAUAGUUGGAAAAGAGUCAACAGGGUUCCCGGAAGGUUGUCGCUAUGCAUCAAUACACAGUAGUUUCAUGCCACAGAUUCCAACCACAGUAGUGCGGAGGUUGCGAGCUCUUCAAUUUAGGAAAUCUGGUUCACUUAUUAUGGAUUUUUAUAGCGAUGCAAAAUGCUUAUGCCUGUUGGAUUUACAUGGUUCCAAAAUUUCUAUGCUGCCAAGCUCAAUCGGUAAGUUGAAGCUCAUANUAAGAUACCUCAACCUUUCGAAGAACAGUAUACAAGAAUUGCCUGAAUCAACUACCAGCCUCUGCAACUUGCAAACCUUGAAUCUUUCACGCUGCCGCGAGAUCCGUACAUUACCCAAAUUUCUAGGAAGGCUUACGAAUUUGCGGAUUUUAGAUUUAGGAGGUUGCCUAUCUCUGACAAUACUGGACUCCAUUAGCAACCUUCAGAAUUUGUACACACUAGAUUUGAGUUGGUGCCAAAAGGUGAUAUCACUUGAACCUAUAUGUCACCUCAAAAACCUGCAUGACUUAAACCUAUCAUGUCUAAAAUCUUUGGUGGCAUUACCUGAAUCCAUUGGGAGCCUUCAAAACUUGCGUAUUCUGAACCUUUCUUGGUGCUAUUCCCUACUAUCAUUACCCUCAUCGUUAUGUCACCUCAAAAACCUGCAUAGGUGCUCUUCUCUAGAAUCGUUACCCUCAUCGUUAUGUCACCUCAAAAACCUGCAUCACUUAAACCUAUCGUGUCUAAAUUCUUUGGUGGCAUUACCUGAAUCCAUUGGGAGCCUUCAAAACUUGCAUAUUCUGAACGUUUCUGAAUGCUCGUCUCUAGAAUCAUUACCCUCAUCGUCAAGUGAUCUUCAGCAUUUAGAGAAACUCGACAUCCGUGAUUGUGGAAAAUUAUGUGAGCUGCCUAAAAUGAUCCAAAAGCUGACCAAACUUAGAGUCUUGUUAAACAACAAUUGCUCGGAAUUGAAGGGCAUGCCCCGAGGGAUCGGCAAGUUAGUUAGCUUGCAGGAAUUGUCCGUUUUUGUCGUCGGCAAGCAAGACCGCGUCGAACAUUGUGCCAGCAUCUCUGAGCUAGAGCACUUGAAGCUUGUCGGCCAGCUGCGGAUCAAGGGUCUCGAGAAUGUGACGAGUCCGGUUGAUGCCAAGGCUGCAAAUUUGAUAGAGAAGAACCUGCGGUCUUUGAAGUUGGAAUGGAACGUUUUAAGCGCAGAAGAAGCCGUGUUAGAAAAUCUUCAACCACAUCAAAAGCUAGAGAAUUUGGAAAUAGGAGGCUAUGGAGGCGGGAAGUUUCCUAGCUGGAUGAUGAACAGGAUUGGCUCGUGCCUCCCAAAUCUCGUUAAAAUCAAACUAGCGAAUAUGCCCGGAUGCAGCUCACUUCCGCAGCUGGGGCAACUUCCUUUUCUUGAAGAACUGACUAUACGAAACAUGCCCGCGGUAACAAAUUUGGGCGUAGAUAAGUUCCCUGCGCUGACGACACUUGAGUUGUCCUCCAUGCCGGAGCUGCGAGAAUGGGUGACUGUGUUGACGGUGGAUGACGAAGAAGGCAGGCGAGAGCGAGUUCCCAUUUUUCCGCGUCUCACUCAAUUGUGGCUUAAAGGAUGUCCUCAAUUGAGGCCGGAGCCUUGCGUCCCGCCAUCGGUUAAGUAUCUGACCAUUUCUAGAGCAAGCAAGGAGAAUCUAUCGUUGAUACUCGAACGCGCGAUGCCAUUUGGAGGCGGUGAUGCCGCCGUUUCACCCCAACCGCCACCAGAUAAGGGGCUGCGGGAUCUAGUAAUAAACGAAUGUCAGCAGCUUACCUGUUUGCCCGAGAGCUUGCGGGGUCUCACGUCCCUCCAGCGGCUGAGAAUAUCUGAUUGUGAAGAUCUUGAGAGAAUUGAAGAUUGGCUCGGGGAGCUCUCCGACCUGCAGUCCUUGGAGAUCUGGGAGUGCAGCAGUCUCCGUUACUUGCCUGCGCACAAGAUGACCACACUUCAGGAGUUAGAUAUUAACAAGUGCCCCCUGUUGUUCGAUGCGGACGGACGAUUUGUCGACACCAGUGUCGAUCACAUCAAAAAUGUCGAAGUUGAUGGGAGGUAAUUAAUUUGGAACUCUGACUACUCUUUAAUUAAUGAGCUAGCACCUUAAUAUUCUAUUGUAGCUAGCAUGAACAUCUCGGUUUUUUUUUUNCUCUGCAACUUGCAAGCCUUGAAUCUUUCAGGCUGCCGUGAGAUCCGUACAUUACCCAAAUUUCUAGGAAGGCUUACGAAUUUGCGGAUUUUAGAUUUAAGGGAUUGCCCAUCUCUGACAAUACCUGACUCCAUUAGCAACCUGCAGAAUUUGUAUGCACUAAAUUUGAGUUUGUGCAAAAACGUGAUAUCACUUGAACCUAUAUGUCACCUCAAAAACCUGCAUUACCUAGACCUAUCAUAUCUAGAUUCUUUGGUGGCAUUACCUGAAUCCAUUGGAAGCCUUCAAAAUUUGCGUGGUCUCAACCUUUCUAGCUGCUCUUCUCUAGAAUGGUUACCCUCAUCAUUAUGUCACCUCAAAAACCUGCAUCUCUUAAACCUAUCAAAUCUAGAAUCUUUGGUGGCAUUACCUGAAUGCAUUGGGAGCCUUCAAAACUUGCGUAUUUUGAGCCUUUUUGGCUGCUCUUCUCUAAAAUCAUUACCCUCAUCAUUAUGUGAUCUCAAAAACCUGCAUGACUUAAACCUAUCACGUCUAAAAUCUUUGGUGGCAUUACCUGAAUCCAUUGGGAGCCUUCAAAACUUGCGUAUUCUGAAUGUUUCUAAAUGCUAUUCUCUACUAUCGUUACCCUCAUCGUCAAGUGAUCUUCAGCAUUUAGAGAAACUCGACAUCAGUGGUUGUAAAAAAUUAUGUGAGCUGCCUAAAAUGAUCCGAAAGCUGACCAAACUUAGGGUCUUGUUAAACAACAAGUGCUCAGAAUUGAAGGGCAUGCCCCGAGGGAUCAGCAAGUUAGUUAGCUUGCAGGAAUUGUCCGUUUUUGUCGUCGGCAAGCAAGACCGCGUGGAACAUUGUGCCAGCAUCUCUGAGCUCGAGCACCUUAAGCUUGUCGGCGAGCUGGAGAUCAAGGGUCUUGAAAAUGUGACGAGUCCGGUUCAUGCCAAGGCUGCAAAUUUGAUAGAGAAGAACCUGCGGAAUUUGAAGUUGGAAUGGAAAGUUUUAAGUGCGGAAGAAGGCACGGAUAGUACUGUACUACCGGUGGAAGAGAUCGAAACCGUGCUUGAAAAUCUUCAACCACAUCAAAAGCUAGAGAAUUUGAAAAUAGAAGGCUAUGGAGGCGGGAAGUUUCCUAGCUGGAUGAUGAAUAGGAUUGGCUCGUGCCUCCCUAAUCUACUUCAAAUCGAACUAGCGGAUAUGCCCGGAUGCAGCUCACUUCCGCAGCUGGGGCAACUUCCUUUUCUUAAAGAACUAACUAUACGAAAUAUGCCCGCAGUAACAAAUUUGGGGGUAGAUAAGUUCCCUGCGCUGACGAGACUUGACUUGUCCUCCAUGCCGGUGCUGCGAGAAUGGGUGACUGUGUUGACGGUGGACGACGAAGAAGGCAGGCGAGAGCGAGUUCCCAUUUUUCCGCGUCUCACUGGAUUGUGGCUUAAAGAAUGUCCUCAGUUGAGGCCGGAGCCUUGCCUGCCGCCAUCGGUUUUGAUUAUGAUCAUUUCUAGAACAAGCAGCGAGAAUCUAUCGUUAAUUCUCGAACGCGCGACGCCAUUUGGUGAUGGUAAUGCCGCCGUUUCACACCAACCGCCACCAGAUAAGGGGCUGCAGGAUCUAGUAAUAAACGAAUGUCAGCAGCUAACUUGUUUGCCCGAGAGCUUGCGGGGUCUCACGUCCCUCCAGCGCCUGGACAUAUGGGGUUGCCAUGAUCUUGGGAGAAUUGAAGAUUGGCUCGGGGAGCUCUCCGACCUGCAGUCCUUGACCAUCUCGAAGUGCCGCAGUCUCCGUUACUUGCCUGCCCGCAAGAUGGCCGCACUUCAGAUGUUAUCUAUCGGGAAUUGCCCGCUGUUGUUCGAUGCAGACGGACAAUUUGUCGACACCAGUGUCGAUCACAUCAAAGAAGUCUAUGUUAAUGGAAGGUAAUUAAUUUGGAACUCUGACUACUCUUUAAUUAAUUAGCUGGCUAGCACCUAAAUAUUAAUUCUAUCGUAGCUAGCAUAAACAUCUCUUUUUCUUUUUCUUUUUUUUUUCUAAAUAUUCGGAUGGAAAACUUUCAAUUAGCCCCACCGCACCUGAUUCAGAGCAUUUUCGUUUGCUAUGAAAUAUUUCAUUUUGCUAUUUUAUAGUUUUGUUUUUAUUUUCUUGCAAAAAUCUUCUACAAGAAAGAAAAAAGAAACAAAUUAAAGUGCUAAAAUGUAUGAAUUAUAAGGCUGUCAAUUAAUUUAUUUUACAAACCACAUAGGGACUGUGUGAAAUAUAUAUAUAUAAUCAUUUUAGUAUUUUAUGGUUUAUAAAUUUAUCACUUUAAUACUCCACUUUAAUUACUUGAGAUUGGAUAUAAUCAUAGGAUUUUCAAGUAAAACUAUUUAAAACGUAGUGUGGCAAAAAGAAAACACAUUAAACUACAUUUCAAUAUCAAAAGUGCAAUUAAGAUAUUCGAAAACAUGGUUGGUUUUCUGGAAAAAUUUUCAAGUGGUCUCUUGCAUGUGCAUAGACUAAUUAAUGAAAUUUUAAUCUUUUCUUAAUUUGUAGCGAUUUGAGAUGCCAGAAAAUUUCUACUUGAACGAUAUAUAGUAUUUACAAAGUAAUUAUUUUCAGUGAUAUUGUUGAUAUACUAUUUGAGUCCUUGGAUAUUUUUUUUUACAAAUUGAAAUUAGGUAUCUUAUAUAUCAUACAUUAUUAAAAUGUCUAAGCAAAAUGUCCAGCACAUGUUGCACGAGCGUCGGAUAAAAAAUAACCAUUUUGUGUUGUUGUGUUGUAGUUCUUACCGGUACAAGAAACAAGCGAGCAGCUCACCACAGGAGGAAGAGAGCUCAGCGAAGGAGGAGAAGAAGAUUGGUUAGCGAGNGAAAAAUUUCUACUUGAACGAUAUAUAGUAUUUACAAAGUAACUAUUUUUGGUCAUAUUGUUGAUAUAUUAUUCAAGUCCUGGAAUAUUUUUCUUUAUAAAUUGAAAUCAGGUAUGUUAUAUAUCAUACGUUAUUAGAAAGUCUAAGCAAAAUGUGCAGCACAUAUAUACUGCACGAGCGUCGAAUAAAAAAGUAACUAUUUUGUGUUGUUGUGGUGUAGAAAAUACCCGUACAAGGAACAAGCGAGCAGCUCGCCACAUGUGGAAGAGAGCUCACCGAAGGAGGAGGAGGAGAAGAAGAUUGGUUAGCGAGGAGAGCAUAAGUAUAUGUACCUAUUAUUUGGAGGUAAAAAGAUAUUAGAUAUUAUCUAAACUAUACUGCACUUUGAAAGCGGCCAAUUGGGCUUUACGAAAUUCGAUUUUAAUUCGAUUUUGACAUAAGAAAUUUUCUUUGAAAGAUUUGUUAGAUCCUUUUAGAAUUUAGUCUCUUCCGUUAAACAAAGUGCAGAAUGUUUCAUAAAAUAACAAAAUAUUUUUUUUAUCAAAUUUUAAAAUAUUUUAUCAAAAAAUGUUAAGUAACCUUUCAAAUUCUCUAUGGAACAUAAUAAACACGGCGGAAAGUUAGAGAGUAGAAUUAAAUUUUUUAAAGUUCNAUAUAUAUAUAUAUAUAUAUAUAUAUAUAUAAUUGAGCCAGAAUACUGUUAAAAGAACCAACCCCUUGGUACUUUUGAGUUUCUAGCCCUUGGAUCUACUCCUUGAUUAUUAAUAAUCUUUGAAUCAAACACUAUUCCACCUACCACCACUUACCACCAUCAUCUCAACCCUACAUCUUUCCAUUCAAUAGCUAAAAACUCAAAAGCACCAAUCCCUUGGUGCUUUUGAGAGUAUUCUAGUUCAACUCUUCCUCUCUCUCUCUCUCUCUCUCUCUCUAUAUAUAUAUAUAUAUUAGUAUUUUAUGGUUUAUAAAUUUUAGCACUUUAGUACUCUACUCUACUUUAGAUAGGUUCUUAUGAUCGUAUAUAAUUAAAAAAAAAAUCCAUAGGAUUUUCAAGUAAAACUAUUUAAAACGUAUGGCGGCAAAAUGAAAACGGGUUAAACCACAUUUCAAUAUCAAAAGUGCAGUUAAGAUAUUCGAAAACAUGGUUGGUUUUCUGGAAAAAAAUUCAAGUGGUCUCUUGCAUGUACAUAGAGUAAUUAAUGAAAUUUUAACCUUUUCUUAAUUUGUAGCGAUUUGAGAUGCUGGAAAAUUUCUACUUGAACGAUAUAUAGUAUUUACAAAGUAAUUAUUUUCGGUCAUAUUGUUAAUACACUAUUCAAGUUCUGGGAUAUUUUUCUUUACAAAUUGAAAUCAGCUAUGUUAUAUAUCAUACGUUAUUAGAAAGUCUAACCAAAAUGUACAAUACAUAUAUGCUGCACGAGCGUCGGAUAAAAAAGUAAUCAUUUUGUGUUGUUGUGCUGUAGAAAAUACCCGUACAAGGAACAAGCGAGCAGCUCACCACAUGUGGAAAAGAGCUCACCGAAGGAGGAGAAGGAGAAGAAGAUUGGUUAGCGAGGAGAGCAUAAGUAUAUAUACCUAUUAUUUGGAGGUAAAAGGAUAUUAGAUAUUAUAUCUAUACUAUACUGCACUUUGAAAGUGGCCAAUUGGGCUUUAUGAAUUUUGAUAUUAAUUCGAUUUUAAUUCAAUUUUGAUAUAAGAAAUUUUCUUUGAAAGAUUUGUUAGAUCUUUUUAGAAUUUAGUCUCUUCCGUUAAACAAAGUGCAGAAUGUUUCAUAAAAUAAAAAAUAAUUUUUUAAUCAAAUUUUAAAAUAUUUUAUCAAAAAAUGUUAAGUAUCUCAAAGGACCAUAAUAAGCACUGCGGAAAGUUAGAGAGUAGAAUUAAAUUUUUUAAAGUUCAGUUAUUUAUCUCAAAGCGUAGUAUAGCUCACGUAAGAAUCAUUCUCUUUUAGCUUAUUUGGUGAUCACUAUUCCCCUUUGAGAAGAGUUUUCUUUUUCCCUUUGUUUUGCCAAAAAUAAACAAAUUUUAUAUAUCUACAUGCAAUGGUGACAGUUUUUAUUCAUAAACUUGUGGCCUUCUCUUUCAAGUUGGUGCUAUUUAGCUUUCCGGACAAGAAUUGUAGUGUGCUGUUGUCGGGUUAAUAUAUAUUUGUGUUUUCGUGAUAUAAAUUUAGUUUCGGAAUGUACUAUUUUAUAAUUUGGUUUGAUUGUUGGUAAUUUUAUGGUGUUCUCUAUAUAUGUUAUGGGCUUGAAAAAGAUUGUUUGGUUUGAAUAAACAAAAUGUUGCUACUUUUUUAAUACGGAUAUUAGAGGGUACAUUAAUUUUUAAGUAAAUCUCACGUAGAGUUUAUUACUAGCUAGUAUAUAUGCAUUGUGUUACGAACUUGUUUAAAAUCAGAUGCUGUUUUUGGCAUGCAAGUUGAAGCUAGUAUAUAUGUAUGUACCGCAGUUGAGAGGGUUAAUUUCCAUCUAUGUUUACUUUAAUUUAUCUUUUCUUUUAUUUGAUUAGAUCCGAAUUAAGCCGAUAAAUUUUAAAGUAUUAAAAGUUUUAUUAUUUUGCUUUCUGCAAGAUUUUUAGUUUUUAAAUUCNUGAAGUACUAAAAUUUUAUUAAUUUUCUUUUCGCAAGAUUUUUAGUUUUUAAUUCCCCAAAUUCGAAAUCAAUUUAUUACUAAAAUCAAACUUGAGGUGCUUUUCCCAUUUGGUUUUCACGAAACGUGUGGUUUAAAUGGGAAUAUAGAUUUAUGUUGCCGCACAAUUUAAUUUAUUUGAUUUAAGCGAUUUGAUUACUUUUUUAAUAUAAAAUUUAGAAUAAUUAUUUAUUUCAAUAAAUUUAUAUUUGCAUAAUUAAAAAUAUAUUUAAAAUUUUAAAGUCAAAGAGUCAUUAGUUGAUUUAAAUCAAAUAAAUUAAAAGAUUAUAUAGCAAAAUUAAAAUUUUUAAAGAUUAGAUAAUCAGAUUAAAAGAACUGACAGUCGGGGCGAGUUAUAUAAAUUUUUGACUUUUUUAUCCAAGAAAUCUGGAAAAUUAAAAGAGGUAUUUACUUCAAAAUAUGUUAAACUAUUAUUAUUAUUAUUAUUAUUAUUAUUUUACCAUAAAGCAUUUUCGAGAACCUAACAUUUGGGACCAACCGUAAAAAUAAUAAGAAAAAUUGUGCGAAAUUAACUGAAAAUUUAUUUUAUUGAAAAUCUCACCGUGAAUUUUUUUUUUUAUUGUCUAUUCUUUCUGAUUUGAGUUUGCUUUUCUUCUUCUUUUUUUUUGGGAAAAUGCAGUAUGCAUAAUUGAUCCUUGAUUUAUACUAUAGUUUCAGCUUAACAACUGGAAAAAAAAAUGCUAUAAAAAUUAAAUAUGUGGAUAAAAUAUUAAGGUAUCGCAUAAAUAUAACCGCAUAGUUCUUCAAUAACAAUUAAGCACAAUUUUAUAGCUUCGGACGAGAAAAGAUUAGAAGCAGUUUUAAAAUUUUUGGACCUUUCAAAAUAUGAAAAUGUUGCUUCUUACCACUACGUUCCUAAAGAAAGUUGGGUUAGUUGCAAUUUUUUAUACUUACGAAUUAAAUGAAUGAAAUACAAUAAAAAGAAAAUAUUAAGGAUGAAUAAAACCUUGGUGCAUCACCUGUUUGGAUGCACCAGGUGUAGGCAGUGAUUUUUCAUAAAACGAAAUCGUAAAGCGUUAAAGAAUAGGUAGUCAAAUUAAUUUAAAUUUUUAAAUAUUAGAUAAUUAAUUUCAAAUUAUAAAAGUUCAGAUUAAUUAAGUACAUUUUUAUACCCAAAAAUUAAACACAGCAACAACAACAACAACAUGACCACUGCAAAGAGGGGUCUUUCUUUCUCAUAAAGAACAGGGCAUCCCGUGCACCAAGAUACGAAUUUGGUUGAUCAAGAGAGAAAAUUUUGGCUCUCCAAUAGAUAGAACAAAAACUUGCUGCAUACAAUUGUGGAGCAAAGCCUUUUUUAAAAUAAAAAAGGUGAUAAAACCUUAAUUAGCAAGAGAUGUUUUAUGUACGAAAUUAUUUUUAUUUUUAUUUUUUAAGAGAUAGGUAGCACGCCACCUACUUCGUUUAUUUCAUUUAGAAAUAAACUUAGCUGAAAAUAUGAAUCAACUAGGAUUCGAACUUGGGUCUCGGGUACUAACCACUAAGCCCUUUGCCACUUGCUUUAGGAACGGUCGGUUAUGUACGAUAAAUUAACAAGUGCAUUUAUGUAUGGUAACUUGGUAACGGUUAUACCUUCCUACUUGUACUGUUUGGAUUCAUUAGUGAUAUUUGCAGUUUGUUAUGAAUGCAUUAAGCAGUGCAAUGUGUACGUAUGCUUCAAAAGCUAGGUGUUUCGCCAAAUAAUUAAUCGAAUGGUUUAAGCUAGGUGUGUUGCCCAAAGAUUCAAAUAAAUGGUUCAAGUUAGGGGUUUUUUAAAAAAAUUCUUGUUAAGUAUUGGAUGGAUCUUUGCUUCAAUCUGAGCAGUUUUGGAGUUAACAGCUUGUUUUGGAUACUCUCUAAUACUAUUUUUUGAAAUAGAGUUGUUACUGUUAAGUGUUAAAUAUAAAAAUGUUUAAAUACCGUUUUCUAACAAUUUAAGCUUUUAGAGUACAACGGUUAUUUCACAUGGUAUCAGAGCAGGAGGUUCUAAGUUCGAGUCACGCUAGGCUCCUAGCAUAUUAAUUUUCUUCCAUUUAAUUCAAGCCCACGUCAUGGGCCGAUUAAAAAGUUUUGAGCCCAGACGUGAGGGGGAGUGUUAAGUGUUAAAUAUAAAAAUGUUUAAACACCGUUCUCUAAGUACAACGGUUGUUUCACAGUUACUACAGUUACUCCUCUUGUUGAUGUACUGCAGUACUGGGUGAUGCUACUGGUGUCUUUGAAUGAUGAGUUUAGACCAAUAGCAGCUAAGUUAAAAAUUGAAACAGUUUCAAUCUUAAAACUUCUAAAUAAUAAUAGUAUUUAAGAUUGCUUUUAGUUUUAGCUCAGCAUCUAAAUUGUUCUCCAGCAAUCCAUACAUAUUUGCCUUUUGAUGUAGAAUCAUUGGGCAUACACUUCACAGUUUAAGAAAAGCUGCAUAAUAGAAAAGCUGCAAAAUCAUAAAUAGAAUGAGUGCAUAAAUAGAAGAGAAUUAAUUAAUAACAUUGAUGUCUAAAACAAAUUUCUCCUUCAUGAAGUUUUGAGUCAUCAUCCUACUUGCUUCAUUUCUCUCGCUGCCAUCAACAUGCAUCUUGGAUGCAUUAGGAUUUACUUAAAGUGACAACAAAAGUGAACAAAAACCAAAGCAAAAUAAAAAAGCAAAAUAAAGGAGUAGCAACAAAUAAAAACAAUAAACUCUGAAAGGCAUUAACAUAGAUUGAAGCCAAAUGCACAGCUAAACAAGUAGCGUGGGUCAGUCCAUAAAAAUCUCUAGAUGCUGCAUGUAGUCCUCUAAAUCUUGCAAUUUAUCUGAAAUAAAAAGAGAUGCAUCAUGUGCAGAAGUAUGUAACACUAAGGAUUGCAGAUGUAGGCGAUCUGAUCAUGAGCAACUACAAACUAUGGCUGGCACACAUUUAUUUAAUUAUAUUUUACUUGUUCACUAAGCGGAGAGCCAGCUCAGCCACCAUGAUCAUUGCUCUCUUUUACGAAGUGGGGCGUGUGAAAUUGCCCCACUCUACUUUUAUUUUUUUCACUUAUAUUUAUUUGUCUCAAUUAGAUCUCUAUAUUAAUAACAAUGUUAUUUUCUUUUUUGUUUUAAACCUAUGUUAAGACCAUCAAGAGUUGAGUAGCAGUUGAGAUCUAUGGCAAUGGUGACAACAAUGAAAAACAAAUGAGCUGUUGUCUCUAAUAAUAUAAUGAGAAUGCCAAUUUAAUUUUAAUUUGAAUCCGUAAAUUUAAAUUUUAAUUUGAAUCCAUAAAUUUAAUUUAAGUUUGAAAUAAAAUUUCAAUAAAAUNCAGUAAGUCUAUUGAUCUGUCGUAGAGAAAGAGUUGUUAUUUAAUUUAUGAAGAAAUAUAACUUCAAAAUAAGAAAUACGACUGGUGCAUUCAAAAGUAGAGUGUAAAUCUAAGAUUUAUCCUCAAUAUGAAAUUUGUUUAAAAUCUCAUCUUAGCAUCCUUUCAGUGUAAGGACUAGUUUACUGGAAUAGGCUUUGGCAUCCUACCUAAUUCCAUAUAACGUUUUGAUUCUGGUGGUCGCAGUAGGGUAAAUUUGAAUUUAUCAAAUCAACUUAUCAUGACACAUAACUUCUCUUUGCUUUUCCUUUUUUGUUUUUCCUUUUCUUUUUGGAUAAAAGCCUUCCCAUGCUUGUAUGCAAGAGAUUAUAACGGGAUUGCUUAUGAAUAUAAGAGAAGAUUGAUGUUUAUUUUUUGAAAUUUGUUGUUUGUCUGACGAUCCUGAUUAAAUAAUAUGAAGUACAUAUCUCUGUUUCUUACAUUUAUUUGAUCUUUAUAUACGUUUCAUUUUGGUCCUCAAACUUUCAAGUUCCGAGACUAUGAACUCUUAAAAUAUUUUGCACAUCUACCGUUAGAUGGUAAUUUAUUGCCUAAACCUAAUAUACGUGUACUACAUAUUUGUAUACUUAUUUAUCGACUCUGUACUGUUAUGUUAUUUCUACAUUGCCGCUUGUAGAUUUACAAUUUUUUUUUUUUAAUUUAGAAAUUAGAGUAUUGAAUUGAAAGUAUGAGAUGAGAGAUGGGUUGAUGAAUUUGUGGUGCACAAACAUGCCGGUAACAUUUUCCAAGGUAUCGCUGUUCAUUAUUUUGAGGAAUAAUAUAUUUUAUUAUGAGAUAAUUUAUCUUUCCGUGAAAAAAUUGAAUUUUAGGCUAAAUAUUUUAUCCAUUCUAGGAGUUUUCUUAUACUCCUCACAGUAUGAAAUAAUUGCACAAAGCUAGAGUUUCUAUUUUGCACAAACUUAAAUUAACCCCUCCUAUGAUUUACUGUAUUUUUUUAAUUCUGCAAUCGUGCGACUUAGAAGUUUUAUUUUGCUAUCCCAUAGUUUUGUCUUUGUUCUACCGUAACAAUUUGUCAUUAAAUAGAAUAGUAAUGUAAGAUUAUUGUAAAUUAUAAUAAUAAUAUGGUUUGUAAAUUAUAAUAAUUUAGUUACAUGUGGUUUAUAAGUUACACUAUUUUCGCAACUAAUUCAACUGAAGGGCCUUAUAGUGAUAAAAAAAAAAUUAAAAAUUUAAAAACAAGGGCAAUAUGUCAAAGCCAAAGUUUUUUUAACCACAUAUUGAAAAAGUGAAAAUAUGCUAAUUUAUAGGGGGCUAAUUAGAAGUUUAUUACAUCCUCUUUUAUAGCGCUAUUCCAUCCAAAGGCCUACAUUUUCACACUAAUUUUAUCAAUUUUUUCUUUGUUCAUAUUAAAAACUUAAAAGUAUUGUGUAAUUUUUUAAAUAUGUGAGUAUAAGAUUUACACUGCACUUUUGAGUGGGUAUAAUAUAUAAAAAGAAUAAAAGCUAAAUCUUAAAAUUCAUCCGUUGACUUAUCAUCCACAUUAUCAGUCAAAAUUUUUAUUUGGACAAGAGUGAUUUUUCAAUCUCUUUUUUUAUUACAUUUGUCACCUAAACAAUUUCAAUAGCAUUUGGAGGUACCAUCUGGAUUUAGGGUUGAGGGUUUGUUCGUAAACUUCGAUUGGCGAAAGUGGUAGCAACGUGCAUGUACUAAAUUGCAUAAGAGUAAAGUCGCAAAAACGUAAAGAGAAUCGGUUCACAAAUAGAAGACGAUUUUAAUUAAUAGCAUUGAUGUCUAAAAAAAAAUUUCUCCUUCAUAAAGUUUUGAGUCAUCAUCCUACUCGCUUUCUUCAUUAAUUACCAUCGCCGCCAUCAACAUGCAUCUUUGAUGCAUCAGGAUUUACCUGAAGUGAAAAGUCCUCCUUUAAGGGACCUUGCAAAAAAAAAAAAAAAAAAAAAAGAAGGUCCCCCUCCUCCUUAAACAUCUUCGUUGCGGUUUUAUUCGUUUCCUCCUUUCCAAGCACGAGAGAGGGGGAAAAAAAAAACCAACAAAGGGAGCUUGCUUCUCUGCCUCUUUAUCCGAAAAUAUUUUUAUAAAUUGUACAAUUGGGUAAAGAUUGAUCAUUGACCCAUGGGGUGUAUUUCACUAGUUACAUUGAUGUUAUUAGUAAAAUACACUUUAUUUUUAAAUAGAUGGGGUGUAUAUUCUAUACCCAAUGAAUGUAUAAGUAAGAGUUUUAAAAAAAAAACAAAAAAAAAGAGUAAAAAAAAAAAAGCAUUGGCGCGUGCGUUCCGGCCCCCACCAUAAUUAUUGGAGACACAGCACAAUAAUUGGAGCAAUCAUCUUCCACUGGUGGAGGAGCAUCCCCUUAUCAUCCUCUGCUUCUCUGUAGUAGGACGUUCGUAUUGAGAAGGAUUAGGCAGCAGCACGCGCGCGCGAUGGNAAAGCAUUGGCGCGUGCGUUCCGGCCCCCACCAUAAUUAUUGGAGACACAGCACAAUAAUUGGAGCAAUCAUCUUCCACUGGUGGAGGAGCAUCCCCUUAUCAUCCUCUGCUUCUCUGUAGUAGGACGUUCGUAUUGAGAAGGAUUAGGCAGCAGCACGCGCGAGCGAUGGCGGAGGGGAUCGCAUUCGACUUGGUCGAAGGAGUGCUGGGCAAGCUGGGCUCCGCUCUCUGGGACGAAAUCGGGCUGCUGCGGAGCUUCAAGGACGACGCGGACGACCUCAGAAGCAACUUCUCGGCGAUCCAGGCGGUGCUUCUCGACGCCGAGGAGCGAAGCAGCCCUGGGAAGGAGACCCACGCUCUGCGCGACUGGCUGCGCAAACUGAAGGACGCCGCCUACGACGCCGACGGCCUGCUGGACGAGAUCCGGACGCAAGCGGCCCUCCGGCAACAACAGCAUCCGGAGGUGCAGAAUCAAAACCAGCCAGCUGAAAAGGUACGUGAAUUCCUGUCCCACGCUAAUCCGAUGCGUCUGAAGUUUAAGGUCAAGAUGGCACACAGGAUGAAAGAGCUCAGAGAGAAGAUCGGUAAGAUCGCGAAACAGAGGCAUGAUUUCGGUCUUGCCGAAGCUGACCCUCUUCGACAGGCUGAGUUCAAGCGCCCUGAGACAUUCUCGGUUGUCGACGAAAAGACAAUAGUCGGGAGAGAUGGUGAUAAAGAGGAAAUUGUGAAGCUUCUCCUAGAGACUAACAGCGAUCACGACGUGUCGGUCAUUCCGAUCGUGGGAUUGGGGGGUUUGGGGAAGACGACGCUUGCUCAGCUGGCCUACAACGACGAGCGGGUUACGGACGAGUUGGUUAUGGGCCAGCAGCGAUUUGAUCUACGGGUGUGGGUCUGCGUGUCUACCGAUUUCCACAUGAAGAAGAUUGCAAAGCCGGUGAUAUCUGCAGCUGGAGAAAAUUGUGCUCUUGAUAACUCGGAUGCCGUCGCCAGUUGCCUUGUCAGGAUCUUUAGCCAGAAGAGAUUCUUGCUGGUGUUGGAUGAUGUGUGGAACGAAGAUAAAGGGAAGUGGAAGGAAUUGAAGGUUGUAUUUAAGGACGGCAGGCAGGGAAGUAAAAUCUUAGUAACCACACGAAGCGAAAAGGUCGCCGCGAUAAUGAAAACAGUCGAACCACACCGUGUGAAAGGCUUAUCAGAUGAUGAUUGUUGGACAUUGUUCAAAAGGCUGGCAUUCGAUGAGGGGGAAGAGAACGACUAUCCGAGUUUGGUCGCAAUCGGAAAGCAGAUAGUAAAGAAGUGCGGCGGCGUGCCUUUAGCAGCGAAUGCUUUAGGAAGUAUGAUGUAUUCAAAGAACAGGACAGAGGAUGCAUGGUCCGCUACUAGGGAUAACGAAAUUUGGAGUCUGCAAGAAGAGAAAACUAUUUUACCAUCAUUAAAGUUGAGCUACAUUCAGAUGCCGUCGGCUUUGAAGCAGUGCUUUGCUUACUGCUCCAUAUUCCCAAAAGACUACGAGAUUGACAAGGAUGACUUGAUCCGGCAAUGGAUUGCUUUAGGCUUCAUUUCAUCGCAUGAAACAUGGACUUCGAUGGAAGAUAUUGGGAAUGAGUACUUUAACAAUCUAUUAUGGAUGUCUUUCCUUCAGGACAAAGAAUAUAGAAAGGUUACCACCUGCCGGAUGCAUGAUUUAGUGCACGACCUCGCACAAUCUGUAGCAAGAGAAGAAGUUGCUGUUAUAGUUGGAGAAGAGUCAACAAGGAUCCCGGAAAGUUGCCGCUAUGUCUUGAUAUACAGUCGUUUCACGCCACAGGUUUCAAUUACCAUAAUGCGGAGGUUGCGAGCUCUUCAAUUUAGGGAAUCUGGCUCACUUAUUAUGGCUUUUUAUAGCGAGGCAAAAUGCUUACGCCUGUUGGAUUUACAUGGUUCCGAAAUUUCUAUGCUGCCAAGCUCAAUCGGUAAGUUGAAGCUCUUAAGAUACCUCAACCUUUCGUCAACCAAUGUACAAGAACUGCCUGAAUCAAUUACCAGCCUCUGCAACUUGCAAUCCUUGAAUCUUUCAGGCUGCCGUNAUUUACAUGGUUCCGAAAUUUCUAUGCUGCCAAGCUCAAUCGGUAAGUUGAAGCUCUUAAGAUACCUCAACCUUUCGUCAACCAAUGUACAAGAACUGCCUGAAUCAAUUACCAGCCUCUGCAACUUGCAAUCCUUGAAUCUUUCAGGCUGCCGUGAGAUCCGUACAUUACCCAAAUUUCUAGGAAGGCUUACGAAUUUGCGGAUUUUAGAUUUAAGCGAGUGCAGUUCUCUGACAAUACUUGACUCCAUUAGCAACCUUCAGAAUUUGUACACACUAGAUUUGAGUUGGUGCCAAAAGGUGAUAUCACUUGAACCUAUAUGUCACCUCAAAAACCUGCAUUACCUAGACCUAUCAAAUCUAGAAUCUUUGGUGGCAUUACCUGAAUCCAUUGGGAGCCUUCAAAAUUUGCGUAGUCUCAACCUUUCUAGCUGCUCUUCUCUAGAAUGGUUACCCUCAUCGUCAAGUGAUCUUCAGCAUUUAGAGAAACUCGACAUUAGUGGUUGUGGAAAAUUAUGUGAGCUGCCUAAAAUGAUCCAAAAGCUGACCAAACUUAGAGUCUUGUUAAACAACAAUUGCUCGGAAUUGAAGGGCAUGCCCCGAGGGAUCGGCAAGUUAGUUAGCUUGCAGGAAUUGUCCGUUUUUGUCGUCGGCAAGCAAGACCGCGUCGAACAUUGUGCCAGUAUCUGUGAGCUCGAGCACCUUAAGCUUGUUGGCGAGCUGGAGAUCAAGGGUCUUGAAAAUGUGACGAGUCCGGUUGAUGCCAAGGCUGCAAAUUUGAUAGAGAAGAAGCUGCGGUCUUUGAAGUUGGAAUGGAACGUUUUAAGUGCGGAAGAAGGCAUUGAUAGUACUGUACUACCGGCGGAAGAGAUCGAAACCGUGCUAGAAAAUCUUCAACCACAUCAAAAGCUAGAGAAUUUGGAAAUAGGAGGCUAUGGAGGCGGGAAGUUUUCUAGCUGGAUGAUGAACAGGAUUGGCUCGUGCCUGCCAAAUCUCGUUGGAAUCGAACUAGCGGAUAUGCCCGGAUGCAGCUCACUCCCGCAGCUGGGGCAACUUCCUUUUCUUGAACAACUGACUAUACAAAACAUGCCCGCGGUAACAAAUUUCAGCGUACAUAAGUUCCCUGCGCUGAAGACACUUGAGUUGUCCUCCAUGCCGGUGCUGCGAGAAUGGGUGACUGUGUUGACGAUGGAUGAUGAAGAAGGCAGGCGAGAGCGAGUUCCCAUUUUUCCGUGUCUCACUUAUUUGGGUCUAUAUGAAUGUCCUCAGUUGAGGCCGGAGCCUUGCCUCCCGCCAUCGGUUGAGCAUAUGGGCAUCUACAGAACAAGCAAGGAGAAUCUAUCGUUGAUACUCGAACGCGCGAUGCCAUUUGGAGGUGGUGAUGCCGCCGUUUCACCCCAACCGCCACCAGAUAAGGGGCUGCCGGGUCUAGGAAUAGUAGGAUGUCGGCAGCUAACUUGUUUGCCCGAGAGCUUGCGAAGUCUCACGUCUCUCCAGUCGCUGGGAAUAUAUGAUUGUGAAGAUCUCGAGAGAAUUGAAGAUUGGCUCGGGGAGCUCACCGAGCUGCGGUCCUUGUACAUCGAUGGGUGCAGCAGUCUCCAUUACUUGCCUGCGCACAAGAUGACCGCACUUCAGGAGUUAUGUAUUGGGAUUUGCCCGCUGUUGUUCGAUGCGGACGGACGAUUUGUCGACACUAGUGUCGAUCACAUAAAAAAUGUCGAAGUUGAUGGGAGGUAAUUACUUUGGAACUCUAACUACUCUUUAAUUAAUGAGCUAGCACCUUAAUAUUCUAUUGUAGCUAGCAUAAACAUCUGUUUUUUUUUUUUUUNAGCAGUUGAGAUCUAUGGCAAUGGUGACAACAAUGAAAAACAAAUGAGCUGUUGUCUCUAAUAAUAUAAUGAGAAUGCCAAUUUAAUUUUAAUUUAAAAUUAUAUAUUUAAUUUUUAAAUUUUAACUUAUAUUUUAAUUAAAAAAAGUUGAAAAAAUAAAUUUAAUCCGAAUAAAUAUAAUUCCGUACGGAUUCAACUUUUAAUCCGGCCUACUAGGCCGGAUUGAAAAAAGAGGUGAUUGGAGGAUUCUCAUUCCACUCGGGAAUCGGAAUCGGAAUGGGACUCCCACGUACCAAACACUCACAAACGGAUUUACUUAUUCCGAUUCCGAUUUCAAGGUAAAAAAGAAGCAAACCAAACACGCCCAAUAUAUUUAUCUUAUAUCAGCACAAACUUUUUACAAAAAAAUUUCAUUUGGUCGCUAAAAUUUAUAAUAUUUUAAUUUUUACUGUGUCAUAGUUAGAAACUUUUGUGUAAUUUUCAAAAAGUUGAGAGGGUCCAUGACCAUUGUCGGCCUCUCAAUAGCUCUUCCCCUGUUCUGGAUUCAGCAAAGCAUCCUGAGAGGGGAUUGAUACGAGUUUGCUAGAUUGUUAAAUAUAAAUAUAUAAAAAUAUCAUUCUUUACGAGAUUAAUUACUUUUUGAAAAAAAAAAUGAUUAUUUCGUAUUAUUUAACAUCGUAUCAAAGUAGAAAAUUCUGAGUUCGAGUCACGUCAGACUUCUAGCCUAAUUGAUUUUUUCUCUCAGUUAAUUUAAGUCCACAUCGAGCUCAAACGUGAGAAAAAAUAUUAAAUAUAAAAAUAUUAUUAUCUAUCACUUUAAAUUUUUUGAGAAAACGAUUGUUUCGUAUUGUUUAACAUAGAUUGGAGCCAAAUAUAUAGCUAAACAAGUGGCGUGGGUCAAUCCAUAAAAAUCUCUAUAGAUGAUGCUGUAGGUAAGUUCUCUAAAACUUGCAAUUUAUCUGAAACAAAAAGAGAUGAUGUAUCACGUUCAGAAGUAUGUAACAGUGAGGAUUGCAGCAGGCUGUAGGCGAUUUGGUUAUGAGCAACUACAAUUAAACUAUGGCUGGCAUACAUUUAUUUAAUUACAUUUUACAUGUGCACUUAUAGAUAGCAUGCUGUUGUAACUUCCACAUAUUUAUCUUUUUCCUGGAGUGUAGAAUUAUGCUGAGACUUGUGAUCUUUGCACUAUUUUAUAAAGUGCAGGUUUACGUCUGUUUCCAUUUCAAAAAAAUUAUAUAUUUCUUUUUGGUUAAAUUACAUAAAGUGACCUGCACUAUACUGGCGUAUGAAAUUACCCCCCUCCACCCAUCCCUCUGUCAACUUUUAUUUUCUCAUUUAUAUUUAUUUGUCUUAUUUAGACGGUAGACCCCUGUAUAUGUUAAUAACAAGGUUAUUUUACUGAUCGUUUCUAACGCAAGUAGCAAAAAAUUUAGUGGUUGAUAAUCAAGAUUCUAAAUUUGAAUCCUAGUUGAUUCAUAUCUCUAGCUAAGUUUAUUUCUAAAUGAAAUAAACGAAACAGUAGAAUAGCAGUUGAGAUCUAUGGCAAUGGUGACAGCGACGAAAAACAAAUAAGCUCUUGUCUCUAAUAAUAUAAUGAGAAUGUCAACAGAUACAAAAGAAAUCUAAGUUUUUUUAUUCUAGUUUAUGACCGAUUUUGAAAAAAGAUUCCAAUGGCAUCUCUAGUUUAUAAUUUUAUAUACAUUUGAGGUAAUUAGGUGUACUAAAAAUUUCUAUAUUUUUGGCUGACGGGAUCUAAUUUUUUUUAAAAAAUGAUAGUAUAAAGAGGUGUAAAUUAACUAAGAAAAUAAUUUUUUAUGGCAAUUAAGAAAAUCAAUGCUAAUUAGAAAAAGGCGGUUUUGAACUGUGGUGCAGUGCUGCAUAGAGAUGUCAACGGGUCGGAUUCGAGGCGGAUUUUUAAAAACCCGAACCUGAACCCGACUCCAAAUCCGAGACCCGAAUCCGAACCCGAAUCCAACGGAUUUUAAAAAUUCAUAUCCAAACCUGAACCCGACCAAAAAUCCGAAACCCGAACCCGAAUCCGAACCCGAACCCGAAAAUUUGAACCCAAAAUAAUAAAUUUUUUUUUCAAUAUUUCAAAAUAUAUUAUAUUAAAUCUAAAUUUUUAAAAUACAAAUUCAAAUAUAACAUCAAAUUUAUAUAUAUAUAUUAUAUAUAAUACAAAAUAAAUUCGGGUUCGGGUCGGAUUUGGGUUCGGAUUCGGGUUAGGUACAAUCAAAAUCCAUAUCCGAAUCCAUAUCCGUCGGAUUUCUAUUUUUUAUAUCCAUAUCCAUCGGAUAUAUCCGUUUCAUUCGGAUUCGGAUUCGGAUAAAAUUUCGGAUAUUCAUACCCAUUGACAUCCCUAGUGCUGCAGUGGUCCAACUCUCCAUACUUUUUUUUUUCUCUUUUUUGGGCAAUCAAAAUUUAUACAUAUCAAUUCUUCACAUAUAAUAGUAUCUUAGAAUAUUAUCGUGGGGUGAAAAUCAUUUUACUCAAUCUGAUCCCACUCUGAAGCCGAAGAUUGUCGGAUUUGGAGUGAAAUUUUACUAUCCAUUACGGAUUCAGAUUCAAAUCUGAAAUUUGAAUUUUUUUUUUGAGUUCAAAUUAAAGAUUCACUAUUUCUUUUUAAAUUCGAAUUCUAAAUUAUUGGAAACCAAAACUGAUUUUGACCGCUUUUUUAAUUUCUGAAGUAAUACCAUUUAAGCAUCUUUCAGAAAUCUCAAGCAUUCAUUGCGUUUUCUUCAGUUGGAUGAGAAAAUAAUAAUAAUAAUAAUAAUAAUAAUAAUAAGGGCGGCUCUCCUUUUCUGCCGCUUCAUUUUUUAAAAAUGGACACAGAAACGACAAGAUCCAAAGAGCAAAUUUGAAACUGAUAAUAUUUUUUAUAUUCUGCACAAUAGGAUAAGGACGAUUGAGGGACUAGCAUAUGCAAAAGAUCAAAGAUUCCCGGCGUAAUUAUCGAAGCAACAGCACAAUAAUUAAUUGGAGCGAUCACCUACUACCACUGCAGAGCAUCCCCCCUUAUUCUCUGCCUCCCUGCAGUAGGACGGUUGUAUUGAGAAGAAGCACAUAGCUGCUGUCGUAGGUAGCAGCACGCGCGAUGGCGGAGGGGAUUGCAUUCGAUCUGGUCAAAGGAGUGCUCGGCAAACUGGGCUCAACUCUCUGGGACGAAAUCGGACUGCUGCGGAGCUUCAAGAACGACGCGGACGAUCUCAGAAGCAACUUCUCGGCGAUCCAGGCGGUGCUUCUCGACGCCGAGGAGCGGAGCAGCGCUGGGAAGGAGAGCCACGCUCUGCGCGACUGGCUGCGCAAACUGAAGGACGCCGCCUACGACGCCGACGACCUGCUGGACGAGAUCCGGACGCAAGCGGCCCUCCGGCAACAGCAGUAUCCCGAGGUGCUGAAUCAACACCAGCCAGCUGGAAAGGUACGUGAAUUUCUGUCCCGGGCUAAUCCGAUGCAUCUGAAGUUUAAGCGCAAGAUGGCACACAGGAUGAAAGAGCUCAGAGAAAAGAUCGGUAAGAUCGCGAAACAGAGGCAUGAUUUUGGUCUUGCCGAAGCUGGCCCUCUUCGACAGGCUGAAUUCAAGCGCCCUGAGACAUUCUCGAUCGUCGACGAAAAGACAAUAGUCGGGAGAGAUGAUGAUAAAGAGAAAAUUGUGAAGCUUCUCCUUGAGACCAGCAGCGAUCACGACGUGUCGAUCAUUCCGAUCGUGGGAUUGGGGGGUUUGGGGAAGACGACACUCGCUCAGCUGGCCUUCAACGACGGGCAGGUUACAGGCCAGCAGCGCUUCGAUUUACGGGCGUGGGUCUGCGUGUCUACCGAUUUCGACAUGAAGAUGAUUGCAAAGCCGGUGAUAUCUGCAGCUGGAGAGAAUUGUGCUCUUGAUAACUCGGAUGCCGUCGCCAGUUGCCUUGUCAGUAUCUUCAGCCAGAAGAGAUUUUUGCUGGUGCUGGAUGAUGUAUGGAAUGAAGAUCAGGAAAGGUGGGAGAAAUUGAAGGUUUUAUUUAAGGACGGUAAGCAAGGAAGUAAAAUCUUAGUGACCACACGGAGCGAAAAGGUUGCCGAGAUAAUGAAAACAGUCGAGCCGCACCGUGUGAAAGGCUUAUCAGAUGAUGAUUGUUGGACAUUGUUCAAAAGGCGGGCAUUCAAGGAAGGGGAAGAGAAUGACUAUCCGAGCUUGGUCGAAAUCGGAAAGCAGAUAGUAAAGAAGUGUGGUGGCUUGCCUUUAGCAGCAAAUGCUUUAGGAAGUAUGAUGCGCUUUAAGAGCAGAACGGAGGAUGCAUGGUCCGCUAUUAGAGAUAGCGAAAUAUGGAGAUUGGAAAAAGAGGAAACUAUUUUACCAUCAUUGAAAUUGAGCUACAUUCAGAUGCCGUCGGCUUUGAAGCAGUGCUUCGCUUACUGCUCCAUAUUCCCCAAAGACUAUGAGAUUGACAAGGAUGACUUGAUCCGGCAAUGGAUUGCUUUAGGCUUCAUUUCAUCGCAUGAAACAUGGACUUCGAUGGAAGAUAUUGGGAAUGAGUACCUUAACGAUCUAUUAUGGAUGUCUUUUCUUCAAGAUGUGUGGGAAUAUUAUAGAAAGGGUACCACCUGCCGUAUGCAUGAUUUAGUGCACGACCUCGCACAAUCUGUAGCAAGAGAAGAAGUUGCUGUUAUAGGUGCAGAAGAGUCAACGAGGAUCCCGGAAAGUUGCCGCUAUGUCUCGAUAUACAGUCGUUUCACGCCACAGCUGGUUUCAAGUACCGUAAUGCAGAGGUUGCGAGCUCUUCAAUUUAGGGAAUCUGGUUCACCUACUAUGAAUUUUUAUAGCGAGGCAAAAUGGUUACGCCUGUUGGAUUUACAUGAUUCCAAAAUUUCUAUGUUGCCAAGCUCAAUCAGUAAGUUGAAGCUCCUAAGAUACCUCAACCUUUCGGAGAACAGUAUACAAGAAUUGCCUGAAUCAAUUACCAGCCUCUGCAACUUGCAAACCUUGAAUCUUUCAGGCUGCCAAAAGAUCCGUACAUUACCCAAAUUUCUAGGAAGGCUUACGAAUUUGCGGAAUUUAGAUUUAAGCGACUGCAGUUCUCUGACAAUACCUGACUCCAUUAGCAACCUUCAGAAUUUGUACGCACUAAAUUUGAGUUCGUGCGAAAAUGUGAUAUCACUUGAACCUAUAUGUCACCUCAAAAACCUUCAUUACCUAAACCUAUCAGAUCUAAUGUUUAUGGAGACUUUACCAAAAUCCAUUGAGAGCCUUCAAAACUUGCGUACUCUGAAUCUUUCUAACUGCAUUUCUCUGCUAUCAUUACCCUCAUCAUUAUGUGAUCUCAAAAACCUGCAUGACUUAAACCUAUCACGUCUAAAAUCUUUGGUGACAUUACCUGAAUCCAUUGGAAGCCUUCAAAACUUGCGUAUUCUGAACGUUUCUGAAUGCUCUUCUCUAGAAUCAUUACCCUUAUCGUCAAGUGAUCUUCAGCAUUUAGAGAAACUCGACAUCAGGGGUUGUAAAAAAUUAUGUGAGCUGCCCAAAAUGAUCCAAAAGCUGACCAAACUUAGGGUCUUGUUAAACAACGAGUGCUCAGAAUUGAAGGGCAUGCCCCGAGGGAUCAGCAAGUUAGUUAGCUUGCAGGAAUUGUCUGUUUUUGUGGUCGGCAAGCAAGACCGCGUCGAACAUUGUGCCAGCAUCUCUGAGCUCGAGCACCUUAAGCUUGUCGGCGAGCUGGAGAUCAAGGGUCUUGAAAAUGUGACGAGUCCGGUUGACGCCAAGGCUGCAAAUUUGAUAGAGAAGAACCUGCGGUCUUUGAAGUUGAAAUGGAACGUUUUAAGUGCGGAAGAAGGCAUGGACAGUACUGUACUACCGGCGGAAGAGAUCGAAACCGUGCUAGAAAAUCUUCAACCACAUCAGAAGCUAGAGGAAUUGGAAAUAGAAGGCUACGGAGGCGGGAAGUUUCCUAGCUGGAUGAUGAAUAGGAUUGGCUCGUGCCUCCCAAAUCUCGUUAAAAUCAAACUUGAGAAUAUGCCCGGGUGCAGCUCACUCCCGCCGCUGGGGCAACUCCCUUUUCUUAAAGCACUAACUAUACGAAAUAUGCCCGCGGUAACAAAUUUGGGCGUAGAUAAGUUCCCUGCGCUGAUGAGACUUAACUUGUCCUCCAUGCCGGUGCUGCGAGAAUGGGUGACUGUGUUGACGGUGGAUGACGAAGAAGGCAGGCGAGAGCGAGUUCCCAUUUUUCCGUGUCUCACUCAAUUGUACCUUAAAGAAUGCCCUAAAUUGAGGCCGGAGCCUUGCCUCCCGCCAUCGGUUUUGCAUAUGGGCAUCUCUAGAACAAGCAGCGAGAACCUAUCGUUGAUUUUCGAACGCGCGAUGCCACUUGGUGAUGGUGAUGGUGAUGGUGAUGGUGAUGGUGAUGCCGCCGUUUCACCCCAACCGCCACCGAAUAAGGGGCUGCGGAGUCUACAAAUAGGAGGAUGUCAGCAGCUAACUUGUUUGCCCGAGAGCUUGCGGAGUCUCACGUCUCUCCAGCGGCUGAUAAUAUCUGAUUGUGAAGAUCUUGAGAGAAUUGAAGAUUGGUUUGGGGAGCUCUCCGACCUGCGGUCCUUGAUCAUCCAGGGGUGCAGCAGUCUCCGUUACUUGCCUGCCCACAAGAUGACCGCACUUAAGAGGUUACAUAUUGAUGGUUACCCGCUGUUGUUCGAUGCAGAUGGAAGGUAAUUAAUUUGCAACUCUGGCUACUCUUUAUUUAGCUGGCUAGCACCUUAAUAUUCUAUCGUCGCUAGCAUAUAAACCUCUCUUCUUCUUCUUCCUUUUUUUUUUUUCUAAAUAUUCGGAUGGAAAACUUUCAAUUAGCCCCACCGCACGUGAUUCGGAGCAUUUUCAUUUGCUAUGAAAUAUUUCAUUUUGCUAUUUUAAUUUAUAGUUGUGUUUUUAUUUUCUUGCAAAAAUCUUCUACAAAAAAGAAAAAAAAAAAUUAAAGUGCUAAAAUAUAUGAAUUAUAAGACAGUCAAGUAAUUUAUUUUACAAACCACAUAGGGACUAUGUGAAAUAAAUAAAUAAAUAAAUAAAUAAAUAAAUAAAUAUAUAUAUAUUAUAGUAUUUUAUGAUUUAUAAAUUUUAGCACUUUAAAUAGUUUUACUUUAAAAUCUUGUGGUUAUUCCUUUUCUUUGUAUCAUCGUAAGAAUUUGCCGUCAAGUAAAUGUAUUAAAGUGCUAAAAUUUAUAAAUCAUGGGAUAGUAAAGUGAUACAUUUUAUGAAACAAAAGGUAGCCGCCUGUAUCUAUAUAUAUUUUUUCACAUAGCACUCUAUGGUUUAUAAACUAUAUUCCUUUACUACUCUAUAAUUCAAAAUUUCUAGCACUUCAAUAUUCUUUGGUAGUAGGUCCUUACGGUAAAAUAAAGACGCAAUAAUAAAGUAGCAANGGUUUUCUGGAAAAAAUUUCAAGUGGUCUCUUGCAUGUACAUAGACUAAUUAAUGAAAUUUUAACCUUUUCUUAAUUUGUAGCGAUUUGAGAUGCUAAAAAAUUUCUACUUGAACGAUAUAUAGUAUUUACAAAGUAACUAUUUUCGGUCAUAUUGUUGAUAUACUAUUCGAGUCCUAGGAUAUUUUUUUUUACAAAUUGAAAUCAGGUAUGUUAUAUAUCAUACGUUAUUAGAAAGUCUAAGCAAAAUAUACAACACAUAUAUACUGCACGAGUGUCGAAUAAAAAAGUAACCUUUUUGUGUUGUUGUGGUGUAGAAAAUACCCGUACAAGGAACAAGCGAGCAGCUCGUCACAUGUGGAAGAGAGCUCACCGAAGGAGGAGGAGGAGAAGAAGAUUGGUUAGCGAGGAGAGCAUAAGUAUAUGUAUCUCUUAUUUGGAGUUAAAAGAUAUUAGAUAUUAGAUAAAUUAUACUGCACUUUGAAAGCGGCCAAUUGGGCUUUACGAAUUUCGAUUUUAAUUUGAUUUUGAUAUAAGAAAUUUUCUUUGAAAGAUUUGUUAGAUCCUUUUAGAAUUUAGUCUCUUCCGUUAAACAAAGUACAGAAUGUUUCAUAAAAUAAAAAAAAAUUUUAUCAAAUUUUAAAAUAUUUUAUCAAAAAACAUUAAGUAUCCUUUCGAAUUCUCUAAGGAACAUAAUAAACACUGCGGAAAGUUAGAGAGUAGAAUUAAAUUUUUAAAGUUCAGUUAUUUAUCUCAAAGCGUAGUGUAGCUCACGUAAGAAUCAUUAUCUUUUAGCUUAUUUGGUGAUCAGUAUUCCCCUUUGAGAAGAGUUUUUUUUUCCCCUUUGUUUUGCCAAAAAUAAACAAAUUUUAUAUAUCUACAUGCAAUGGUGAGAGUUUUUAUUCAUGGACUUGGGGCCUUCUCUUUCAGGUUUGUGCUAUUUAGCUUUCCGGACAAGAAUUGUAGUGUGCUGUUGUCGGAUUAAUAUAUAUUUGUCUUUUCGUGAUAUAAAUUGAGUUUCUGAAUGUACUAUUUUAUAAUUUGGUUUGAUUGUUGGUAAUUUUAUGGUGUUCUAUGUAUAUGUUAUGGGCUUGAAAAAGGUUGUUUGGUUUGAAUAAACAAAAUGUUGCUACUUUUUUUAAUACGGAUAUUAGAGGGUACAUUAAUUUUUAAGUAAAUCUGACGUAGAGUUUAUUACUAGCUAGUAUAUAUGCAUUGUGUUACGGAAUUGUUUAAAAUCAUCAGAUGCUGUUUUUGGCAUGCAAGUUGGACCUACUAUAUAUGUAUGUACCGCAGUUGAGAGGGUUAAUUUCCAUAUAUGUUUACUUUAAUUUAUCUUUUCUUUUAUUUGAUUAGAUCCGAAUUAAGCCAAUAAAUUUUAAAGUAUUAAAAGUUUUAUUAUUUUGCUUUCUGCAAGAUUUUUAGUUUUUAAAUUCCACAAAUCUGAAUCGAUUUAUUAAUAAAAUCAAACUGAAUCAAUAGAAGUGAGUUGCUUUUUCAGUUUGGUUUUUACCAAACAUGUGGUUUAAAUGAAAAUACAGAUAUGUAUUGCUGCAUUAUUUAAUUUGUUUGAGUUAAGUGAUCUCACUGCUCGUGCAAUAUCAAAUUUAGAUUAAUUAUUUAUUUUAAUAAAUUUAUAGCUUCAUAAAUUUAUAAAAUAUAGUAAUUAAUUAAACAUGUAAAGAUAAACAAUACAUUUAAAUUUUAAAGCUAAAGAGAUAUUUGACUCAAAUCAAAUAAAUUAUAAAUUAUAUAGCAACAUUAAAACUCUUUUAAAGAUUAGAUAGUAAAAUUAAAAUAAGUGAUAGUUGUGGUAAGUUAUAUAAAGUUCUUAUUUUUUUAUUCAAGUAAUCCAGAAAAUUAAAAGAGGUAUUUACUUCGAAAUAAGUUAAAUUAUUUUUUAUGGACAAGUAUUUUUCGAGACCUUAACAUCUGGGACCAACCGUAAAAAUAAGGAAAAUUGCAUGAAAUUAAUUAACCAAAAUUUUAUUUUAUAGGAAAAAAAGGAUAAAAUUUUUAAAAUAUUUUGAUGUUAUUGUUUAUUCUUUCUGAUUUGAGUUUCAUGAAAUUAAAAUUAUUGCCAAUACCUAGUGCAUGGGCACUAUGCCCUUUUUUCUUUUUUUCUUUUUUUUUAUGAAAAUGUAGUAUGCAUAAUUGAUCCUUGAUGUAUACUAUAUUUUUAAUUUAACAACGGAAAAAAUAUGCUGUGAAAAUUAAACUAGUGGACGAGAUAGAGUAAGGAUAUAUGAAUGCAUCAGGUGCAUCCAAUCGUUUUAUAAGGCUAUUAAAUUAUUUAAAUUAAAUAAAAAUUUUAAAUAUAAUAAAUAUAAAUUUUUUUGAAAAAAAUAAAUAGCUAGGUUACAAAUUAUCCAAAAUUUAAUUAUCUUUGUAUAUUCAAAAUUCAAAAUCAUCAUAAGAAACUGCAUCUAACUUGCGAUGGCCAGUUCCUUAAAAUUAAAAUCCAAAACAAAAGGUACGAUCUACAGUAUCUAAAUGGAUUAUGUAUAAAAACACAAGGUUAAAAAAAAAAAAAAAAAAAAAAAAAAAAAANAAAAUUGAAUGAAAUUAAUUAACCAAAAUUUUAUUUUAUUGGAAAAAUAACCAUAAAAUUUUUAAAAUUUUCUGAUUUUAUUGUUUAUUCUUUCUGAUUUGAGUUUCAUGAAAUUAUUGCCCAUACCCAGUGCAUGGGCACUAUGCCCCUUUUUUUUCUUUUUUUCUUUUUUUUUUUUGAGGAAAUGUAGUAUGCAUAAUUGAUCCUUGAUGUAUACUAUAUUUUUAAUUUAACAACGGAAAAAAUAUAUGUGAAAAUUAAACUAGUGGACGAGAUAGAGUAAGGAUAUAUGAAUGCAUCAGGUGCAUCCAAUGUUUUAUAAAGCUAUUAAAUUAUUUAAUUUAAAUAAAAUUUUUAAAUAUAAUAAAUUUAUUUUUUUUUGAAAAAAAUAAAUAGCUAGGUUUCAAAUUAUCUAAAAUUUAAUUAUCUUUGUAUAUUCAAAAUUCAAAAUCAUCAUAAGAAAUUGCAUCUGAUUUGUGAUGGCCAGUUCCUUAAAAUUAAAAUCCAAAACAAAAAGUACGAUCUACAAUAUCUAAAUGGAUUAUGAUGAUUUUGAAUUUUGAAUAUACAAAAAAAAAAAAAAACUGUUACUAAGUCAUCUGAAGUCUAUUCGUCUGUCGUAGAGAAAGAGUAAUUAUUUGAUUUAUGAAGAAAUAUGUCUUCAAAAUAAGAAAUACUACUGAUGCAUUCAAAAGUGUGGUGUAAAUCUAAGAUUUAUUCUCAAUAUGAAUUUUGUUUUAAAUCUCAUCUUAGCAUCCGUUCAUUGUAUGGACUAGUUUACUGGAAUAAACUCUGGCAUCCUACCUAGUUCCAUAUAACGUUUUGGUUCCGGUGGUCGUAGCAGGGUAAAUUUGUAUUUAUCAGAUCAACUUAUCAUGACACAUAACUUCUCUUUGCUUUUUCUUUUCUUUUUUUUUUUUUUGGAUAAAAGCCUUCCCAUGCUGGUAUGCAAGAGAUUAUAACUGGAUUGCUUAUGAAUAUGAGAGAAGACUAGUGCUUAUUGUUUUGGAAUUUGUUGCUUGUCUGAUGAUCCUGUCUGUUUCUUACAUUUAUUUGAUUUUUUAUAUAACAGGAACGACGAAUGAGAGGUCAAGCAUUUGUGACUUUUCCAACUGUCGAUCUUGCUCAGCAUGCAUUGGUUUGUCUAUCUUUUGAGGCUAAAAACUAUUUUUUUAAAAAAAAUUUUAAGGGCCGCUGAAAAUUUAGUUAAAAACUAAAAUUAAGUUCAUGUAUGAUGUUGCUUGUUUUUUAAUACCUGGGCGAAUUUUGAGAAUAUGUAGCCCAAAGAAAGCACCUGCUUUGAUGCUUUGGAGGGCCCACAAAUUUCAAAAGCUGCCCAAAAAAGACAUCUUUUAUGCUUUGGAGUGCUCCCUUCAAAUGUUUUUAAAUGAUGAUAGGAACUGUCACUGGAGAAGCAUCAUGCCGCAGAGGCAUUCUUCUCGAUCUGUUAUAGUGCUUGAGAGCUUUGAUAGGAGCUCUCAAGCACUUUCGGAAAUUCUUUUGGGGCCAUCGAACGCAUAAAAGCUGGUGUGUUCGAAAAUAGGCCUCAGUCUGCGAAGCAGCUCUAUUUCUAUCAUGAACUGUUUCACCUGAAGUUAUUUUCGGAAAAAAGAAAAAAAAAAAAGUGAAAAAGAUAGGCUCGAAAGUGGGGAGCAGAGAAUCUGCAAUUUUUACUCUGCAAUACUUUAGUUAUGAUAAUUAUGUUCUUCAAUUUUAAUCUUCUAUUCUAGAGUAACGAGCAUUGUUCAUAAUAAUACAUAUCCAUUGUUCAUAAUAAUGGAUAUGUAUUCAAAGGCAAGGCGAUGAUCAUCCAGUUUGGUUGCAAUCCUGUUGCUGGCAAAGCUACCUAAUUAAAUGGGGAUUUUGAUGUAGACCAUGGGUGCAUGCCUUGGGAUGGAAAUUUUGAUCAAUCCAAAAAUUGUCACAGCUCUUCAACGUCCAAUAAAAGAUGGGUAUGGUUUUUUCAUUUUUAAAAAAAUAAUGAUGUGUAUCGUGUGCGUUCAUGAGGUUUCAUUUAUUUUAUCAGAAAUGAUUCAGUACUUUAUUAUUAAAAAAAUAAAAUAGAUCCUAACCGUUGAUUAAUAGAGGGUAAAGAUGUAAUUUAAUAUUUAGCAGGUAAAUGGGUUGCAUCAUUCGAAGUUAUUUCGAUAAUUAAACUAUACAGCAUUUAAAAAAACUUUUAAUUGAUAUUCUAAAUUUAUGCAUUAAUUUGCACUAAUUUAGGAAAUUGAUUGAUUACCCUAAUUUAGGCAUUAAUUAGGCAUUAAUUUACGCAUUUAGUUUAGAAAUUUUAGUGUUUCUAAAAUUUAGGCAUUAAUUUAAAUUAUAGGAAUUUUAGAAAUAGUUCUAUUUCUAAAUACAUUGAAUUUAAAUAUUAAAUAUUAAAUAUUUAAAAUUAAAAAAUUAAAAUUUAAAUUAGAGGAAUUUUGUAUUACUAUUUAAAAAAUUUGUAAUGUUGAUAAAUAUUUUAAUUCAACAUACUUAAUAUGUUUAAGAAAAUUUUUAAAUUCCUAAAGUUUAGACAACAAUUUUGUAUCACUUAUUUUAAAAAAAAUUAAAUGUUGGUAAAAAAAUUAUAAAUUAAAUGUAUUUAAUAUGUUAAAAAAAUUAGAAUUGUUCUACUUUAGACGUUAAUUAUUUAUCAUUAUUCAAAAAAAUUUGUAAUGUUGGUAAAUAUUUAAAUUUAACAUAUUUUAUAUGCUUAACAAACUUAUGAAUUCAUCUUAGACAUUAAUUUUGUAUUACUAACUUUAAAAAUUGAGUGUGGACAACAUAUUUAAAUUCAACAUAUUUAAUAUGUUUAAAAAUAUUUAAGAAUUUUUCUAAUUUAGAUAUUAAUUCUUUAUCACUAUUUAAAAAUUUUAAUGUGAAUAAUUGAUUAGAAAUAUAGGGUAUAAUUCAAAUUUAUUCUUAGAAUAGAAUUGUAUGGACAAAAUUAAUUCAAAUUUUAAUAGAAAAAAUUUAUCUUUUAAAAUAAUAAGAUAAUGUAUUGUAAUUUAAAAUAUAAUUUUUUUAUAUGAAAUGCCAAAUAUGAGAGGAAAAAAGAUAGAGAGAGAAAAAAAAUAAAGAGAGAAUAAAAAUUUUGAUAAUAUAAUAGAGAUAAAAUGACUAAAUUGCUCAUGUAUUAAAAGAUAAAAAUAUUUUUUUUUGAGGUAUCUGAUGAUCGGUACCUCUCCUAAAGUGACUUGCUAUUAUAGGUCACAAUUUUAAAAAAAUUAAAUCUGGACCGUUGAAUGGGAGUGAAUGAACGGUAAGAAAAAAAAAAAAAAGUAUAGAAGCAUUACUCUUAUUUUAUGGCCACUUCUGAUGAAACACCUAUAUAAUAGGGCUACACAUGUCGACCUCAUGCAAUAAUGCAUGCGUAGUGGCCACAAGGUGCUUCAUCUAGGUUCCUAUGAGCAGCGCUAGAACUUUAGUAACCAGAUUUUUGCAUCAAAUUAGUUCAUUAAAGUUUGAACUGAGUAGUUAAGCCAGCAAUUGCCCUUCUUCAGGAUUUUGUAUCCUCCGAAUGGAAUAUGCAUGAACUAUUGUUGCUGCUUUUCUGAGGAAGGUUUUAACCAUCUAUUAAAAGCUCAUUUCGAAGUGCAAAUUAUCAUUAGUUACUUUCUAAUAUUGCUGAAUUGAUCAGUCAGUUUUGUUCAAUUUGGCCUUUGGUUUUUGUGGUGAUUUUUGACAUAUUUUUCUGCUUUUGUGUUGAUAAGCUACGAGGACUGGUUCGCCAUAUUUUAAAGUUCAGCAACUACAAUCCAUGCCGUGGAGCUCUACUGCCGCAAUGAGAUGGUUACUUGUGUGCGCCUCCUAGUUUUGUUUUAUCCAGGAACAUGACAAACUCAGUUGGAAUUGAGAUGGUGAUGAAAGGUAACACACACUUUGUAGAUUGUAAAAUUCUCUCCAUGGUGAACUACCCCACCAGUCUAUCAACUCUUAACCAAGUUCCAUUUUGAUCCUCGAGCUUUUAGGGAUUGUUUGCGACUUUGAACUCUUAAAUGUUUCGCACAUCUAAUUCUAUUAGAUGGCAAAUUAUUGGUUACACCCAAUAUAUGUGUACAUGUUUGUAUACUUAUCUAUUGAUUGUUGCUUGUGAAUUUACAAUCGUUUUUUUUUAUUUAAAAAUUAGAGUAUUGAAUUGAAAGUAUGUGAUGGAAAAAAGGGCUAAUGAACUUAUGUGCGCAAACAUACUCGUACCGUUACUUCCAAAGUGUAAUAGAGCACGUGAACAAUGGGAAAGCGAAUAUAGUAGCACUUAAGCACCUAGUACAAUUUAUGAGCUGUACCCCUACAUAAUUAUAGUAGUGGUGGGUCCAUGCUUUGAUUAUUGGGCAUCUGAUCUAAUAGUGACUUUUAAAGACUCGGUACAUAAGAGAUGCUUAGGAAACAUUGUGGAUCACAUGAAAGGUAUAACCCUGUAAAGUUAUUUGUGAGCUGGUAAAUUUAUUUAAUGCUCUUGAUGCACUGAUGUGAUAUGUAAAAUUAUCAAAAUCUCUUGUAUUGGAAUUGCCACCAUAAGGAAAAUAUAUAAAACAAUAAUUUUGAAAAAUUUGUAGCAGUACUUGUGCAAGUGGGGAGGUAAUAAUUUUUUUCUUCCCUUAAGUGGGUUGAUAUAGGAGAAAUUAUCGAAUUAUCUGAUUGAUCAAGUUCAAUGUGUACCCAUUUUUUUUAAACUUGAUCUCAUAUAUUAGGAUUUUGAAUUUAAAUUUUUAUUUUAAAAUAUAAAAGUUUGGUAGGGUGGGUGCACCGAUGAUGUGGCGCAUGAGGUGCAAGCGAUAUUUCCCACGACAAAAGAAUUAAAGUAAAAGCAAAAUAAGAACAAAGCUAAAAGCACUUGCCCGCUUUAUUCCUGUCCUCACGCAGUGGAGGAAAAAAGAAAUUUGUUAAUCUAUAUGUAUGUUUUAAGUCUCACAUUUCAAGAUAAUUUGGUAAACUUGGUAAAUUUUUUUUCCUUCAAUUAUUAAUAAGUCCAAAGUUUUUCUUAGAUCUAUCUAUUAACUAAAAAAAAAUCAAAAGUUAAGUGCAAACUAUUUUCAUGAAUAAGGGAAAUUAAGAAGAAAAUGAUAAAAAAAAACAGCUAAACAUUUUAAUGAACAAGAAAGAGAGAGUAAAGAAUAACAAAGCUGAUUGUUUUCAUGAACAAGGGAAAGAAGAAAAGAACAAAACAAAGCAGGGAAAAGAAGAAAAUAAUAAACAUAAACUAAGCACGCGGCGUGCAUAUAUGCUAAUUAAUAUUCAGUAUACUCUUCUUUGUUGUAGGAGUUUUUUUUUUUUUUUUUGAGAAAAAAAUAGCGAGUUAUUUGUUUCAUUUAUUAGGUAAAAUAAACUAGACAUAUAUAAUAGAAACAGCCGAGGCUUCUGAGAAAAAAAUUAAAAAAGCAAACCAAAAGGAAAUUUGAACUCUGGUAGUGUGGUGUAGUGUUGCAGUGGUCUCCAUACUUUGUUUCCUUUUUUUCUCUUUUUUUUGGGCAAUCAAAAUUUAUUCAUAUCAAUUCUUCAAGUAUAAUAGCAUCUUAGAAAAAUACCUUGGGGUGAUAGCCGUUAUGAAAUUAUUCAAUCUGAUCGGACUCUGAAGCAAAAAAUUGUCAAAUUUGGAUUGAAAUUUUACAUUGAAAUUUUACUGUCCAUUACGGAUUCAGAUUCAGAUCUGAAAUUUGAAAUUUUUUUGAGUUCAAAUUAAGAUUUACUAUUCCUUUUUAAAUUCGAAUUCAAAUUAUUGAAAACCAAAACUGAUUUUUGACUGCUUUUUUAAUUUCUCAAGUAAUGCCAUUUGAAAAUGGACACGGAAACAACAAGACCCAAAGAGCAAAUUCGAAUCUGAUAAUAUUUUUUAUAAUCUGUACAACAGGAUAAAGACGAUUGAGGGACCAGCGUGCAAAUCGUCAAAGAUUCCCAGCGUAAUUAUCGGAGCGGCAGCACAAGAAUUGGAGCAGUCACCUACACCUACUGCCAACUUUUCCUCAAUUUCCAAGCACGAGAGAGAGAGAGAAAAAAAAAAAAAAAAAACAACAACUGGAGCAUGCUUUUCUGCCUCUUCAUCUGAAAAUGGACACGACAAUACGAAGAUUCAAAUAUUUUUAUAAUUUGUACAAUUGGAUAAAGAUUGAUCAUUGAUCAUGGGGUGUAUUUCACUAGUUGGAUUUUUUUUUUUUUUUUUGAGAGAGAAAAAUAGUAUAGUACCAGUUUCGUAUAUUUCAUUCAAAAAUAAACUUAGCUAGAACUAUAAAUUAAUUAAAAUUCAAAUUUAAUUCUCGAAUAUCAAUCACCAAACUUUUUUUGCCACUUGCGCUAGAAACCGUCGGUGCGGGAUGCAUCUUCUAUGCCCAAUGAAAUGAAUGUAUAAGUAAGAGUUUUCGAAAAAAAAGAAAAAAACGAAAAAAAAAAAAAGCAUUGGCGCGUGCGUUCUCUCGAAGCUCCUCCGGCGGCCCCACCAUAGUUAUAUGAGACGCAGCACAAUAAAUGGAGCAACCAUCUUCCAGCGGUGGAGAGCAUCCCCUUAAUUAUCCUCUGCUUCUCUGUAGUAGGAUGUUCGUAUUGAGAAGAAUUAGGCAGCAGCACGCGCGAUGGCGGAGGGGAUCGCAUUCGGUUUGGUGAAGGGAGUGCUCGGCAAUCUGGGCUCCGCUCUCUGGAACGAAAUCGGGCUGCUGCGGAGCUUCAAGAACGAAAUUGUGCUUAAUUAUUAUUAUUAUUAUUAUUUAUUACUAUAUAUAUAAAAGUAGAACCCUUAAUGAACCCUAUGUGAGAAGCUGACACGUAGCUUUCUAUAUACUUGUCACGUGUCAAACUCAAGUAUGGAUAUUUGGUUACGAAUUAUUUAAAAUUAUUGGUUUAAUUAAUUAUUUAAAAUUAUUGGUUGCGAAAUACGCAAUAAUCUGUUGCGAAUUAUUUUUUCGCGAUGGAAAUAAUCUGUUACAAAUUCAAAUUUCGUAUUAGCAGAUAAUUAAGAAAAAAAAUUCAAAACUCACGUUUUUAUAAAAAAAUAAUAUCUUUUAUUAUAUUAUUAAAAAUCACAUAUAAUGAAUAAAAUUUUAUUUCAAAGUCACCUAUAAUUAUGUUGAGAUAUUUGAAAAAUCUAUGGAUAUUAUGUUACGAAAGAAUUGGCGGUGCGGAUAUUACGCGUGAGAAGAAAAAUAUUUAUCUUUAUUUGGAAAUAAAUUAUUACUUAGUUAAUUAUUUAAAAUGAUUGGUUGAAAUUUCUGGACAUAAAAAUAUUAGUAAAAAAGUAUAGGCAUUUUUGGAAAGAGGAAAAAAUUUAAAACUCACCUCACUCCUGUAAUUUUCUUCGCUCUUAAAUAUUGAUGCUUUAAAAUAGAACAUGCUAUUUCCCUACUGUCACUUCUGUAAUUUUCAUUUCGUAAUUUUUUUCCUUUAUGUCACUCAUGUAACUUUUCAUCUUCAUGCAAUAAAAUUUUUUUUUCUUUAUUUUUUAUUGAAAACCAACAUCUAUAUAUUUUUGAAUCUUAAAAGCGACAGUAGGAACAUAAUAUAUGUGUGCUUACUCUAAUUUGUGUCAAAUAUGAAAGUUUAGUUGAUCUCAUUAUAUGCUUAAAUAUUAAUGUCAUUUGUAAUUUUUCAUAUCAAUUUUAGUUAUCAUUUUAUUUCGCACAUCAAUAUGUAAAUGUAAAUUGUUUUACAUACCAAUUCAUAGAUAAUAGAGCAGGAUUGAAUUUUGCAUUUUCGUUGAAUAUUUACUUUGGUCCAAUUUUUUUUUUUCUCUAGCUUGUGUACUUUAAUAUGUACUAUAAUUAAGAUUGAUAGUAUAUUUUUUUAUUUGUUAAAAAAUAUAAAAUUAAUUAAAAAAUUUUUUUAUUAUCAUCACAUAAUAAUUUUUAUUAUUCUAUAUUAUUAUAUUAGCCGUGCAUCGCACGGGUGAAAAUCUAGUUAUUAUUAUUAUUACUACGAUAAAGCAUUUUUGAGUACCUAACGUUUGGGACCAACCGUACAAAAAGGAAAAUUGUACGAAAUUAACUUAAAUUUUAUUUUAUUGGAAAUAUAGCCGUAAAUUUUUUUAAAAAUGUUUUGAUUUAUUGUCUAUUCUUUCUAAUUUGAGUUUCAUGAAAUUAUUGCCAAUUAUUUACGCAGCUAAUAUGCACUAUGCCUUUUUUUCUUUUCUUUUUUUUUACACUUUAGAAAAUACAGUAUGCCGUAACUGAUCUUUGGUGUAAACUAUAUUUUCAAUUUAGCAAUCGGAAAAAAAAAUAUUUUUUGAAAAUUAAACAUGUGGAUGAAAUAUUAAGGUAUCGCACAAAUAUAACUGCAUAGUUCUUCAGUAAUAAUUAAGCAUAAUUUUAUAGUUUUGGAGGAGUAUAGAUUAAAACCGGAUUAAAGCUAAGCUUUUGGACCAUUCAAAAUAUAGAAAUAUUGCUUCUAACCACCCGGUGCCCAAACAAAGUCAGCUCAGUUGUAAUUUUUAUACUUACAAAUUAAAAUGGCUGGAAUAAAAUAAGAAAAAUAUUAAGGAUGAAUAAAACCCUGGUUCACACCUGUUUGGAUGCACCAGGUGUGGGUAGUGAUUUUUCAUGAACCAAAAUCAUAUAGUGUUAAAGAAUAGCGAGAAAAAUUAAAUUAAAAUUUUUAAAUAUUAGGUAAUUAAUUUCAAAUGAUAAAAAAUUCAGAUUAAUUACACAUAUUUUUAUCUCCCAAAAAUAAAACACACAACAACAACAAUAACAUGACCUCUGCAAAGAAGGGUCUUUCUUCGUCAUGAACAACAGGGCAUCCCUCUCUACCUUGAUCCGAAUUUGGUUGAUUAAGAGAAAAAAAAUUUUGAGCUCCCAAUAGAUAGAAAGAAACAUGGCUGCAUAUAAUUGUGGAGGGAAGGAUUUCUUUUUUUUUUUUUUAGAAAAAAAGGAGACAAAGCCUUAAUUAGCAAGAGCUCUUUUUGUACGAAUGAACAAGUGCAUUUAUGUAUGGUGACUUGGUCACGUUUUUAAGUUUCCUACAUGUAUUGCUUGGAUCCAUUAGUGAUAUUUACAGUUUGUAAUGGAUUGAUUCAUUAAGCAGUGCAGUCAAUUUGUUGUUGGAUGUAUGCUUCAAAAGCUUGGUCUUUCGUCAAAAAAUUAAUUGAAUGGUUCAAGCUAGGUGUUAUGCAAAAAGAUUCAAAUAAAUGGUUCAAGUUAGGUGUUUUUUUUUUUUAUAACAUUAUAAGCAUUGGAUGGAUUUUUGCUUUAAUCUAAAUAGUUUUAGAGUUAGCAGCUUGUUUUGGACACUCUUUAAUACUCGUUUUGGAGAGAAACCAUGCCUUUCUGCCUCUUUGUAUCGAAAUGGACAAGGAAACAGCAAGAUGCAAAGAGCAAAUUUGAUACUUACAAUAGUAUAAUCUAUUUCUCAAUAUCAAAGGAGGGUUUGGGAAUCAAAGGGUGACAUGUGUCGCCCUAAACCCUUUUACUCUCUCUCCACCCAAAACCAAUAACUUGAUAUUUUUAAAAGUAUAGUAGCUAAAUUUUAUAUAUAUCAAAAUUUAAAAUUUUGAUACUUUCAAAUUUUAUAUUUUAUAUUUUAAAAUUUAAAUUUAAUUUAUAAUAUUUAUUUUUAAAAUUUAAAUUUUAAAUUAAUUAAUUAAUUUUAUUAAUAAUUCAUAAUAUAUAAUAUAGUUAAUUAAUUUUAUUAAUAAUACGCAUAAUAAAUUGCGUAAUAAAAUCUAACCUAAUAGAUGCAAUUUAAAUCACGUAAAGUGUCACGCUCCGAGCUCCGCCUAUUUGGUCGGAUUCGGGCACGCCGACAGACCGCCGAACGGACANNNNNNNNNNNNNNNNNNNNNNNNNNNNNNNNNNNNNNNNNNNNNNNNNNNNNNNNNNNNNNNNNNNNNNNNNNNNNNNNNNNNNNNNNNNNNNNNNNNNNNNNNNNNNNNNNNNNNNNNNNNNNNNNNNNNNNNNNNNNNNNNNNNNNNNNNNNNNNNNNNNNNNNNNNNNNNNNNNNNNNNNNNNNNNNNNNNNNNNNNNNNNNNNNNNNNNNNNNNNNNNNNNNNNNNNNNNNNNNNNNNNNNNNNNNNNNNNNNNNNNNNNNNNNNNNNNNNNNNNNNNNNNNNNNNNNNNNNNNNNNNNNNNNNNNNNNNNNNNNNNNNNNNNNNNNNNNNNNNNNNNNNNNNNNNNNNNNNNNNNNNNNNNNNNNNNNNNNNNNNNNNNNNNNNNNNNNNNNNNNNNNNNNNNNNNNNNNNNNNNNNNNNNNNNNNNNNNNNNNNNNNNNNNNNNNNNNNNNNNNNNNNNNNNNNNNNNNNNNNNNNNNNNNNNNNNNNNNNNNNNNNNNNNNNNNNNNNNNNNNNNNNNNNNNNNNNNNNNNNNNNNNNNNNNNNNNNNNNNNNNNNNNNNNNNNNNNNNNNNNNNNNNNNNNNNNNNNNNNNNNNNNNNNNNNNNNNNNNNNNNNNNNNNNNNNNNNNNNNNNNNNNNNNNNNNNNNNNNNNNNNNNNNNNNNNNCUAUAUAAAAAUAUUAAAAAAAUAAAAUUUAUUAUAAAAAUAUUUUUACAUUUGCAGCAUUGCGCGGGUAUUUCACUUGUCUUCUACUAUAUUAAAGGAGGGUUUGAGGAGACCUUGGGGUGACAAAUGUCCCUCGAACCCUUCCCUACUCUCUCUCAUAUAUAUAUAUAUGUAUAUAUAUGUAUAUGUAUAUAUGUGUAUAUAUAUAUAUAUAUGUGUAUAUGUAUAUAUGUGUAUAUGUAUAUAUGUGUAUAUAUAUAUAUAUGUGUAUAUGUAUGUGUAUAUGUGUAUAUAUAUAUAUAUGUAUAUAUAUAUAUAUAUGUGUAUAUGUAUAUAUGUAUAUAUAUGUGUAUAUGUAUAUAUGUAUAUAUAUGUAUAUAUAUGUAUGAAUGAGGGUACUAUGCUAUCGGAAGCACGGAGCCUUCCGUGCUUCCAGCUCGUUUUCGAUGUUGCGAUUUUCGAAUCGUCGAUUGGCUCCGUUAAAAUUGAUCUAGAGUAUUUGAAGUGCCUAGAAAAUAAAUUUUAUUAUUUUUCGAUAUCAUUUGCCUAGUGAUCGAAUGAGCUCAAAAUCAACAAAUUUCAAUGGCCGUAGUGAGCCGUUUGCAAGUUUAACGGUAUAGAAAUAUCCAAAUCACGUGAAAUUUUGAUAGAAAAUUUUUUAUACUAUAUAAAACAAGAUCAAUAUUUUUGAUUUAAAAUUUUAAUGUCAUAUUANCGGCAGGCUGAGUUCAAGCACCGUGAGACAUUCUCGGCCGUCGACGAAAAGGAAAUAGUUGGGAGAUAUGAUGAUAAAGAGAAAAUUGUGAAGCUACUGCUAGAGACGGCCGGCGAUCACGACGUGUCGGUCAUUCCGAUCGUGGGAUUGGGGGGUUUGGGGAAGACGACGCUCGCUCAAAUGGCCUUCAACGACGGACGGGUUACGGGCCAGCAGCGCUUCGAUCUACGGGUGUGGGUCUGCGUGUCUACCGAUUUCCACAUGAAGACGAUUGAUUGCAAAGCCGGUAAUAUCUGCAACCAAAGAGGAGUGUGAUCUUGAUAACUUGGAAUCCGUAGCGAGUUUUCUCCUCAGGAUUUUUAGUCUAAACAGAUUUUUGCUGGUGCUGGACAAUGUAUGGAACGAAGAUCAGGAAAAGUGGGAGAAAUUGAAGGUCUUAUUUAAGGACGGCAAGAAGGGAAGUAAAAUUUUAGUGACCACACGGAGCAAGAAGGUUGCCACGAUAAUGAAAACAGUCGAACCACACCAUGUGAAAGUCUUAUCAGAUGAUGAUUGUUGGACAUUGUUCAAAAGACGGGCAUUUGACGAAGGGGAAGAGAACGACUAUCUGAGCUUGCUCGAAAUCGGAAAGCAGAUAGUUAGGAAGUGCGGCGGUGUGCCUUUAGCAGCAAAUGCUUUAGGAAGUAUGAUGCGCUUUAAGAGCAGGACGGAGGAUGCAUGGUCCGCUAUUAGAGAUAGCGAAAUAUGGAGGUUGGAAGAAGAAGGAACUAUUUUACCAUCAUUGAAAUUGAGCUACAUUCAGAUGCCAUCAGCUUUGAAGCAGUGCUUCGCUUACUGCUCCAUAUUCCCCAAAGACUAUGACAUUGACAAGGAUGACUUAAUCCGGCAAUGGAUUGCUUUAGGCUUCAUUUCAUCGCAUGAAAAAGGGACUUCGAUGGAAGAUAUUGGGAAUGAGUACUUUAACGAUCUAUUAUGGAUGUCUUUCCUUCAACAAGUGUGGGAAAGUUUUAGCAAGGUUACCUGCCGUAUGCAUGAUUUAGUGCAUGACCUCGCACAAUCUGUGGCAAAAGAAGAAGUUGCUGUUAUAGGUGCAGAAGACUAAGCAAGGAUCCCAGAAGGUUGCCGCUAUGCAUCAAUACAGAGUCGUUUCAUGCCACAAGUUUCAAUUACCGUAAUGCGAAGGUUGCGAACUCUUCAAUUUAGGGAAUCUGGUUCACCUAUUAUGAAUUUUUAUAGCGAAGCAAAAUGUUUACGCCUGUUGGAUUUACAUGAUUCCAAAAUUUCUAUGUUGCCAAGCUCAAUCAGUAAGUUGAAGCUCUUAAGAUACCUCAACCUUUCGGAGAACAGUAUACAAGAAUUGCCUAAAUCAAUUACCAGCCUCUGCAACUUGCAAACCUUGAAUCUUUCAGGCUGCCAAAAGAUCCGUACAUUACCCAAAUUUCUAGGAAGGCUUACGAAUUUGCGGAGUUUAGAUUUAAGAGAUUGCAAAUCUCUGACAAUACCAGACUCCAUUAGCAACCUUCAGAAUUUGUAAGCACUAAAUUUGAGUUCGUGCGAAAAGGCGAUAUCACUUGAACCUAUAUGUCACCUCAAAAACCUGCAUUACCUGGCCCUAUCACAUCUAGAUUCUUUGGUGACAUUACCUGAAUCCAUUGGGAGCGUUCAAAACUUGCGUAUUCUGAAUAUUUCUUGGUGCUCUUCUCUACUAUCAUUACCCUCAUCGUUUUGUCAACUCAAAAACCUACAUAACUUAUACCUAUUAUUUCUGACUUCUUUGGUGACAUUACCUGAAUCCAUUGGGAACCUUCAAAACUUGCGUCAUCUGAACCUUAUGUGUUGCUCUUCUCUACUAUCAUUACCCUCAUCGUCAAGUGAUCUUCAGCAUUUAGAGAAACUAGACAUUAGUAAUUGUGAAAAAUUAUGUGAGCUGCCUAAAAUGAUCCAAAAGCUGACCAAACUAAAAGAAUUGUUAAACUCCCAUUGCUCGGAAUUGAAGGGCAUGCCUCGAGGGAUCGGCAAGUUAGUUAGCUUGCAGGAAUUGUCCCUUUUUGUCGUCGGCAAGCAAGACCGCGUCGAACAUUGUGCUAGCAUUUCUGAGCUAGAGCACCUUAAGCUUGUCGGCCGGCUGAAGAUCAAGGGUNNNNNNNNNNNNNNNNNNNNNNNNNNNNNNNNNNNNNNNNNNNNNNNNNNNNNNNNNNNNNNNNNNNNNNNNNNNNNNNNNNNNNNNNNNNNNNNNNNNNAUAUAUUUUUAUUAUUUAAAUUUUAGCAAAAUAAAAAUAUAAAUGCGAGCUUAAUUAUAAAAAGACUCAUUUAUAUGUAAAGUUUCAACAAUUAGAUCAAACUCUAAUGAAUAAAAUUUUAUAAAUUUAUUUUUUAUAUAUAUUUAAUCUAAUCUUUUUUAAUUUAUUGUUCGUUGGCCAGCUUAUGGGCCACCUCGACACGAGCUGAAUUUUUCGGCUCGAUACUUUAACGAGCUAGCUCGCGAACACAAGCCAAUCCCAGUUCGUACGUGUUCGGCUCGUUUACACCCGUACUUGGCAGUAUUUGACAGCUGGAUUAGACACACCUUGUUCUUGAAGUUGACUUGUAUGACAAGGACCGGUGUUUAGAUUCGGAGAGUAAAUUUAAAACAUAAAUUUUUAAUUCGAGGCUAAAUAAUAAUUAUAUCUAAUGUCGAAUUUAUUUAUUUAUUUUUGAGAGAUAGGUAAGAUGCUACCUGCUUCGUUUAUUUCAUUUAGAAAUAAACUUAGUUAGAAAUGUGAAUCAAUUAGGAUUCGAACUUGGGACAUCAGGUACCAACCACCAAACCCUUUGUCGUGCUAGGCACGGUCGGUUAAUGUCGAAUUUAUUACAUUAUCACCUUUCAGAUUUAGACUCUUUUAUGUCAGCCCUUCAAUUAAGCUGGGCAUUCAAUAUGGAAUCUAGAAGUUGACUUGUAGAACACAAAAUUUCUAAGCUAACUUUGGACCUAGAAAUUUUCUACGCGGAUUUUGGGAGUGCUUGCAUUUUGAGACCAUAGUUAGUUAAUUCGGAUUCGGCAAGAGUUCGGUAUGAAUAUAAUACGAAUAAAAUUUGUAUCCUAAUUUUUAAAUCCGUAGAAUAAUACGGCUAAAAAACGGAUUCGCCAAUUAUAUACAGAUACUAUAUGUUCAUCAAUUAAAAAUUCGGGAUAAAAAAUUCGGCUAUUAAAUUAAUUUUUUUUCUCUAGAUUUAUACUAUUAGCAUAAAUACUCAUAAUUCUUAAGAAUAUAAAAAUAAGGAGCUGCAGAAUUAAGCAGAUUUAAGUAAAAAAAAUUAACGACUCAAAUAUUUCAAGUUCUACCACAUGACUGCCUAUCAUGGAUCGAAAGAAUAAAAUCACAUCCAAAAAACAUUAGAAUUAGCCCUCAAUAAUGCAUCAAACAUAACUUAACUCUAAAUAAUUAACCCCACUCCAUUGGUUCUGAGUCUUCAGACAACAUCGAGCAAAUUUCGGGCGAGUGAAUAUUUUUUUUUUUUUUUCCCGUUUUGAGCGCGUGUGCUGCUUGCGGAGGGAGGGUACGGACACCCUCGAUAAUUUCGGGUUCGCGAAUUAUAAACCCUAAAAAACGAGAAUUAUUUUAAUUUUUUCUUAAAAAAAGUACGUAUUCGGUUUCCUUUAUUCGUUAUUCAAAAAAUCUCUUUACAUUUAACCUCUGUUGUUACCAUAUUGAUUCCAUUAGAAAUUUAUUUUUAAUAUCGAACUUGUCCUUUUGCUACCUCCAAUUUCUCUCCUUUUUUGUCUUUUUCUCAUGUAUUUUUUCCUUCAAAUUAAUAUGAUAGAUGAGAAAAAGUAUAUUAAGAGGUUCUAAACCUUCUGUGUCAAUAUGACACCUCGUAAUAUUUAUAGGCUGUACUUGAGUUAUUUCAAUCAAUUAAAUUGAAGGCUUAAUUAAAUUAAUUAUUGAUUCUACUGAAUUUUAUAUUGAGUAUUUUGGUAUUUGCUCUGAAACUAGUUAUUGAGAAUCCGCAACCCACUUUGAUACCGAUUGUUGUAAAUUUAACACUCGUUCUGGUAUGGAUUGUUUGGAUUACGCAAAGAAAGCAUCCAAUCGAAUUUUAACCAUAAACUCAUCUACUCAGCAAAAAUUGAUACAAACACAAAAAAGAAAAAAAUCAAAUAGAAAGCAUAGAUGAAAUAAAUUUCACUAACCAAGAAAAGAAUUAUACCUGACUCCUCUUUUACCCAAAAUAGUUUCAACCCGAGCCCUCUUUCUGAAUCUCCCUCGCUUCUAUCUUGAUUCUAUGAAUUCAGAAGACUACUCUCUCUUUUUCUAAAUCCAUGCUCGAGAUAUAUUGAUCAUCCACAGCCACAGAAGCCGCACACCUCCUCUUACACCUAUACAAUGAUGCACCUAAAACCGUGGACACUUUGGGCCACACACGACAUGCCUUCCGACUGAGACGUACGGCUCAUCAAGAGCACCCACAACAUGGCCGUAAUUGUGCUUAUUGAUGGGAAUCCAGUACUCACCCUGGUACCGGAUCUUGAGAAUCUGCAGCACGCUCCGAUACCGACUGUUGUUGAUUCGGUACCAGAUGUUGCGAUUUUGCAACGGAAGCAUCGAAUCGAAUUUUUACCAUAAAUCCGUCUCCUCAGCAGAAGCUGAUACAAUCAGAAAAGUGAGUAAAAACCAAACAGAAAAAUAUACGGGUAAAAUAAGAUUCACUAAAUAAGAGAAUAUUACAUCUGACUCCUCUUCAAUAAUAGAGUAGCUUCAACCCGAGCCCUCUUUUUGAAUCUCUCCUAUUUUCUCGUCUUCUAUAAACCCACAAAAGAAGACUUCUUUUUUUUUUCUCUCUUACAUGCACCCGUGCACUAGGAGCAUGCAACCGGGCCUAGGCUUCUCCACUAUACGGUCACCACCAUAAAAAGGCUCUCUCUCAUCCGAACAUCAUCUAGACUCACUACAAUUUGCAUACUAUGGCCCAAUAUUUAAAGCGGGCUCCACCCAAAAUAUACCCAAAUCCUAGUAUAAUUAGAAUUCCUACUCCAAUUAAUAUUUAAAUCUAUAUUUUAUUUAUCUCCAAUAUAUUUAAAUAUUUAUCAUAAUCUAAUUAGAUUUAUACUCUAAUUAAUAUUUAAAUCUUAAUUUAUCUCUAAUAGAUUUAAANGUCUACUGACAGCUCAAAGUCGACAAAAGAGUUAUGCGGAUAAACGUCGGCGAGAACUGGAAUUUCAAGUUGGCGAUCAUGUAUUUUUGAAGGUUUCACCGACGAAAGGAGUUAAAAGAUUUGGCAUUCGAGGAAAGUUAAGCCCUCGAUUUAUUGGACCCUACGAGGUGUUGGAGCGGAUAGGCCCCGUAGCAUAUCGGCUUGCUUUGCCGCCGAACCUAUCGGGAGUGCAUAAUGUGUUUCAUGUGUCCACACUUCGGAACUAUGUAUUUGAUCCAACCCACGUACUGGAGAGUAUUCCAGUAGAGUUGCAUGAAGAUUUGAGCUUCGAAGAGCAUCCCGUGAGAAUACUAGCUCGAGAAGUUAAACGGCUUCGAAAUCGCGAGAUACCCUACGUGAAGAUCCUUUGGAGCAAUCACGAGGAACGGGAAGCCACUUGGGAACUGGAGAGUGCAAUGCAAGAGCAUUAUCCCUAUCUAUUCUCAAUGGAGCCUUGAAGUAAGUAUUUACAAGUUUCGCGGACGAAACUUCUUUUUAGGAGGGGUGAAUGUAAUACACUGACUCUAGCAAAUUGCGGAGUCCGAGUGUGUGGAAUGAGUUGUGGAACUAUCCUACGUGUUCUAAAGGACUUAAACAAGUUUUUGGACAAGUUUGAAAGUGAUUGGAUGGCUAAAAACAGGAAAGUGCAUUGAUUGGGCGAAAUCAGCCUUUUCUGCUUGGUGUACCGGUACAGCCAUUAUGGUGUACCGGUACACAAUGGAAAAACGUGGCAGCAGGGCUAUUUUGGUAAUUUCACACUUUGAUCCUAUCUAUUUCAUUCCAGCACGACUCCUGGGGCUCAGUGGAGGUUGCUGGAGACCAGAGAAGCAACUUUGCACCAUUCUCUCUUUCUCUCUCUAGGGUUUUUCUCUCUCUAGAUAAAAGUCGCCGUUUCGCGCCGAUUUCGCGCCGCGCUCGUCGCUCGCUGGUUCGGUGGGCUUGGGGCCAGCUUUUAAAAGGUAAAGGGAGGUGUUUUGACAGUGUUUUUCAUGUCUAUUACUGAGAGUUGCUGAACGAGAACUUUAGAAAAGUAUUUAGUUCAAUUUCUCUCUAGUUUGCGGUUUAUCGUCGGAAUUUGACGUGUUCUUAUUCCGUUGCUUCCAGCAGAGUUGUCUGGGGUUCUUGCAGCUAGAAAGGAGAUAUCUAGCUGUGAUUUAACCACUUUGAUCCAGGGAAAAAUUGCCUUGAGGCUUGAGACAGGUAUUUAGUCAACUAUUAAACUAUUUCGGACCCUUAGGCGACCUAAUCGAAUAAUUGACGCAGUUUGAGGUCGUUCUUUUCGCAGCAGGUUUCCAAGUAUCAUUUAACUAAAUUGAGGACCUGGGGAUCUGGUUUGGAGGGUAUUCUAACUAAGGGUAAGCUAGAACUUCAGUUAGAAAACUGAAAUUGCAAGUUUCCGGCAAUAUUUAUUGGUAGUCAAUGAUUUUGACGCCGUUUUGAUCAUGUUCGCAGCGAAAGGGUAAUUGACCCUUGGAUCAUCUUCGACUGGCAUCGAAGGGCUUUUUGGCAGCUUCUCUUGAGGUAAAACACUAACCCAGAAUAGGGAUUCAAGGGGUUACUUUGUACUAAGUGUAAAUUAGGCCGAAAUCGGACAUUCGGUCGUUAUUUUGACUCGGCUUUGAUGCCUUAUUUUCAGCAGGAGUGUGACUUCGUGGGGCUGAUUUUGGGACGUCUUGUGACUGCUUUGAGCAUAGUACGAGGUGGGUCGGACCUAACCAGAGCAAGUGAAUCCCUAGGUCUACGUAUGUAUUGAUAGAAAUGGUUUAUUGGUGCUAUGGGCGAUCGUUAAAGGCUCCGAACUCGUCAUCACGACGUUAUCAUAGGUGAGAGAGCCGUGUAUGCAUAAAGGAUCAUGCAUUCAGUAUUUUUGUUUUGAUUCAGGUAGAACACACUAGAAUUCAGUUAUUAUAUUUCAUAUGAUAUAAGAACUAUAACAUGAAAGUAUUCCACAUUUAUAUCAAUCAGUUGAAUGUCGUUUGAACAAUGGACGGAACAUUUAAAGUAGAGAACAAGAAUUCCGUUGACUCGAACGUAGAGAAAAUCGACAUGCCGGACUAGUGAGAUGGCCAUACAGGGACAAGAUUAAAUGCUAUGUGAUUAGCUUACCUACCAUGUUUACAAAUCUAGCGGAACUAGCUCUUGUCUAUUGUGAUGAAAUUCCGCGAUGCUAGGAUCGAGGUAAAGAACUUGCAGAUAUGAAAUUGUGAAUAGGAAUUGGAUAUUGGUUGCUUGCACCGUGCUCAAUUCGCAGCACGCUGUGAGGGUAGCUCCUACAAGCCGGCACUCCGGAGUGGCCUAGCGACAGUCUCCCCCGUCGGAUUGGGUGCCGAAGUGGUUGCGGGGAGUGUAUACCACCACGGGACCAUUAGGCGCGGCGCAAGCUGGACUACCUGUAGGUCCCGUAUGAAAGGAAAGUACCUAAAUGAAGAAGAGACAUAAAUGACAGGUUUAUUACGGUAAAGUGUACAGUAUCACUUUUAAAUCGUGCUUAUACCAUGCUAUGUCAUGAUACAGAAGUCGCUAUAUUCUUUUUAGGCAAGAUGGUUCUAUUACCGCCGUAGAAAGCGUAUUACACUGUUGAUAUAGCAGCUAUAUUAUAGGCACAUGCUUAUAAAUCAUCAAUAUGGUUCAUUGCUUUCAUUUAGGACAUCUUGAGCCUAUUGGUGUGAGUCGCCGAGGCUGGCGGCUUACCCACUGGGAACUAGGUAAUAGUUCUCACAGGCCUUGGUGGUGUUGACAGAGCCUAGUUACAGGAGAGGCUAAGGAUCGGGUCAAGGGAGUCCGCCGAGGCUAGGGACUACUAGGAAGCUGCUAGUCGAUCACUCUUGCUACUCGGGCUAACGCCGAGGGUGAGUCCUAUGUAUAGAGAGACCACCGUUGUACCUAUUCUUUUUGGUAUACCCAGAUGUAAAUGGUACUUUUAGGGUUGAGAUCGUGGUGUUACUUCUCCCUUUUGUUGAGAUCUUGGAGUUGUAUGACUCUAUUGAUUUGGAACCUGGAUUUGAUACACCGUGUAUCCGACUUGACCUUGCUGCUGAAUACAGGAUCGAGACUCUCUUGGUUUACUUCUCUAUCCUAACUUGCUAUCUUGUAGAGCAGGCCUUAAUACUGCAGGUUAGCGGGGUCUGUCCAGUUGGCCGAGAGAAUGCUUACCGCGGGGUACCGGGCGUGACGAAUUAUGGACCAGGAGCCUAGGUUGCAGUCUUAGUAAACGUCUAGCAACCUUAGGGCGCGCUGGUGACUAUAAUAGGAAGAUGCCGGCUGGAGAACGAUGCGAGUCGAGGUUGUUGUUAGCUGAGGGUAACUUGAUGGGGGCCUUUAAACUCCAUAGUAGUAGGUGAUCGUGGAUGUGCAAGUACUACUUUGGGCCGAGGUACUUCGCGUCCGGCCGACAACGUGAAUCGGAAGUUAUAGGCGUUACAUUUCCAUUACGUUUCCGCUCGAUUAGCGGUUUAUAUCCUCAAUGAGCGGUUUCAGUUAGAAAUGGUUUAUUGACCUAGUUGUUUUGUGUUGCAGUUCAAGAUGCCGGACUGAUCGCUCUGGGAACGCCGGGCGGCUGAGCGCGGCCGCUGGCGGGAAGAGGUAGAGAACCUUCCCGCACGCGCGGCGUUCGCACGUGAGCUCCAUAGAGUUCAGGAUCAGCUUGCGACGCUGACAGAGUGGUAUCAGCAGCCGCGGCAGCACGUCAGCAGAUGGAGCGCUGCGCGUCGCAGGCAGGACACGGAUGAAGAGGUUAGAGGACUUACAGCGGCAGACAGACCGACAGAGAGAUUGCCAGAUGCGACCCUAUAGCACCCAAGAGAGGGGCACGACAAGUGAGAGCACAAGGUCACCGACGGACCCGACACACCCCCAGGCUGCCGAGGGUAGACGACGCCGACGAGGAGACGAUACCACCAUCAGUACCCUGUAGCAGCAUCAAGGGACUGUGUUACCCGAGUGGGCGGGGUGAGAAGCGGGGAAGCGGAUAUGAUGGAUACGAGCGAAUGAAUCCGUCGCCUGCAAUCCCUCAUGUCUUUGAUGGGAGAAGCAGAUCAUUGGUAGAUGUGAGAAAUGGUAAUGCACAAUGGAGAAUUAUUCUAUGACACCGUUUGUUGAGGAGCAGUAUCCGAGUCUGGUUUGCGACACACCACCUUGAUCGUGAGGCUACAGGGUGGGUGACAUUCGCAGAGGAUCCCCGUGCUGACUUGUCUGCUAUUCACGUGGAACAGAUUCAAGGAACCGUUGGUGACUACUUACUUGCCCCCAAGUGUAAAGAACAAAUGGACAAGGGAUCUGAGAACCUAGACACGGGGAAGAAGUGGCAGCGUUAUGGGAAAGAGUUUCUCUCGAUACUCACCUGUGUUCCUUUUGUAGUCGAGAUAAGGACAAGGCUCGAUAUUAGGUGGGUUGCGACCUGCGCAUCGGUCACAUUGUCGCACGGCCGCAAACAUCUCCACUCUAACCGGGAUGUCGUGAACCGGGCCUUCUGUUGUUGAGAAGGGGGCAGAAAUCAUCGAAGAUCAAGAGAUGUUGUGGAACUCGAAGCAAGGGAGAAGAGAAGCAGCAGCUGGAGAGGCAUGGUCAGCAGUCCUUUCGGAGACGCGCCAAAGUAAUCCGAAGGAACAGAGCCGACAGUCGUGACAGUUCGAGGGUCGAGGUUCUUCAGCACCCGUGGAGCACCCAGAGCCGUCGACCACGCGCUUGUGAUUUCUGUGUGCCACGUAACCGCCCAAUGUGUCGCACAGCGUGGGGGCCGGGGCGUUCUUGUGCGCGCCCAGAGGGCACUUUCGUCAGAGUCCCGAGAUUCUUUGCCAGCACCCUCGUUAGCGGACUACCACCUGCAUCGUCAGCAACGCGAGCCAGGGGACCCGACACGCGUCUUAUCAGUCAGGCCGACCACCAGGGACACGCAGUCGAGAGUCAAGGCAGGGUUCGAGUGCGGGAUGUAUGCCGCCGAGACUGAGGUGGCCGCCACAGCAGCAAGGAGGUGCGAGCAGGUAUAUUACUUAUAAGGCGUGUUCGUGCGCAUUUAUUUGAGUAUGUGCUAUACGCAUUCGUUAUUGAUCGUGCAGUUCGACGGAGUUGCAUAGCAAAAGUAGCACCUACUUUGUUAUUGGGACAUAAAUUGUACCUAGACCAUAACCUAGAGGUUCGGAGUUUUGCCCUCGCUGGCCCAGUUAGGGUAGCGAUGAUUCAUGCCAGUAAUGUCAUCUAGCAUACACAAACUAGUGAGUUGAGUGUAGAUGGGUAUGAGCUGUUGACACAGAUCAUGGCUACUAUAGAUUCAACGACAGAACGGACCUUUAAGAACGCGGUCAACAGGAGUUUGUUUAUAAGCGACGAUGUCAGAGUCAUUGGUCACAAGCCAUUAGUUCCGCGACGCACGACAGAAGUCGGAGGGGAUGUUAGGCCUAUUUGGCACAUUUCUGGAGUGGGUGAAGCCAUCAAGAGUGAUAUAUCCACGUUGUGCGCGCAUUCGGGAGUUUUCCAGCUAAGUUGCCGCAUGCCACGCAUGAUAGGGAAAGUCGAAAUUGUGAUUGAUCUGUCGCCUCGGACACCGCCCAUUGUCUAAGGCGCCUUAUAGAUGGCACCGCGAUUGGAAAGAGCUGAAGGACAGUUACAAGGAUCUUUAGAUAGGAUUAUUCGACCGAUGUGUAUCGCUUGGGGAGCGCCGUUAUGUCAAGGAAGAAAGAUGGAUCUCUUUCGAUGUGGCGUGAUUCGACAAAUCAACAAGGUCCACAUCAAGCAACAAAAUCCAUGGCCGUAGAAUUCGAUGAAUAUUGGACCAGCGGCAGGAUCGAAGGUUAUUCCAAGAUUGAUUUUGGCAAUCUGGUACCAUCAGCGUAAGACAACCUGAAGAUGUUUCGGAAAACUGCUUUUAGAACAGGUAUGGGCAGUAUGAUUUACAGUCAUGCCAUUUGGAUUGACUAAUGCCAGCAGCCUUUAUGGAUUUAAUGAGCGCGUGUCUUAAGGCCUAUUUGAUAAAUCGUGUAGUGUUUAUCGAUGAACAUCUUGAUCUAUUCCGAAGUGACGACGAACACGAAUCAUGAUUGAGAGUGGGUUGGCAAGACUGCCGCAGAAAAAAAGCUGUUUGCAACCAAGAAACCGAAUUUGGCUGCUCGAAGAAGUGGCAUUUCUGGACAUGUAAUUCGGAAACUGGAUAGCUGGGGAUCCACAGAAGAUGAGGCGAUUAAAGAUUGGCCUAGGCACGACAGGUCACAGAGAUCCGGAGUUCCUUGGAUUGGCGGGAUACUACGGAAGAUUGAAAAAAAAGGAUUGGCAAAGAUGUCUACUCCUCUCACAUCACCACACAUAAAGAGAAUAAUUCUAGUGAACGAAGCUUUGAAAGAACUAUCCAAGAGCUGAAAGGAACAUUGCCACCGCCCCGAUUCUAGCACUAAGCUUUACUCGGAGUGGAUAUUGAUUUACACAGCGAUGCGUCGCUGAAUGGGUUAGGGUGUUCUAGUGCAUGAAAUGCAACGUAAUUGCUUAUGCAUCUGCCCAGUUGAAGAUAUGAAAAGAACGACCCUACACAUGAUUAAGUUGCAGUGUGGUUUUGCCUAAAGCUUGCGCCACUACCUUCUACGGGCGAGCGUGGCGAGGUUUACAACGAUCAUAAGAGCUUAAAGUAUCUGUUACUUUCAGAAGGAAUGACAACCUGAGGCAACGAGAUGGGUGUAGUAGCUCAAGAUUAUGAUGACAUUUUGACUAUCAUCCAGGAAAAGCUAAUGUGUAAGCAGAUGCUUAAGGCAGAAAAUCGACGGAAAAUUGGCGAUGUCGAUAACUAUGGCAGCCCCUGUUGAUUAAGGACCAUGGAGCAUUGAAUGUGAAGGUUAGCCCUGAUAGCCUGGAACUUAAUGUCAGGGUGAGGUGAAACCUACCCGAUGAUCGAUCGAAUUAAAGAAAAGGCAAGCUCAAGAAUGAAUCCCUGGCAAUAAGAUUCGAGUAAAGAUCAUGCUGAAUGUGUGAUUCGAGUGGAUGAUUCAGGGACUAUUAAGAUUUAGAUAGGCUUGUGUGCCAGCAAAUCAGAGACAUUAACAAAGAUGUUUUAAAGAGGCACCACCGGGCGCGGAGACGUACCAUACCCUGGAAGUACAGAAAAUGUAUAUAGGAUUCUGACGUUACACUUACCUGGUGGCUAGCACAUGAAAAAGGAAGUGGCGGACAUACGUCUAAGUGUUUAACGUCAGCAGGUUAAAAGCUGAACACGACUUCCUGCGGGAAAUCGUCAGAGCUACCCAGACAGUGUGAAGUGGGAGAUGGAUAGCUAGGAUUCAUCGUGGAUUCCCCCAAGCAGUACAGCGAUGCAAUUUGGUAAUGGUGGAUGCGAUUGACUCACUCUGCCCCACUUAUUCCAAUCCACACACUUGGUCAGGAGAAACUCGCACAAUAAGCUGAUAAAAUGCGCGAUUAACGAUGGAGUAACACAGGCCUCUAUGUUCGGAUCGAGACACCCGAUUCGUUCACAUUCUGGAGAAUUUACAGGAAGGCCAAUGGGACCUCGAUUCGAUUUAAGUAUAGACGCUUGCCACCCCCAAGUGAUGGCAGCCGGAGCGACUAGCCAGACCCUUGAGAUAGUUGCGCGGCGCUGUGUGAUUGAUUAGCAAGGCAGUUGGCCCGAGUUCGUACCGGAGGGCUGAAUGCUUAUAACAACAGUUAUCACGCAAGCUAUUCAGAUGGCCACUUUGAGCCCCUUAGGUAGAAAAGUCGCAGAUCACACUUCAUGGAGUGAAGUCGGUUGAGAGAUGGUUGGCCAGACCGAUUUACAAGAGGCUGAAGCUAAGUGCGACUUGCGCGAGAAGCUACUGACAGCUCACCAAGUCGACAAAAGAUUAUGCGGAUAAAUCGGGAAACGAGGAAUUCAAGUUGCGACAACGUAUCUUUUGAAGGAUUUCACGAACCGAAAGAGGAGUAAAAGAUGUUGGCCAUUCGAGCAAGUUUAAGCCCUCGAUUAUUGGACCUACGAGGUUUGGAGCGGAUAGGCCCCGUAGCAUAUCGGGCCGUGCUUUGGCCGCCGAACCUAUCGGGAGUGCAUAAGUGUCUGGUCCACAUUCGGAACUAUUAUUUGAUCCAACGGCCACGUACUGGAGAGUAUCCAGUAGAGUUGCAGAAGAGUUUGAGCUUAAAGAGCGCAGCCGUGGAGAAUACUAGCUCGAGAAUUAAACGGCUUCGAAAUCGGAGAUACCUACGGAAGAUCCUUGGAGGGCAAUCACAGGAACCGGGAAGCCACAUGGGAACUGGAGAGGCAAGCAAGAGCAUUAUCCAUCUAUCUCAAUGGAGGCUUGAAAGUAAGUAGUUACAAUUUCGGCCGGGCAACUCAAACUGCUUGUUAGGAAGGGUGAAUGUAAUACACUGACCUAGCAAUUGCGGAGUCGGCGAGAUGGGAAUGAGUUGGGAACAUCUAAUGUUCUAAAGACUUAACAAGUUUUGGACGAAGUGUUGAAGUGAUGGAGGCUAAAACAGGAAAGUGCCAUGAUUGGGCGAAAUAGACCUUUCUGCUUGUGACACGCGGUACAAGCCAUUAGGUGUAACCGAUACACAAGGAACAACGCACACGGCUAUUUGCAUUUUCACACUUUUGAUCGUCAUCAUUUCAUUCCAGCACGACUCCUGGGCUCGUGGAGGUUGCUGGAGACCAGAGACGAAACUUGCACCAUUCUCCGUCUUCUCUCUCUAGGGUUUCUCUCUCUAGAGAAAAAGUCGCCAGUUUCGCCCGAUUUCGCGCGCCCUCGUCGCAUCGCUGGUUCGGUGGGCUUGGGCCCAGCUUUAAAAGGUAAAGGCGAGGUGUUUUACAGUGUUUUUCAUGUUUACUGAGAUUGCCUGAAUCGAGACACUUUAGAAAGUAUGUUAGUCAAUUUGCUCUCAGUUUGCGGUUUAUCGUCGAAUUUGACGUGUUCUUAUCUUGUCCAAGAGAGUUGUCCUGGGUUCCGGCAGCUAAAAGGGAGAUAUCUAGCUGUGACUUUAACACAACUUGGAUCCAGGGGAAAAAUUGCCUUGAGGCUUGAGACAGGUAUGUUAGUCACUAUUAAACUAUUUCGGCACCCUUAGGCGACCUAAUCGAAAUACUUGACGCAGUUUGAGUCGUUCUUUCGCAGCAGGUUUCCCCAAGUAUCAUAUUAACUAAAUAUGAGGACCUGGGCGACUGUUGGAGGGUAUUCUAAACUAAGGUUAAGCAGAACUUCAGUUAGAAAACUGAAAUUGGCAAGUUUCCGGCAAUAUUUAUUGGUAGUCAACGAUUUGACGCCGUUUUGAUCAUGUCGCAGCGAGAAGGGUAAUUGACCCUUGGAUCAUCUUCGACUGGCAUCGAAGGGCUUUUGGCAGCUUCUCUUGAGAAAACACAUAACCCAGAAUAGGGAUUCAAGGGUACUUUGUAGCUAAGUGUAAAUUAGGCCGAAAUCGGACAUUCGGUCGUUAUUUCGACUCGGCUUUGAUGCCUUAUUUUCAGCAGAGUGUGACUUCGUGGGCUGAUUUUGGGACGUCUUGUGAUCGUUGGAGCGCUAGUACUGAGUGGGCUCGGACCUAAACCAGAGCAAGUGAAACCCUCAUUUCCUAUAGUAAUUAUAGAAAUGUUAAUUGUGUGUUAUGCGAUUGUUAAUAGGCUCGGGAUACGUACAUCACGACGUUUAGAUCAUAUAGUGAAUGACGUUUAUGCAUAAAAGUACUAUGCAUUCAGUAUUUUGAUGUCAGUGAAGCAACUAGAAUUCAUUUAUUAUGUUUCCUCAUGAUAUAGAGAACAUAUAUACGAUGAAGAUAUUCACAGUUAUAUUCAAUCAGACUUGAAUGUCUCGUUUGAACAAGUGAGGAUACACUUUAAAGUAGAGCAACAAUGACAUUCUCUUGACUGCGAACGUAGAAAGAACUCUGACAUGCUCUGGACUAUGUUGAUAAGUGCCCUCUAACUAGUGAAAAGAUUAUAAUUGCUCUAUGUGAAUUUUAGCUUACCUUACGAUUUUACAAUCUAGUGAUACUAGCUCUUGUUACUAUGGGUAUUGAAAUUCCGAUCAGGAUCGGGAAAACUUUGCAAUGAAAUUAUGAAAUUGUUGGAUAUGUGGAUAUUGGAUAUGUUUGCUUGCCAUCGGCCAUUCGCGACGCUGUGAGGGGUAGCUCCUACAACCGGACUCCUGGAGUUAGCCUAUGCGACAGUUGUCCAGCCCGUGCGGGAUGGUUGGUCCGAAGGGAUGCCGGGGGAGUGUAUACUACCACGGGCCUAUAGGCGCGGCGCAAGCUGCGACUACCUUGGGUAGGUCCCUGGAAUGAAAAUGAGAGGGUACAAAUGAAAAAGACAGUAAGAAUGUUUAUCUUAAAGUGUACAGUAGUCACUUUUAAUAUCGGGCUUAUACUCAAUGUCAGUCAUGAUUCACAGAAGUUGCUAUAUCUCUUUAUGCAAAUGAGUUCAUUACUGUAUGAAAGCUAUUACAUGUUUGAUUACAAUGCUUCAUUACUUAUUAGCAGGCAUGCUUAUAAAUCACUUGCAUAUAUUCGUUAUGCUUUCAUUUAGUACAUCUUGAGCCUACGAUGGUGUAAUCGCGGAGGCUGGCGCGUUACCCACUGGAACUAUGAAUAGUUCCACAGCCUUUUAGUGUUGUUAUCAGAGCCGUUACAGGAGAGGCUAGGAUCGUGGCAAUGGAGUCGCGCCUAGCUUAGGGCUACUAGUGAGCGUGCUAGUCGAUCACCUUGCUACUCGGGUACGCCGAGGGGUGAUUCCUCAAUGUAUAGAGAGACACCGCCGGUUACCUAUUCUUUUGUAUACCCAUAUGUAAUUUACUUUUAGGGAUUGAGAUUAGUGUGUACUUUCUCCUUUUGUUGAGAUCUGGUAGAUGUUGUAUACCUUUGUAUUUGUGACUGAAAUUGAUACUCGUUGGGAUUAUCACUGUACCUUUGGCUGCUGAUUAUCAGGAUAGGACUUCUUGUUUUACUUCCUAUCUACGUGCUCUGUAGACGCUUAAUAUCGGCAGGGUGUAUGGCGGCGGGUCUGUGCACGUUCGGCAUGAUGGUACUCGGCUGGAUCGGGCGUGACAGGGCCGUGAGAACUAUAAUUAAUAGGUUCCAGUGGGGCAAUACUAACCUCAAGCUCAAUGCCACACUGCCCCAAAGAAGAGGUACAGUACAUAUAAUAGCAAUAAUGACUGCGAUAUAAAGGCAUAAUUAAAGAUGCUAAUUAGCUAAACUCAAGAACAACGAUGCUCAUGUGAUGAACAUCUACGAUACGAAAAAAGUAGGUCAUUAACGCUUCAAUGAAUACAUUAGCUAUAAGUUCCGUCAUGGACAACAAGUAGCUUUAUGGCAAAAUGGGAGACUAUCAAGUAUACUACAUGUCUCAAACUAGAGCUAAAAGCAUAAUAAAUGAAUUCAACUACUAAAACCUAUCUAGUAAGGGAUUAACCAUUCGACACAGCGCGGUCGAUUUCAUUCCAAUUAAGGAUAUCAAGGAUAGUCUAGCUUGGUGACCGCCUAAGAGCUGUUGCUGGAGCCCAACAUCCACGCUUGAUGUGUCUGUUCCACUCGACCCCGUAGGCUUCUCAAUACCGCCAGACGAACAUAAGAUCGCGCUAGGCUAACUCCGAAUGCGGCUUGGUAGGAGCGGAUCUCGCACAACCAUCGCUGCGAAUGAGCACAAAUAGCAAGCAGCGAUGCCAAGUCUCAAGUGUCCAAUCCUGCAUGUCUCUAACAUGGUAUGAUAACUAGCAUCCCGAUGAUUAUUAUGAUCCAAAGAGAAGUUCCAACAUUCUUACACGCCUUUACGUGCCCGCUUGGACAUUAACAACAAAUGUUGCAACAUAUACCCAAUCCCUCAAUGGCUCUAACCCACUUAGGUCACACAUGUCCGAGCUCAACUGCCGCUUGUAUGACAUUAGCUCUCAAAUACACAUACAUUCUAGUUCGAUAGCUCUAUAAGUGGCAAUUUGGUCAACUUCAUGUCUCAAAGAAACUAGGUUUAAAUGCAUAAAUCCAAUUCAUUUACACAUGAGCAUGGAACAGUCUCAUAUAGAAUGCUAGAGCACAACUAUAGGCCUUACCAAGUACUCUCAACUACAAGAGUCCAACAAUUUCUCAUCAUAUAUACAUAGGCCUUUAAGCAUUCUAAAAUUCACAAUAAAAUACAUAAACAAGAAUAUGCAUGCUUUCAUUUAACAAUACUUAAUAAGCACAAAUGAGCAAUGGCUGCCAUUGUGUGGCUAGGUCAAAACCGCACCGAACGCGCCGUAGGGCCUCCGUUUCGCCGAACAGAUGUCGCCGAGCUCAAAAACUCUAAAAGUACCUGAGCGACAAGCAACACUGGGAUUACGAUCAAUUCAUAUAAGCUGUCAAAUUUAAACAAAACUUAACAAAAGGGCUCACAACUCACCCAAUGGUGAAAAUCUCUUUCAACCCAAAAGAGAGCUGAAAUCCCUUCUAAUCCAACCAAGGAAGGUUUAAUCCACCAAUUUGUUCACAAAGCCGCUGAUCAAAAGCCCCAAAACGAACCCUAAACUCAUUCUAGCGGUUCCAAGACAAUAAAACCUCAAAUCCAAGGCUCUAGAUGGAGGAGAAAGGGCUACCAACCUCUAAGAAGCUCCAAUCCAAGCUCCAAGGGUGAAGUUCUCCUCUUUGGCAAGCUCCAAGUCCAAGCCUCAUGCACCAAGGGAGAAGAGAGGGUGAGGAAGAUGCUCCAAGUCCACUAGUAGCUCUCAAACUUCUUCUUCUUCAUUCAUUCUUCUCCUUCUCCUUCUCCUUCUUCUUCUUCUUCUUCUCUAUCUAGGGUGUAGAGAGAGUUGAGAGGAGAGAAAUGAGGAGAGGAGAGAGGGGAUGGGUCAUAUAGACCAUCUAUUGUAACAAAAUCCAGCUAGGUCCUCCAAAAAUCCAAAAUUGCAUCAGCCCGGUCUGGGCAAUUUUUGCCCAGAGGGACCGGUCUCUCCCCAGCAGGGACCGGUCUCUCGCUGCGAACCCGAAAAACCAACGCUCGGGAACCGGUCUCUUCCUGUGUGGGACCGGUCUCUCUCUGCGAAGGCGCGCACGAGGACCGGUCUCGCCCGCCAGGGACCGGUUGCCUUAGGGCUGCCGCAACACUGUUCACUGGGGGACCGGUCUCUCCUAUCAGGGACCGGUCCCUGAGAGCAAAAACUCUCAGGACUUGUCCAGAAUUCCAGUUUUCGAACUUUUUAGGUCGGAAAACAUUCUACAACCCUCCACCAAGUGCGGAAAAGCUCGAAAUAUAUCCAAACACUCGAACCUCGCACUUUGCAAAGGCCCAGUGUGUUACAUGUAACCUCCUCCACAAUAUAUGAGUAACCUCCUUCACAAUAAGUGUGAGAAGUUCUCCUUUAGUUGUAUAAGUUUCUCAAUCGGACAUUAAUGAAGUGUGUGAGCUUCCAAUUUCUUUACGAGCAUCCGUGGGCCUUUGAUCCGGAGGACGAGAAAGAAUUGCUAAAGAAGGAGGAUGAUUCCGUUUGACAUAGUAGAUCGCUCAAAUGCGUACAUGAUCAGCUGAAGGACUUUUCUUGCUUUACUUCUUCCGGCCCUUCUUUUUCACUUUUCAAGUUGAAUGUUAAGAGGAAACAGAACAAUAGAAGAACUAGAAAAUUGACCCCCUAACACAUUCAUCCAUUCUUUCACCUCGUUCAAGGAGUCAAUAUAUUGACGCAAUAUGUUUUUUGGAGUAAUGUCUUCGAAAUAGUAACAAUGAAUUUGUAAUGCAUAAAUAGUUUGCUCUCUUUCUUUCUUCCUUUUACGUUUUUCUUUUUGUUUGUCUUCCUAUUUUUACGUAGUCUUGUUACUUGUUACCGUAUUUUUGUAGCUAAGUUUAUAUUCUUAUUGAAUGAAGCGGUAGCAUGCUAUUUUUUUUCUCGAAGAAAAAAAAAUUUGUAGCACAUAAAUUGGGAGUAUUCAACAACAUUUUUCAUUUCAUAUUUGUGGGGGAGUUUUCACUUUUUAUCUUUACUAUAUACGGCCUCUAAACUUUGGGUUUUGAAUAUUGUUAUAGACUAUCGUUAAUUCUGCUAUUUUCUUCGCCAUAAGUGUAAUUAUAUAUGGUCUUUAUGUCUAAGCGCUUUCAUAUUUUGCAUUAGAGAUGGAUUAAGGAACAUGACCCUACAGUGCAGUUUUUCUCCAGCGGGUAUGAUAGGUUGGUCUUCUUAGGGUGUUUGACUACUGGCUUAGAUUGUCCAGUCUUUAAGUAAGUAGAGAACGAUGGUCUAACUAACAUUCCUGUACGAGUGUAUAUAUAUAUAUGCAGUCUAACCUUUUGUUCCCUGUGUUUGCGCUUAGAGAAAUUAAAUUUUGACCAAGGAGAGCAACUUUUUCUUCAAAAUAGGAGAGCCAUACAGGCUCUCGAAAAAUGUUACGAUAUGAUGAAUUGAUUUGUGGGAAAAUUAUAUCGAACUCUUGAACUUUGGUCCAAUUACAAUCACUAGCAAACUUUUAAANCCAACUCUAUUGAAUUGUUAUUCAGUUUUUGAUGAUUUGUUAUUCAGUUUUGAAUGUAACAAACAUAGUCAUCACACCUGUAUAUAUGUACCAUAAACUAUGAAUGAAAAUCAGUGUGGAGAUUUAUCUCUAAUCCUUCUUAACAUGGUAUCAGAGCCAUAUCCACAUCUCUAACCUAUUAAGAGUGCCUAGUAUUGUUUCAUCACACCCAGAUUUCAUUUUCUCUCUACUACAAUAUGAGCUCUUCACCUCAAACUCCCAACACUUCCACUACGACUGAUCUCACUUCCUUGAUAGCCUCCCUUCUAACAUUAACAAAUCUAAUCUCUAUCAAACAUACUGAUAAGAAUUAUUUGCUAUGGAAGAGUCAAUUUCUUCCUUUGCUAAAUGGUUAUCAGCUACUCGGCUAUGUUGAUGGGACUAUGAAAUGUCCUUCAAUUCUUCUACCAUCCUCUACUGAUAGUACUCCAAUAUCCAAUCCAGAUUUUAUUAAAUGGAAGCAGAUCGAUCAAUUGCUAAUCUCGUGGAUCCGAUCAACAAUUUCUGAAGAAAUACUACCACAUGUGGUAGGAUUAACUACAUCCAAGGAAGUUUGGGAUACACUUGCUGAUCAUUUUACCCAGCAAUCCAAAUCUCGAGAAUUUCAUCUUCGCCAUCAAAUUCAAUAUUUGAAGAAAGGUAGUAUGUCUAUGUCUUCCUACAUUAAACAAUUUAAAAGUCUCUGUGAUGAACUUGAAGCAAUCCAACAACCACUGUUUGAUGAUGACAAAGUCUAUUGGAUUCUUCGAGGAUUAGAUCGACAAUAUGCAUCGCUUGUCACUAUGAUCACCUCUCAUGACCCUUAUCCAAAGUUUAAGGAUUUAUGCUGUACUUUUUUGGAUCAAGAAUUAUUUUUAAAGUCCUAUGAUGAAGAUAUAUCAGAGACAAAGGCCACUGCAUAUAAUAUCAUGAAAACUAAUCAUGCACAUGGGCGAGGAUCUACUCGUGGCAGAUCUACAAAUUAUGGGAUGCGAGGACGUCGCUCAAAUAAUCGAGGUCGCGGCAACCAAACACAACAAUUGAGAUCUUCGACUGAUGCAAACAUUCCACGCCCUCAAUGUCAAAUUUGUCAUAAAUAUGGUCAUACUGCACUUAAUUGUUGGCAUCGUUUUGAUGAUUCCUUUCAUGAGCAAAGACAAUCUCCCGAUGCACCACAUCAAGCGCUAGCAGCACUCCAAAUUCAAAAUCCGACAGAUGAUGCAUGGUAUCCAGACACUGGGGCCACUAUUCAUGUCACAAAUUCCGCAUGUAUGCUUCAAUCUUUGCAACUUUAUUAUGGUAAUGAUACUGUUUUUGUUGGGGAUCGUCGACAAUUAAAAAUUACCCACAUUGGCCAUUCUCAACUUCUAACCUCUUCUACACCUUUACACCUCAAAAAUAUUUAUCUAGUACCAUCUAUUAAAAAGAACCGUCUAUCUGUUAGCAAGUUUACUCGCGAAAAUAAUUGUUCUCUUGAGUUCACCCCCUCUGCUUGUUUUGUUAAGGAUCAGGAAAACAAAAUGACUCUGCUACAGGGAUCUCAUCAUAAUGGUCUUUAUUCUCUCAAUUCUCCAAAAGCUAUUUUUCUUUCUACAAAGAGGGCUUCUCCAAAAAUUUGGCAUCAACGACUGGGCCAUCCUUCACAACAAGUGGCAAAUCAUUUAAACAAGAAUGCUGCAAUAAAAUUCUCUAGUAUGUUCGAUUCCAAAUCUUUAUGUGAUAGUUGCUAUUCUAGUAAGCAAACUAAGUUGCCUUUUCCAGUUUUAAAUAAAAGGGCCUUUGUUCCUCUUGAAAUUAUUUCUUCUGAUGUUUGGGGUCCAUCUCCUGUUCCUUCAAUCACUGGCUAUCGAUUUUAUGUAAUUUUCAUUGAUAGCUACAGUAGAUUUGUUUGGUUUUAUCUUAUGCAUAAUAAGUCUGAAGUUUUUUCAUGCUUUCUUAAAUUUCAAAAAAUGGUAGAAAAUCAAUUUAACACCAAAAUUAAAAUUUUGCAAAGUGAUGGUGGUGGCGAGUAUAUUUCUAAAACAUUUGUUACAUACCUUGAAAAUAGCGGAAUUAUUCGCCAACUCUCAUGCCCCCAUACGCCUGAACAAAACGGUGUUUCCGAAAGAAAACAUCGCCAUAUAACUGAAAUGGGUUUGACACUUCUAUAUCAGUCCCAAGCGCCAUCUACUUUAUGGGUUGAUGCCUUUUUAACAAGUGUGUAUCUAAUAAAUCGAUUACCUACACCUUGCUUACAAAACCUAUCCCCUCUUGAAACUCUAUUUUGUUCUUCUCCAAAUUAUCAUCACCUACGUGUUUUUGGAUGUGCUUGCUAUCCUUAUUUACGCAGCUAUUCUUUGAAUAAAUUUACUCCGAGGUCUACUUGUUGUGUUUUCAUAGGAUAUAGUCCUCAUCAUAAAGGUUAUAGAUGCUUAAGUUUAUCCGAUGGACGCAUCUUUAUAUCCCGUCAUGUUCAUUUUGAUGAGUCACGAUUUCCCUAUGCAGAGUUGUCUUCCAAAUCCAUUUCUACAUCACUUGAUUCCAUUCCCAAACAACAGAGGUACUCAUUUCCUAUUUGUCCACCAUCUCUAUUAACUUCUUCUCCACAAAACAUUCAACCAUCCGAUACUAUUCUUGAUUCUAUAAGCCUUCCCCAAUCCAAUCUACCAGAGCCCACAAGUUUAGAUGUUGAAUCUGUCCCUUCUACAAAUCCUGUUGACACCUCCACAAGAACAUGUCAUCCCAUGAUAACAUGCAGCAAAGAUGGUACACGCAAACCAAAGGUUUUUCAUACCUCUCGACACCCAGUGCCCCAAUAUUGCUUGCAAAUUACUAAUGAUGAGCUUCCUUCUGAACCUACAUCAUAUUCUGAAGCCUCUAAAGAUCCUCAAUGGCGCCAUGCUAUGGCAGAAGAAUUCAAUGCUUUACUCAAGAAUCAGACAUGGUCACUUGUUUCUCCACCGUCAAAUUGCAAUAUUAUUAGUUGCAAGUGGGUGUAUAAGGUUAAACAAAAAUCUGAUGGCAAUGUUGAACGCUUCAAAGCUCGUUUGGUUGCUAAAGGAUUUCAUCAACAAGAAGGACUUGAUUACGAUGAUACAUUUAGUCUAGUAGUUAAACCGCAAACUAUUCGUAUCGUCCUUUCGCUUGUACUCUCCAAAGAAUGGCCAAUUAUGCAAUUAGAUGUUAAAAAUGCCUUUUUGCAUGGCACAUUAAAUGAGGAGGUAUAUAUGUUACAACCUCCAGGAUUUGUUGAUCCCUUAUACCCUUCACACGUAUGUCGGUUGCGCAAAGCAAUAUAUGGUCUUAAGCAAGCUCCACGAGCUUGGUUUCUGUAAGGACUGAGAUUUUUACAGUGCAACUAAACUCUCUGUUGAUGAUGUUUAUGUGUGUAAUUUAAUUACAUAAGUACUCAUCAAGUUUCAGGAGAAAAUGAGCUAAAAUGGAGAAGUUACGCGAUUAUUAGUUUUCACUUAAGUGAAUAGUAACUCCGGUUUUUCGGUGAAGCCACGGAGUAGAGUUGGCUUUCUACGCGUAUCGGACUCCCUUCAUAGCGAUCCAAUAGCUCGUUUUGAUCGAUUCAGCUAUUCUGGAACCAAUGGCACUGACGGAUUUCAGAUCUGAUGCACGAUUUUUGAGAAAAAGGGAUUUUAUCGAAAAGAGGAUUUUCGCUCUUUGCUGUUCUUGCGUAAUGAGACUCCUCGUGCUCUACGUUUGUGACCUGGGGUUAGGUGAGAGUUGCUUCUGGUACCUACUGGUGGUAGGGAAUUCAAAUUUGAAUUUGGAUUAAAGGUUUUAGGGUUAUUACAUAGGUCUAUGUGUAAUUUGUGGAUUAGUUGGAGAGCAGUUGGGUUUGGUCGCAAAUCGGCAAGUAAAUCGGAUGAAACGAAAUCGAGUUUCCCAUUGCUCUUCGUCGUGCUGAACCGCGAUGGUGCAUAAUCCGUUCUGGAAAAUCCGAUGAAACGAUUGCGGAUAUUGCUGAAGUUGCUAAGGGGUCGAGAGUGGAAAAUCUGGGAAAAUUUCGCAAAAGUCGUAAUUUUAUGUGCCGGAAUUGCGUGAUUGAUGCGCAGCAUGGGGAGGUCGUAUUUAAAAUACGCUAUGCUGUGAGGGACUUGAUGAGAAAAUAUAUCCUCGGGAGAGCUAUCUUGCAAAUGGCAUGAAUGUAAAUAGUAGUUGGCACUAGCGGUUUCGUAGGAAACCUAGCUUUUGGCCUUCUCCUCAGUCGAUACGCGAGCCCUAGCCGCCAUCCUUCUCCCUUGCCGGCACCCGUGCGCACGCCCCGGCUGUAGCCGCGAGCUGCCGCGCGCCGGAAGCGUCCACCGCGACCUCUCUCUUGCUCGUCUCGGCCACCCUAAGUUCCUCUGUACUAUCACCGAAGUUGCGAAGUGAACUUUCUUCACUCCGAGCUUUCAUCCAUUCCCACUGGCCGAAGACCCAUCUCUGGCAUCUUCCCGCGCCGACUCGCGGCAUCCCGUGCCCUGCCGGAGCCUCUCCGCGAGCCUUCCUGCGGCCAUCUGCGGUCAGCCCAGGCCGAGCUUGGGUGGAACCUCGGUCUAGUGCGGCCAGCCGUCGCUUCCCAUCGGCCCUCUUUUUUUCUUGCGCCACCUUUCCAGUGACACCUCGCAACCUCAUCCGCUUGCCGUCCCGCCGUCUGGCACGCCUGCCUUGGCCGCCGCUGGAACCUUGCCUGCGCCCUGCCCAGAACCCUGUGCGGUAGCCAUGUUGUGUGCUCCGCGUUCGGCUCCCAGCACUCUUGCACUGUUUGGCUUUGCCUAUUUACACCGAGGGGUGCAACCAUCUUCCCUCCGGUCUCUCUCACCCCAUCCGAUCCAUCGCCGCCUCGCCUUCCUCCCGCCGGCCCGCCCCGUUUCCGCCGCCUUUGUCGCCGUUCGGAGAGCUCGACCGCGAGAGUGUAACCGGGCGGUUGGGCUGCGCCGCCUGCGCAGUAGCCUGGCACCUCCUCCCGCCGGCCACAGGUCCCCGCCGAACCCCACCGACGCCGCACCCUUCCCUGGCCGGGACCGCCCGCCUCACUCGGUCGCCUUGCGUUACCAACCCUAGGCCCUCCUCAGGAUCCGGUAAGGCCUGUUUUGAUGUUCUCGAGCACAGUAUUUACCUUUCCGGCCACCUUUGCUGAAUCCAAUUAAUUCCCCGAACACCCAGCUGGGAAGUGAGCACCUGAUGAUCUAAAACGGGUCGUGCUGAACAUCGUGGCUCAUCUCGUCCGACAAACCGGCAUGAUGCCUGGUUUAGACGAGUUAAUCGGGCGCUAAUCUUGCGGCUGUGCUGCGCAUCUCGCAGAGCUUCGGCAUUGUUUUCGGCCGCUCCGCUCCUGUGGCUGAAUUGGUCCGAUAAGGUGAGCACGUUUCCAGAACGCCGUGACCUGUCAGCGGUGUCUCUGUUCGGCUGUUUCAGCUGUCUGUUUGUGCAGACCGGACUAAAAUAGCGCGCGAAAUCUUGCAUGGAAAUAUUCGAUUUCGGGUAUUCGGUACGGCUUUUAUGGCAAACUUCUUGUUCGUCCGCGGCUGCUGUUUGCACAAGAAUGGAUGGCAGUUUUGAGUGACGUCUUGGACUGAUUGUUCCAGGCCCCUUGGACCUUUGGAAGAUCGAAAAGGCAUUCCAGUUGCGUUGUCGGCAAAUAUGCCUGAUCGGACCGUUCGUUCGGAAUCAUUUCCGACGGUGUCUCGGGAUGAUUUAUUGUGUCGCUGAGCCUAGUUGGUGGUCACCUGUUGUCAUGGUUCGGGUUCGAUAAUGACGGUUGAGCGAACUGGGUUUCGGUGUCGAUAAUGACACUUCCGGGGAACUCCGUUCGGAACGAUUAUUUCGACUGAUAAUCGUAUUUGAGAGUGAGUUAAGUGUCUUGCUGCCAUGUCACCUGUAAAUUGUAAUUUAGUGCAGGCUGGUGACUCUGAGUGCGAGUCGGGUGCAGGUUCCUUGGGACAUGUUCGUUGGGUCCCGAAGAGUCUCUCGUGCGGUUUCGGAAUCUCUGGUUGUUUGCGCUAUUGGUUCGGGAAACGCGAUUCCCGAGGGGUCUAUGCAUUUGGAAUUGUGAUUAACUGAUACGGUUGGAGGGUUGUGGAUUUAGUGGAUAUUAGUUGUGGGUUACAUACUAACCCGUGGAGUCCUGUAAGUCGGCGGUUGUCCCAUUCUUCGCAUUAGACAGGCCGCGACUAUCCUUACAGGUGGUACUUCGUCGUAUCCGACGUUGGUAAACAUGUUAGCUAUCUUGUUGGUGCACCGCUCGGUGAUAGAGUUUCUUACCCUUGCUCUUUGUUUAUUUCAAUUGCUUAUUAUUAUAUUGUUGAGUUCUUUGCACCUUACUAUUGUUAUAACAUUACACCACAACGUUUGUGUUGCAUUACUACUCUACUCAAGUUCUUCCAUGCUUAGUAAUCUGUAUGUUGUAGGUAUAGUCUAUUCUGAUAUGUGAUACCAUAAGUUUCUCUUGUGCUUCUAAGCCUUAGCUUAUUCGCAGUACCUCGCGUUUUCAUUAAUUUAUAGUUAGUAUUGCGAGUUCUGUGGAUUAUUCUGUGAUGAUUACGUCUAUUAGGUCGAUUCUUAUGUAUGUUCAGUAUUUGUGACUCAUUCGGUGAGUUCCUCUGACCUUGUUGUCCUGAUUACCGUUGAGUCGAUAAAUAUCCCUGAGGGGCUGGAUUGUCCGUUAGUUGCCGACGAUGAUAUAUAUUUACUCCAUUCCUAUAUUCUUUGUGACACUGAUUCGGUCGAGGGUUUCAUAUCUAUACUUGUGAGCGCUGAGUUGUGGUCGAGUUCGAUAUUUCUAUUACUUUGUGACGCUUGAUGGUCGUAGUUUACAUAUUCGAUGUUGAUUCUGGAGUGGGUCAGUCCUUGUGGUUCCAUGAGCAGAUAUUUGCAUAAUGUUGAAGAGGAUGUUCGAUGUUGUCCCCAUCCUAUUGACGCUGAGUGGUUUCUUUCUUUGUGCUUCCUUUACAGUUGCACGACCUAUUGCGGUCGAGUGGUCCCUUGUGGGCAGGAUUGUCGGCUGGUGCCGACGUUGAUCAUUGUAUGGCAUUUAUUGCAUUGAUCGCGUCCGAUACGUCGGCUAUUUUCAUCNNNNNNNNNNNNNNNNNNNNNNNNNNNNNNNNNNNNNNNNNNNNNNNNNNNNNNNNNNNNNNNNNNNNNNNNNNNNNNNNNNNNNNNNNNNNNNNNNNNNCCCUAAACCCAUUUGUUAUCUCCAAAUGCUAUUGAAAUUGUUUAGAUGACAGACCGUUCCUAGAGUAAGUGGCAAAGGGUUUGGUGGUUGGUAUAUGAGACCCAUGUUCAAAUCCUAGUUGAUUCACAUUUCUAGCUCAUUUUAUUUCUAAAUGAAAUAAACGAAAUAGGUAGCGUACUACCUAUCUCUCAAAAUAGAAAUUGUUUAGGUGACAAAUGUAAUAAAAAAAGAGAUUGAAGAAUCACUCUUGCACAAUUGAAAAGUGAUUUUGACUGAUAAUGUGAAUGAUAAAUCAGUGGAUGGAUUUUGAGAUUUAGCUUUUAUUCUUUUUAUAUAUUAUGCCCACUCAAAAAUGCAGUGUAAAUCUUAUACUCAUAUAUUCAAAGAUUUACAUAAUACUUUUGAGUUUUUAAUAUCAACAAAGAAAAAAUUGAUAAAAUUAGUGAGAAAAUAUUAGCCCUUGGAUGGAAUAGUGCUAUAAAAUAGGAUACAAUAAACUUCUAAUUAGCCCCCUAUGAAAAAAUCUCAGUAAAUCAUAGGAGGGGUUAAUUGAAGUUUAUGCAAAAUAAAAACUCUAGCACCGUGCAAUGAUUUCAUAGUGUGAGGAGUAUAAUCAAACUUCUAGAAUUGAUAAAAUAUUUAGCCUAGAAAUCAAUUUUUUCACGGAAAGAUAAAUUAUCUCAUAAUAAAAUAUAUUAUUCUGCAAAAUAAUGAACAACAACAAUACCUUCUAAAGAUGAGAGAAAAAAGGAAAAAAAAAAAAAAUCAUAUUGAUGUCCAAACGGGAUAGAGAUACCAAGUGCAAAUAGGUCAAAACCAGAGGACCAAAUUGAAGUUUUCACUCUGCUAUAAAAACCCAGCCCGUUUGAAACCCCCCACCCUGCAGCACCUUCUUCUUGUAUUCCCUCCAAAACUUCUCCCUCCCAGAUUCCCUGCUCCAGCGUCCAACCCCCAAAAUCAAUCAAGAANAUCGAGUCGGCUGGCGAUCUACUGCUUAUAAGCAGGCACCGAGAGCUCACCGCAGGGCGCAUCUUGGUCCAUCGUCUGCCACCGUUCGAAGGGGACGGUCCGCUCGUACCGACUCCCCUGGCCAGCAUUGGCGAUCGUGCCUUGUUCUUGGGCACGGGGAAUACCGUCGCAGUCCACGCGCCUGACUUCCCGCUGUCCGUCAGAAGAAACAGCAUCUACUUCACCGACGUAUAUCGCAGGGUGGUAAACAAUCAGUUUGUUUCCGUCGGCUGCGUCUAUGUUUUUGACAUGGAGCAGGGCGUCACGACGAAGGCGUUCGAAGUGGCGGAAACGGACGAGACGAACAUGUGGGUGAAUCUGAGGCCGUGGUGGGUUACGCCGAAUUUGCGCAGGAGAGGUCCAUGAGCACCGAGAGGUUCGAUCUCGUACCGCACUUUCAUUCUCCCUUGGUGCACAUUCUGAGUUUCAAAUACAAUUGCAGUCUCAUUGCGGAUACAAUCGAAGGAUCCGGAUCAUUUAUUUGCCCCCCUUACAUGUUCUUCUCAGCGAAAAGUUGAGAACUAAGGAUGCAAUUGAUCAAGCCUUAAAUCUGGAUAUUAGGAAUUGCUCAAAAUAAAAGCACCGAAUUUCGCAAUUUAAUUUCACUUCGCUUAUUGAAGUUAUUAUGAUCCAGUUUCAUAGUUUGAACACUUUUAACUUUUGAUCGGGCAGUUUUGAAGAAUCUACUCCCUUUCAUAUUUGAAGAGCAGUUCUUGAAUAGUAAAGAUUUUGCUCAAAUAAUCUUUAAUAUUUCAGUAUCAAGUUAUCUCGAAAAUUAAAAUGAGUUGUCCACGAUUUAUUGUGAUAUCAUGAUAAAAGUAGUUGCAUUUCAUGAUCCAGGUUAAUUGAGGAAUGGAAGGAAGAACCGAAAGCGGCAAUUCGACCAUUAUAACCGUCCUUAGUUCCCCGGCUUCCAAGCCAUCUAUACAAAUUUCAAUGUUUUCUGUACAUAGGAAGAUGAUGGCGUGCAUCAUAUAUAGUCCUGCAGGAGUUUGGAACUUCAUCCAUACAUUGUAUCAUAUCUGAUGCAAAAUUUUAGCACCAUUUUGUUUUGAACUUGUGCAUACCAUUUAGGAGCAUCUGCUGAGUGCGCACACAACUAUCAGAAACUGAUGAGACGUGCGAUAAAGAAAUUGUCUUACUGUGUGAAGAACAGCAUGAUGAUCCGUCUGAAGCAUUCUCCUCUGUAAACAGGAAACUGCAUGUUUACAUCUUUUUCUUCUUUUUCUUUUUCUUUUUUCCUUUCUUUGUGGGGUCUUAUAUUGUUAUUAGAUCAAGCAUCAACAAUUGAGUUACUUCCCUCAAAAGAAAAAAAAAAAAAACAAUUGAGUUACUAUACUUAUGUUUUUUACUCUCCAAUUUGAUUCUGCAAUAAAGGCAUAGUGACUUUUGUGACCAGGAUUGAGGAAAGGGUUUAUUAUAAUGAUCCCUAGUUGAAUCCAAUUUCUAUGGCCAUACUCCUUUAUUAAGGACCUAUUAGCCCCGCUAGGUGGGAGGAAUUUUAUACUAUCAUACUUGCACCACGUCAUUAAUAACAAGUCAAUUAUAUUUCUUUUUUUCAAACAAAAGUAUAAUAAAAAUAUUUUUUUAAAUCAUAAUGGGACAUAUACUCUUAAAAGGAGACAUUUGAUUGAUUUGUUACGCCAAGUCACCAAUAUACCUGAUACAUUCUAAAAUUUUUUGCUAGGUAGAGGGUGGAGUUUACUGUUUGAUGCUAAUAAUAGUUUAUUGCGGCAACUCUAGUUCCCGUCCAAAUUCAAAAAUCCUUAACCCAAAGAUAGAAAUUUUCCCAACAAAGUAAGACCCAAGAAGGAGUAUUAUAUCGGUAAAUAAACCACAUAAGUUGAUCAAAAUAUGUUAAACACUGCAUUUAACUUCGUUCCCUUAAUCUCCAAAAUUAGAUAUCAGCAUCUAAUUGCGCAUAGAUCUACUUCCGCAGGAACUACAUAACGAGAUGAUCGCGAUUAAAAAGAAACACGCUCGAAUCGAGUAAUCGAACCAAUCACCUGCACGAACAGCUCGAUCCCCCCUCGCCGCCCCCGGCAUCGUCUUCCUCCCGGCGACGGCGACGGCGAUGGCGGGGUAACGGGGGGCAUAAGGAGAAGGACGACGGCGACGAGGAGGAGGGGGACAAGAUUUUUAGUUUUUAAUUCCCCAAAUCCGAAAUCAAUUUAUUUACUAAAAUCAAACUGAAUCAGUCCAAGUGAGUUGCUUUUUCAGUUUGAUUUUCACGAAACAUGUGGUUUAAAUGGAAAUAUAGACUUAUGUUGCCGCGCAAUUUUGAUUUAAAUAAUUUGAUUAAUUUUUCAAUAUAAAAUUUAGAAUAAUUAUUUACUUAAUAAAUUUAUAUCUGUGUAAUUAAAAAAAUAUUUAAAUUUUUAAAGCUAAAGAGUUAUUAGUUGAUUCAAAUCAAAUAAAUUAAAAGAUUAUAUAGCAAAAUUAAAAUUUUUAAAGAUUAGAUAAUCAGAUUAAAAUAAGUGACAGUUGAGGUAAGUUGUAUAAAUUUUUACUUUUUUAUUCGGAAAAUCUGAAAAAUUAGAAGAGGUAUUUAUUUCAAAAUAUGUUAAAUUUUUUGAUUUAUUGUCUAUUCUUUCUGAUUUGAGUUUCAUGAAAUUUUUGCUAACUAUAUACCCAGUGCUAUGUGCAGUGUGCCUUUUUCUCUUUUCUUUUUUUUUUUUUCAUUCUCCUUCAUUUGCAUUGUGACUGUAUAGUAUCCUACAUUGUAAAUUGAAAUAGAUUCCGGUUACUAAAGAGAAUAAAUAAUAUAAUUAUCUUAUACCAGAACAAACUCUUUACAAAAGAAUUUCACUUUGGCCCCUAAAAUUUAUAAUAUUUUAAUUUUUAAUAUAUCAUAGUUAGAAACUUUUGUGUAAUUUUCAAAAGCUUGAGGGGGCCCAUGACCAUUGUUGGCCUCUCAAUAGCUCUCCCCCGAUUCAGGACUAAGCAAAGCAUCCUAAAAGGACUUUGAUACAAGUAUGCUAGAUUGUUAAACAUAAAAAUAUAACAAAAUCAUUCCGGCUUAAGUUUUUGAAAAAAAUAAUUGUUUCAUAUUAUUUAAUAUGAUAUCAAAUCAAAUAAUUAUGAGUUCGAGUCACACCAGGUUCCUAACUUAAUUGAUUUUUCUCUCAAUUAAUUUAAGUCCGCAUCAAACUUAGACAUAAAGAAGAGUGUUCAAUAUAAAAAUAUAAAACAUCAUUAUCUAUCAGCUUAAAUUUUUAGAGAAAACAGUUAUUUCGCGUUGUUUAACAUAGAUUGAAGCCAAAUGCACAGCUAAACAAGUAGGGUGGGCAAGUCCAUUAAAAAUCUCUAAAUGCUGCAUGUAAGUCCUCUAAAACUUGUAAGUCCAGGAAAGAAGGUGGUUUAGGUAUGUUGGAUGUCGCGACCAUGAACCAAGCCUUUCUAACUAAAUGGUGGUGGAAAUUUCACACGUCACCUCAACUACAGUGGAAUAAGCUUAUCCGAGAAUUGUAUUAUCGUAGAAGAAUACCUCUGAGGGAAGGCAGAUCCUUCAGACCUUUUUCCAGCUGGUGGAAGGGUAUUCUUAGCCUCAACAUUAUCUUCAAAUGGGGAGUGGCGUUUCAACUAGGAAACGGGAAUACCAUCGAUUUUUGGUUGGAUCGGUGGUGCGGCGAGAAAUCGUUGAACCUUUUAUUCCCGGAAGCGUAUCUGAGGUCUGUGGGGGGGGAGAUACUCUAGAGUUAGUGAUUUCUUCACGGGGGAUAAUUGGAACUGGCCCAAGAUCCUGGGAGCAAAUGUGGAACAGUUGCUAGGACUGGUUCCAAACCUAUCGGAGCUUGUAGAAAAGGUCUCUUCUUACUCCGUUGUGGUCAGUCCGGACACGAUCCUAUGGCGGUGGAGUACUGAUGGACACUUUUCGGUCAAAUCAACCUACUUGGCCUUGACGGACGGCGGGACGAGAGAUGCACGUGCCCCUGUUCUAUGGAACCUUAAAAUCCCUCUAAAAGUGAAAGUGUUUUGUUGGUUGAUUCUCAAGAAAAGGAUCCUUACACGUGAUAAGCUUGCUAAGAGAGGGUGGUUAGCCGACCCUACCUGUGUACUAUACGGGUCAGAGGAGGAAACCGUGGACCAUCUAUUUACCAGCUGCGUUUUCUGUAAAUUCAUUAUAGCGAAAUGGGUGGACGAUAUUCAGGCCCAAGACCUCGGGGGGGAAGUCAGCCUCGUGUGGGAUAGGUGGAAGGUCAGGAAGGAUAAACAUAAGAAGCGAUCUCGGCUUGUCGAUCUAGUCGCCUGCUGGUGGAUCAUUUGGAAGAUCAGAAACGACUCAAUCUUUCGUAAUAUUCCCCCGAACCCUGGGAUUGCGGUUCACAGGCUCAAACUUCUUGUGAUGGAUUGGGACCUUCUUCUCGGGCCUUAAACAUCUAUAAGUAAUUGUGUGUGUGUGUAAUUGCGGUUCUUUCUUCUUCUUCUUUUUUUUUUUUUUUUUUUUUUUUUUUUUUUUUUCGAGGCCUGGUUGCCUCACACUUGUAGCUUAAUUCACCUCUCCAAUGAAUGAAGCGGGUAGCAUGCUACCUUUUUCUCAAAAAAAAAAAGUCCUCUAAAACUUGCAAUUUACCAGUAACAAAAAGAGAUGUACCACGUGCACGAGUAUGUAACAGUAAGGAUUGCAGCUGCAGGCGAUUUGAUUAUGAGCAACUACAAACUAUGGCUGGCACACAUUUAUUUAAUUACAUUUUACAUGUUCACUUAUAGAUAGCAUGCUAGAGAGCCAGCUCAGCCACCAUGUGAUCUUUGCUCUCUUUUACAGAGUGCAGGUCUUACGUCUGUUUCCAUUUCAAAAAAAUUAUAUAUAUCUUUUUGGUUGAAAUACAUAAAGUCACCAGCACUAUACUGCCAUAUGAAAUUGCCUCCCCUCAACUUUUUUAUUUUUUCUUUUACAUUUAUUUGUCUUAAUUAGACCCCUAUGUUAAUAACAAGGUUAUUUUAUCUACUGUUUCUGGCGCAAGUGGCAAAGAAUUUAGUGGUUGGUAUCUAAGGUUUCAAAUUUGAAUUCUAAUUGAUUCACAUUUUCAUUCUAAAUAAAAUAAACGAAGCAGUAGAGUAGCAGUCGAGAUGUAUGGCAAUGAUGACAAUAUGAAAAAAUAAAUGAGCUGUUGUCUCUAAUAAUAUAAUGAGAGUGUCGACAGAUACAAAAGAAAGUUAAGUUUUUUCAUUCUGAUUUAUGAUAGCAACGCAGUUUUGAAAAAAGAUUCCAAUGGUCUCUCUAAUUUAUAUAGAUUUGAGAUAAUUAGGUAUAAUAAAAAUUUAUAUAUUUUUCACCGAUGGGAGUCUAACGUAAAAAAAAAAAGAAAAAAGAAAAAAAAUGACAGUACAAAGAGGUGAAAAUUAAGAAAAUAAUUUUUUAUGGCUAUUAAGAAAAUCAAUGCUAAUCAAAAAAGGCAAUUUCGAACUGUGGUGCAGUGCUGAAGCGGUCUCUAUACUUUUUUUUUUCUUUUUUCUGGGGCAAUCAAAAUUUAUACAUAUCAAUUCUUCAAAUAUAAUAGCAUCUUAGAAUAAUAUCGUGGGGUGAAAAUCAUUUUUAUAUUACUCAAUCUAACCAGACUCUAAAGCCGAAGAUUAUAGGAUUUGGAUUGAAAUUUUACUAUCCAUUACCGAAUCAGAUUUAGAUUCAGAUCUGAAAUUUGAAAUUUUUUUGGGUUCAAAUUAAGAUUCACUAUUCUUUUUCCAAUUCAGAUUCAAAAUUAUUCGAAACAAAAACUGAUUUUGACUGCUUUUUUAAUUUCUGAAGUAAUGCCAUUUAAGCAUCUUUCAGAAAUCUCAAACAUCUUCAUUGCGUUUUCUUCAGUUGGAAGAGAAAAUAAUAAUAAUAAUAAUAAUAAUAAUAAUAAGUCCCUCCUUUUCCGCCUCUUCAUUUGAAAAUGGACACGGAAACAACAAAAUCCAAAGAGCAAAUGCGAAACUGAUAAUAUUUUUAUAAUCUGUACAAUAGGAUAAAGAUGAUUGAGGGACUAGCGUGCAAACGGUCAAAGAUUCCCAACGUAGUUACCGGAGCAGCAGCACGAUAAUUGGAGCAAUCACCUACUACCACUACCACUGCAGAGCAUCCCCUUAUUCUCUGCUUCCUUGUAGUUGCUAGGACGUUUGUAUUGACUAUUGAGAAGAAGCACAUAGCUAGCUAGCUGCUUUCGUAAUAGCGAUGGCGGAGGGGAUCGCAUUCGGUUUGGUGAAGGAGGUGCUGGGCAAGCUGGGCUCUGCUCUCGGGGACGAAAUCGACCUGCUGCGGAGCUUCAAGGACGAUGUACAGGAUCUCAAAAGCAACUUUUCGGCGAUCCAAUCGGUGCUUCUCGACGCCGAGGAGCGAAGCAGCGCUGGGAAGGAGAGCCACGCUCUGCGAGACUGGCUGCGCAAACUGAAGGACGCCGCCUACGACGCCGACGACCUGCUGGACGAGAUCCGAACGGAAGCUGAAAAGGUACGUGGAUUUCUGUCCCGCGCUAAUCCGAUGCAUCUGAAGUUUAAGGUCAAGAUGGCACACAGGAUGAAAGAGCUCAGAGAAAAGAUCGGUAAGAUCGCGAAACAGAGGCAUGAUUUUGGUCUUGCCGAAGCUGGCCCUGGUCGGCAGGCUGAGUUCAAGCACCGUGAGACAUUCUCGGUUGUCGACGAAAAGGAAAUAGUUGGGAGAGAUGAUGAUAAAGAGAAAAUUGUGAAGCUACUGCUAGAGACGGCCGGCGAUCACGACGUGUCGGUCAUUCCGAUCGUGGGAUUGGGGGGUUUGGGGAAGACGACGCUCGCUCAAAUGGCCUUCAACGACGGGCGGGUUACGGGUCAGCAGCGCUUUGAUCUACGCGUGUGGGCCUGCGUGUCUACCGAUUUCCACAUGAAGACGAUCGCAAGGUCGGUCAAAUCUGCAACCAAAGAGGAGUGUGAUCUUGACAGCUUGGAAUCCGUCGCGAGUUUUCUCCUCAGGAUCUUUAGCCAGAAGAGAUUCUUGCUGGUGUUGGAUGAUGUGUGGAACGAAGAUAAAGGGAAGUGGAAGGAAUUGAAGGUUGUAUUUAAGGACGGCAGGCAGGGAAGUAAAAUCUUAGUAACCACACGAAGCGAAAAGGUCGCCGCGAUAAUGAAAACAGUCGAACCACACCGUGUGAAAGGCUUAUCAGAUGAUGAUUGUUGGACAUUGUUCAAAAGGCUGGCAUUCGAUGAUGGGGAAGAGAACGACUAUCCGAGUUUGGUCGCAAUCGGAAAGCAGAUAGUAAAGAAGUGCGGCGGCGUGCCUUUAGCAGCGAAUGCUUUAGGAAGUAUGAUGUAUUCAAAGAACAGGACAGAGGAUGCAUGGUCCGCUAUUAGGGAUAACGAAAUUUGGAGUCUGCAAGAAGAGAAAACUAUUUUACCAUCAUUAAAGUUGAGCUACAUUCAGAUGCCGUCGGCUUUGAAGCAGUGCUUUGCUUAUUGCUCCAUAUUCCCCAAAGACUAUGAGAUUGACAAGGAUGACUUGAUCCGGCAAUGGAUUGCUUUAGGCUUCAUUUCAUCGCAUGAAACAUGGACUUCGAUGGAAGAUAUUGGAAAUGAGUACUUUAACGAUCUAUUAUGGAUGUCUUUCCUUCAAGACAUGAGGAAACACUGGGAAUCUAAAAAGGUUACCUGCCGGAUGCAUGAUUUAGUGCACGACCUCGCACAAUCUGUAGCAAGAGAAGAAGUUGCUGUUAUAGUUGGAGAAGAGUCAACAUGGAUCUCGGAAAGCUGCCGCUAUUUCUCGAUAUACAAUCGUUUCACGACACAGAUUCCAACCACAGUAGUGCAAAGGCUGCGAGCUCUUCAAUUUAGGGAAUCUGGUUCAUUUAUUACUUUUUAUAGUGAGGCAAAAUACUUACGUCUGUUGGAUUUACAUGAUUCCAAAAUUUCUAUAUUGCCAAGCUCAGUCGGUAAGUUGAAGCUCUUAAGAUACCUUGACCUUUCGAGGACCAGUAUACAAGAAUUGCCUGAAUCAAUUACCAGCCUCUACAACUUGCAAACCUUGAAUCUUUCAGGCUGCUGCGAGAUCCGUACAUUACCCAAAUUUCUAGGAAGGCUUACGAAUUUGCGGAUUUUAGAUUUAAGUGAUUGGCAAUCUCUGACAAUACCUGACUCCAUUAACAACCUUCAGAAUUUGCACGCACUAAAUUUGAGUUGGUGCAAAAAGGUGAUAUCACUUGAACUUAUAUGUCACCUCAAAAACCUGUAUUACCUAAACCUAUCAGGUCUAAAUUUUAUGGUGACAUUACCUGAAUCCAUUGGGAGCCUUCAAAACUUGCGUAUUCUGAAUCUUUCUAACCACUAUUCUCUACUAUCAUUACCCUCAUCGUUAUGUGAUCUCAAAAACCUGCGUAACUUAAACCUAUCACAUCUAAAUUCUUUGGUGACAUUACCUGAAUCCAUUGGGAGCCUUCAAAACUUGCGUACUCUGAAUCUUUCUGGCUGCAUUUCUCUACUAUCAUUACCCUCAUCAUUAUGUGAUCUCAAAAACCUGCAUUUCCUAGACCUAUCAAGUCUAAAUUCCUUGGUGACAUUACCUGAAUCCAUUGGGAGCCUUCAAAACUUGCGUAUUCUGGAUCUUUCUUGGUGCUCUUCUUUACUGUCAUUACCCUCAUCGUCAAGUGAUCUUCAGCAUUUAGAGGCACUAGACAUUAGCGACUGUGGAAAAUUAUGUGAGCUGCCUAAAAUGAUCCAAAAGCUGACCAAACUUAGAGUCUUGUUAAACGAGGAUUGCUCGGAAUUGAAGGGCAUGCCCCGAAGGAUCGGCAAGUUAGUUAGCUUGACGGAAUUGUCUGUUUUUGUCGUCGGCAAGCAAGACCGCAUCGAACAUUGUGCUAGCAUUUCUGAGCUAGAGCACCUUAAGCUUGUCGGCAAGCUGGAGAUCAAGGGUCUUGAAAAUGUGACGAGUCCGGUUGAUGCCAAGGCUGCAAAUUUGAUAGAGAAGAAGCUGCAGUCUUUGAAGUUGGAAUGGAAUGUUUUAAGUGCGGAAGAAGGUAUGGAUACUGUACUACUGGCUGAAGAGAUCGAUACCGUGCUCGAAAAUCUUCAACCACAUCAAAAGCUAGAGAGUUUGACAAUAGAAGGUUAUGGAGGUGGGAAGUUUCCUGGCUGGAUGAUGAAUAGGAUUGGCUCGUGCCUCCCAAAUCUUGUGGAAAUCAAACUUGCGGAUAUUCCCGGAUGCAGCUCACUCCCGCCGCUCGGGCAACUUCCUUUUCUUAAAGAACUAAUUAUAGAAAAUAUGCCCGCAAUAACAAAUUUCGGCGUUGAAUUUUAUGGAGAUAGCCAUAUUACUGCAAGUGCAAAUAAGUUCCCUGCCCUGACGAGCCUUAACUUGUCCUCCAUGCCAAUGCUGCGAGAAUGGGUGACGGUAUUGACGGUGGAUGACGAAGAAUGCAGGCGAGAGCGAGUUCCCAUUUUUCCGUGUCUCACUCAUUUGAUUCUUAAUGAAUGUCCUCAGUUCAGCCCAGAGCCUUGCCUCCCGGCGUCGGUUGAGGAGCUGAUCAUCUCCGGAACAAGCAAAGAGAAUCUAUCGUUAAUUCUCUCACGCGCGAUGCCACUUGAUGGUGGUGAUGCCGCCGUUUCACCCCAACCGCCACGAAAUAAGGGGCUGCGGAAUCUAAUAAUAGACGAAUGUCAGCAGCUAACUUGUUUGCCCGAGAGCUUGCGGAGUCUCACGUCCCUCCAGAACCUGAGAAUAUGUGGUUGCGAAGAUCUUGAGAGAAUUGAAGAUUGGCUCGGGGAGCUCACCGAGCUGCAGUCCUUGUUCAUUUGCUUACCGAGUCUCCGUUACUUGCCUGCCCACAAGAUGACCGCACUUCAGGGGUUAUAUAUCGCGGAUUGCCCGCUGUUGUUCGAUGCGGACCGACGAUUUGUCGACACCAGUGUCGAUCACAUAAAAAAUGUCGAUGUUCAUGGGAGGUAAUUAAUUUGGAGCUCUAACUACUCUUUAAUUAAUGAGCUAGCACCUUAAUAUUCUAUUGUAGCUAGCAUAAACAUCUCUUCUCAUUUUUUUUUUCUAAAUAUUCGGAUGGAAAACUUAAUUUCAAUUAGCCCCACCGCACGUGAUUCAAAACAUUUUCAUUUGCUAUGAAAUAUUUCAUUUUGCUAUUUUAUAGUUUUGUUUUUAUUUUCUUGCAAAUAUCUUCUACAAAAAAGAAAAAAAGAAAAAAAAUUAAAGUGCUAAAAUGGAUGAAUUAUAAGACAGUCGAGUAAUUUAUUUUACAAACCACAUAGGGACUAUGUGAAAUAUAUAUAUAUAUAUAUAAUAUAUAUAUAAUAUAGUAUAUUAUAUAUAUUAUAUAUAAUAUAUAUAUAUAUAUAUAUAUAUAUUAGUUCUAUAAAAUCUUAGCACUUUAGUACUCCACGCUACUUGAGAUAGGUUCUUAUGAUUGUAUAUAUAUAAAAAAAAAAUCCAUAGGAUUUUCAAGUAAAACUAUUUAAAACGUAGGGCGGCAAAAUGAAAACGGGUUAAACCAUAUUUCAAUAUCAAAAGUGCAGUUAAGAUAUUCGAAAACAUUGUUGGUUUUCUGGAAAAAAUUUCAAGUGGUCUUUUGCAUGUACAUAGACUAAUUAAUAAAAUUUUAACCUUUUCUUAAUUUGUAGCGAUUUGAGAUGCUGGAAAAUUUCUACUUGAACAAUAUAUAGUAUUUACAAAGUAAUUAUUUUCGGUCAUAUUGUUGAUAUACUAUUCGAGUCCUGGGAUAUUUUUCUUUACAAAUUAAAAUCAGGUAUGUUAUAUAUCAUACGUUAUUAGAAAGUCUAAGCAAAAUGUACAGCACAUACUGCACAAGCGUCGGAUAAAAAAGUAACCAUUUUGUGUUGUUGUGGUGUAGAAAAUACCUGUACAAAAAACAAGCGAGCAGCUCGCCACAUGUGGAACAGAGCUCACCGUAGGAGGAGGAAGAGAAGAAGAUUGGUUAGCGAGGAGAGCAUAAGUAUAUGUACCUAUUAUUUGGAGGUAAAAAGAUAUUAGAUAUUAUCUAAACGAUACUGCACUUUGAAAGUGGCCAAUUGGGCUUUACGAAUUUCGAUUUUAAUUCGAUUUUAAGUCGAUUUUAAUUCGAUUUUGAUAUAAGAAAUUUUCUUUGAAAGAUUUGUUAGAUCCUUUUAGAAUUUAGUCUCUUCCGUUAAACAAAGUGCAGAAUGUUUCAUAAAAUAAAAAAUAUCAAAUUUUAAAAUAUUUUUUCAAAAAACGUUAAGUAUCCUUUCGAAUUCUAUAAGGAACAUAAUAAAUACGGCGGAAGCGUAGUAUAGGUCUGUGAAACAACCGUUGUACUCUAAAAGCUUAAGCUGGUAGAGAACGGUAUUUAAACAUUUUUAUAUUUAACACUCCCCCUCACGUCUGGACUCUGGACUCGAGACUUUUUAGUCGGCCCAUAACGUGAGCUUAAAUUAAAUGAGAGGAAAUUAAUAUGUUAGGAGCCUGGCAUGACUCGAACUCAGGAUCUCCUGCUCUGAUAUCAUGUGAAACAACCGUUGUACUCUAAAAGUUUAAGCUGUUAGAAAACGGUGUUUAAACAUUUUUAUAUUUAACAAGCUCACGUAACCUUUUAGCUUAUUUGGUGAUCACUAUUCCCCUUUGAGAAGACUUUUUUUUCUUCCUUUGUUUUGCCAAAAAUAAACAAAUUUUAUAUAUCUACAUGCAAUGGUGAGAGUUUUUUUAUUCAUGGACUUGUGGUCUUCUCUUUCAGGUUGGUGCUAUUUAGCUUGCCGGACAAGAAUUGUAGUGUGCUGUUAUCGGUUAAUAUAUGUGUUUUCGUGAUAUAAAUUUAGUUUUUGAAUGUACUAUUUUAUAAUUUGAUUUGAUUGUUUGUAAUUUUAUGGUGUUUUUUAUACAUGUUAUGGGCUUGAAAAAAAUUGUUUGGUUUGAAUAAACAAAAUGCUGCUACUUUUUUAGUACGGAUAUUAGAGGGUACAUUAAUUUUUAAGUAAAUCUCAUGUAGAGUUUAUUACUAGUAUAUAUGCUUUGUGUUACGAAGUUGUUUAAAAUCAGAUGCUGUUAUUUGCAUGCAAGUUGGACCUAGUGUGUAUGUACCGCAGUUGAGAGGGUUAAUUUCCAUAUAUGUUUACUUUAGUUUAACUUUACUUUUAUUUGAUUAUUAGAUCCGAAGCCGAUAAAUUUUAAAGUAUUAAAAGUUUUAUUAUUUUGCUUUCUGCAAGAUUUUUAGUCUUUAAAUUCCACAAAUCUGAAUCGAUUUAUUAAUAAAAUCAAACUGAAUCAAUAGAAGUGAGUUGCUUUUCCAGUUUGGUUUUUACCAAACAUGUGAUUUAAAUGAAUAUAAAGGAUAUAUAUAUAUAUGAGUGAGGCUACUAUGCUAUCGGAAGCACGGAGCCUUCCUUGCUUCCAGCUCAUUUUUUGAUGUUGCGACUUUCGAAUCGUCGAUCGGCUCCGUUAAAUUUGAUCUAGACUAUUUGAAGUACCUAGAAUAUAAAUUUUAUGAUUUUACGAUAUCAUUUGCCUAGUGAACGAAGGGGCUCAAAAUCAACGGCUGAAAAUAAAAAUCUUACAAAAUGUAAUAAUAUGACAUUAAAAUUUUAAAUCAAGGAUAUUGAUCUUGUUUUAUAUAGUAUAUAAAGAAUUUUCUAUCAAAAUUUCACGCGAUUUGGAUAUUUCUACACCGUUAAACUUGCAAACGGCUUAUUAACGGCCAUUGAAAUUUGUUGAUUUUGAACCCAUUCGAUCAUGACAAGAUGAUCGAAAAAUAAUAAAAUUUAUUUUCUAGGUGCUCCAAAUACUCUAGAUCAAGUUUAAUGGAUCCGAUCGACGAAUUCGAAAAUCGCAACAUCGAAACGAGCUGGAAACGCGGAAGGCUCCGUGGUGUUCCGAUAGCAUAAUAGCCUCAUCUCUUCUCUCAUACUAGUAUAUAUAUAUAUUAUAAUAUAUGUAGGGCUUCUUGUCUCAGAGAGCACGGAGUCUCGGUGCUCCUGGACCGUUUCGAUGAAUAGAUUUUUCGAAUCGACGAUCGGCUCCGUUAGACUUGAUCUAGGGCAUUGAAGUUUCUUAAAAAUAAUUUUUACGAUUUUUAUAAUAUUAUUACCUAGUGAUCGAGAAGAUUAAAAUUCAUAAUUUUUAAUGGUUGAUUAAUCUACCAUUUUUAAGUUUAACAGGUAGAAGUAUUCAAUCAGAUGAAAUUUUGAUACAAAAUUUUUUAUACUAUCCUAAAUAUGAAAUCAAUAUUUCUGAUCGAAAAAUAUUUAGUACUAUAUCACUACUUUUUAAUAGAUUUUUUUUCAGUCGUUAAAAUUAUUGAUUUUGAUCAUUUCGAUUGCUAGUUAAAUGAUAUCGAAAAAUCGCAAAAAAUUAUUUCUAAAAACUUCAAAUACGCUAGAUCAAUUUAACGGAGCCGAUCGUCGAUUCGAGCUCCAUCAUCGAAAACGCUCAGGAGCACGGAGGCCUCCGUGCUCCUGAGAGCACAGUAACCGCUUAUUCUAUAUAUAUAAUUGAUAUAUUAUAUAUAUAUUAUAUUAUAUUAUAUAUAUAUAUAAUAUGUAUAUAUAUAGAGCUUAGUGCUACUAUCUAUCGUAGUACGGAGCGCUCCGUGCUACAAUUGUUUUCGAUGAUGUGGCUUCCAAUCGACGAUCGACUACGUUAGAGUUAAUCUUACACUAUUGAAAGUAUUAGAAACUAAAUUUCAUAAUUUCGAUAUCAUUUACUUAUCCAAACAAGUAGUCUAAAAUUGAACGGCUGAAAAUAAAAAAUCUCAUAAAAAAUGAUGAUAAAAGAUUUAAAUUCAAGAUCAGAUAUACUGAUCUUACUCUAAAUAGUGAAAAGAAUUUUCUAUAAAAUUUUCAUCAACGCAUUGGAUUGUUUAUACCGUUAAACUCACAAACACACCACAUCGGCUAUUAAAUUGUCAAUUUGAGAUCUUUUGAUCACUAGUCAAAUUGAUGUCGAAAAAAUUUGAAAUUUAGUUUCCAAAUACUUCAAUAGUGUAAGAUCAACUCUAACGGGAGCGAUCGUCGAUUUGGAAAGCCACAUAAUCGAAAAACAACUUGGUAGCACGAGCGGCUCCGUGCUACGAUAGUAUAGUAGCCUAGCUCUAUAUAUAUAUAUAUAUAUUAUAUAUAUAAUAUAUAAUAUAUAUAGAAGUCCGCUACUAUGCUAUCGCGUAGCACAGCGAGCGCUCCGUGCUACCAAGUGUGUUUUCGAUGAUGCGGCUUUCAAAUCGACGAUCGGCUCCGUUGACAUGAUCACACUAUUGAAGUAUUUUGAAACUAAAUUUCAUAAUUUUUUCGAUAUCAUUUACUAUCAAAUAAGUAGUCUAAAAUUGAACGGCUAAAAAUAAAAAUCUCAUAAAAAAAUGAUGAUGAUAAGAUUUAAAUUCAAAGAUCAGAUGAAUACUGAUUUUACUCUAAAUAGUGAAAAGAAUUUUCUAUAAACUUUUCAUCGCAUUUGGAUUUUUUUACUCGUUAAACUCACAACACAACCACAUCGGCCAUUAAAAUUAUCAAUUUUGAAUCUUCUAUCACUAGUCAAAUGAUAUCGAAAAAAUUGAAUUUAGUUUUCAAAUACUUUUCAAUAGUGUAGAUCAAGUCUAACGGAGCCGAUCGUCGAUUGAAAGCGCAUCAUCAGAAACAACUGGUAGCACGGAGCGCUCCGUGCUACCAUAGCAUAGUAGCGGACUCUAUAAUAUAUAUAUAUAAUAUAUAUAUAUUGCUGCAUUAUUUAAUAGUAAAGUAAAAUUUAUGUAAAUUAUGAGUGUGAGCUACUAUGCUUACGAAGCACGGAGCCUUCCGUGCUUCCAGCUCGUUUUGGAUGUUGCGACUUUCGAAUCGUCGAUCGGCUCCGUUAAACUUGAUCUAGAGUAUUUGGAGUACCUAGAAAAUAAAUUUUUAUUACUUUUCGUUAUUCAUUUGCGUUAGUGAUCGAAUGGCUCAAGAAUCAAACAAAUUUCAAUGUGCCGUGUGAUCGUGACGCAGUUUGCAAGUUUAACGGGUUGAGUAGUAGAAAUAUCCAACUCACUGGAAUCUGAUAGAAAAUUCUUUAUAUAUAUAUAAACAGAUCAAUAUCUUUGAUUUAAAAUUUUAAUGUCAUAUUAUUACAUUUUGUAAGAUUUUUAUUUUCAGCCGUUGAUUUUGAGCCCCUUCGUUCACUAGCCAAAUGAUAUCGUAAAAUUAUGAAAUUUAUUUACAAGUACUUCAAAUACUCUAGAUCAAGUUUAACGAAGCCGAUCGACGAUUCGAAAGUCGCAACAUCGAAAACGAGCUGGAAGCACGAAAGGCUCCGUGCUUCCGAUAGCAUAGUAGCCUCACUCGUAAAUUAUUAUAAUAAUAAGAGUUGAGCUAGAAUAUUAUUAAUAGCAAAACGUCCUUUUUGCUAUCAAAUUUUUAGUAUUUGGAUCAACUCUUUUCAUCAUUUCUAAUCAUUGAAUUAAAUACUAUAAUACGGUGGGAACCACUCACUCAACCCUAUGGUUUGUAAAUUAUAAUAUUUUAAUUACAUGUGGUUUAUAAGUUACACUAUUUUAGCAACCUUAUAGUGAUAAAAAAAAAAAUUAAAAUUAAAAAACAAGGGCAAUAUGGCAUAGCAAAAGUUUUUUCAACCACAUAUUGAAAAAAGUGAAAAUAUUAGCCUUUGGAUGGAAUAGUGCUAUAAAAUAGGAUACAAUAAACUUCUAAUUAGCCCCCUAUAAAUUAGCAAAUUUUCACUUUUUCAAUAUGUGGUUAAAAAAACUUUGGCUUUGCCAUAUUGCCUUUGUUUUUAAAUUUUUAUUUUUUUAUAACUAUAAGGGCCUUCUUUUGAAAUGGUUGCUAAAAUAGUGUAACUUAUAAACCACAUGUAACUAAAAUAUUAUAAUUUACAAACCAUAUGAUAUUAUAAUUUAUAAUAAUAUUACUUUACUCUUCUAUUUAAUGGCAAAUUGUUACGGUAGGAUAAAGACAAAAUUACGGGAUAGCAAAAUAAAAACUUCUAACUCACAGGAUUGCAAAAUUUAAAAAAUCCUAGUAAAUCAUAGGAGGGGUUAAUUGAAGUUUAUGCAAAAUAGAAACUCUAGCUUCGUGCAAUUAUUUCAUACUGUGAGGAGUAUACUCAAACUUCUAGAAUAGAUAAAAAUAUUUAGCCUAAAAAUCAUUUUUUUCCACGGAAAGAUAAAUUAUCUCAUAAUAAAAUUUAUUAUUCUGCAAAAUAAUGAACAACAAUACCUUCUAAAGCUGAGAGAAAAAGGGGAAAAAAAAGAAAUUCAUGUUAAUGUCCAAACGGGAUAGAGAUACCAAAGUGCAAAUAGGUCAAAACCAGAGGACCAAAUUGAAGUUUUCACUCUGCUAUAAAAACCCAGCCCGUUUGAAACCCCCCACCCUGCAGCACCUUCUUCUUGUAUUCCCUCCAAAACUUCUCCCUCCCAGAUUUCCUGCUCCAGCGUCCAACCCCCAAAAUCAAUCAAGAAUCGAAGAUGAGCGAAUCCUCGGCCUCCGUCGGUGGCGACGGCGAGAGUGGAAACGAGCUGUGGGCGCCGCCUUUUCCCGGGGAUAUCUUGCCCCGCAUCGUCGCGAGGCUGACCUGCGCCGAUCACGCCGCUCUCCGCGCCACCUGCAAAUCAUGGCGCACCAUCUUCUCCGCCAUCCCCCCCUCCCCCCAUCCCGGCCUGCUCCCCUUCCUCCUCCUCCCCCCGCAUUUCGCCCUCCCUGAUCCUCUCUGCCUCAGCCAUCGUACCCCGCCCUAUACCCCGCCCCUUCCCGACUACCCUCUUGGCCCCAUCGUCCCCUUCCCCCGCCUCGGCCACAGCCAUUCCGAUUCCCCCUUCUUCCCCCUCGGCAGCCUCCGCAAUCCCACAUUCCGCCCGCUCCCCUCCCUCUCCGACACCACCCGCCACGUCUGCGUCGGCUGCUCCCACGGCUGGCUCAUCCUCCUCGGCCCCACCUCCCACAUCUCCCUCCUCAACCCCCUCACCGCCGCCACCAUCCCCCUCCCUCCCCCGCUCUCCUCUGUCCGCUACCUCUUCCCUGUCUCCGAUCCUCGUGACGUCGACCAACACCUCCUCUCGCCGCCUCAUCAACCUCGCCGCCUCCUCCACCUCGCCGCCCUCGUCCGCCUCGCCGCCCUCUCCGCCGACCCCUCCGACGACCCCUCGUCCUUCAUCCUCGUCAUCGUCCUCGGGAACGACGUCUCCUCCCGCUUCUUCACCUGUGGCCCGAGCGACAGCUACGCUGCGUGGAAGCCCCACAGCCCGCUCAGGUUCCCUGCCUACGGCCUCACCGACCUCAUCUUCCACCACGGCCGCUGCUUCGCCGCCAUCACAUGGAGUUACUCUGGGCGCUCACUGCACGGCCCUGCAGACGCAAUCGCCGUUUUCGAUUUCCACACCUAUCCGGCAUUCCAGAGGCUUUUGCAUGUUCGGAUCCGCGAAAACUAUGUUGCGAAAAACUAUACCAACUUCUUGAUUGAGUCGGCCGGUGAGCUACUGCUCGUAACCAGGCAUGGAGAGAUCAAUGCGGGGCGCAUCUUGGUCCAUCGUUUGCCUCCGUUGGAGGGGGAUGGUCCGUUCGUACCAACUCCCGAGGCCAACCUCGGCAAUCGGGCCUUGUUCUUGGGCACGGGGAAUUCCGUCUUAGUGCAAGCCCGGGACUUCCGGCGAUUCAUCCGAAGAAACUGCGUCUACUUCACCGAUGUGUAUCGCAAGGUGGUAAACGAUCGGGCUGUUUCCGUCGGCUGCGUCUACGUGUUCGACAUGGAGAAAGGCAUCACAAGGAAGGCGUUCGAAGUGGCGCAAGAGCAUGAGAUGAAUAUGUGGUCGAAUCUGAGGCCGUGGUGGGUUACGCCCAAUUUGCGCAAGAGUGAUCCAUGAGCACCCAGAGGUUCGNGACAUGGAGCAGGGCGUCACGACGAAGGCGUUCGAAGUGGCGGAAACGGACGAGACGAACAUGUGGGUGAAUCUGAGGCCGUGGUGGGUUACGCCGAAUUUGCGCAGGAGAGGUCCAUGAGCACCGAGAGGUUCGAUCUCGUACCGCACUUUCGUUCUCCCUUGGUGCACAUUCUGAGUUUCAAAUACAAUUGCAGUCUCAUUGCGGAUACAAUCGAAGGAUCCGGAUCAUUUAUUUGCCCCCCUUACAUGUUCUUCUCAGCGAAAAGUUGAGAACUAAGGAUGCAAUUGAUCAAGCCUUAAAUCUGGAUAUUAGGAAUUGCUCAAAAUAAAAGCACCGAAUUUCGCAAUUUAAUUUCACUUCGCUUAUUGAAGUUAUUAUGAUCCAGUUUCAUAGUUUGAACACUUUUAACUUUUGAUCGGACAGUUUUGAAGAAUCUACUCCCUUACAUGUUUGAAGAGCAGUUCUUGAAUAGUAAAGAUUUUGCUCAAAUCUUUAAUAAUACAGUAUCAAGUUAUCUCGAAAAUUAAAAUGAGUUGUCCACGAUUUAUUGUGAUAUCAUGAUAAAAGUAGUUGCUUUUCAUGAUUCAGGUUAAUCGAGGAACGCAAGGAAGAACUGAAAGCGGCAAUUCGAUCAUUAUAACCGUCCUUAGUUCCCUGGCUUCCAAGCCAUCUAUACAAAUUUUAAUGUUUUCUGUACAUAGGAAGAUGAUGGUGUGCAGCAUAUAUAGUCCUGCAAGAGUUUGGAACUUCGUCCAUACAUUGUGUCAUAUCUGUUGCAAAAUUUUAGCACCACUUUGUUUUGAACUUGUACAUACCAUUUAGGAGCAUCUGCUGGGCACGCACACAACUAUCGGAAACUGAUUAGACGUGCGAUAAAGAGAUUGUCUUACUGUGUGAAGAACAGCAUGAUGAUCCGUCUGAAGCAUUCUCCUCUGUAAACAGGAAACUGCAUGUUUACAUCUCCUUCUUUUUCUUUUUCUUUGUUCCUUUCUUUGUGGGGUCUUAUAUUGUUAUUAAUUAGAUCAAGCAUCAACAAUUGAGUUACUUCCCUCAAAAAAAAAAAAAAAAAAACAAUUGAGUUACUAUACUUAUGUUUCUUACUCUCCAAUUUGAUUUUGUAAUGAAGGCAUAGUGACUUUUGUGACCAGGAUUGAGGAAAGGGUUUAUUAUAAUGAUCCCUAGUUGAAUCCAAUUUCUAUGGCUAUACUCCUUUAUUAAGGACCUAUUAGGCCCCGCUAGGUAGGAGGAAUUCUACACUAUCAUACUUGCACCACGUCAUUAAUAACAAAUCAAUUAUAUUUCUUUUUUUCAAACAAAAGUAUAAUAAAAAUAUUUUUUUACAAUCAUAAUGAGACAUAUACUCUUAAAAGGAGACAUUUGAUUGAUUUGUUACGCCAAGUCAUCAAUAUAUCCGUUAUAUUCUAAAAUUUUUUGCUAGGUAGAGGGUGGAGUUUACUGUUUGAUGCUAAUAAUAGUUUAUUGCGGCAACUCUAGUUCCCGUCCAAAUUCAAAAAUCCUUAACCCAAAGAUAGAAAUUUUCCCAACAAAGUAAGACCCAAGAAGGAGUAUUAUAUCGGUAAAUAAACCACAUAAGUUGAUCAAAAUAUGUUAAACACUGUAUUUAAGGGUUUGUUUGGUUCAAUGGUGGAAUUGAAAUGGAUAAUGGAAUGGAAAUGAAUUGGAAUAGUAAUUGGAAUGACCCACUCCCCCAAGACGUUUGAUUUAUUUGUGGAUUGAGAAUUAGAAUGAGUUAUUCAAAUUUCAUUGUUAGGUUCAUAUAAACUAAAAAAAUUAUAGGAUACUAUAAUACUAAUUUUACUCUCAAAUAUAAAUUUGUAUUAUUUAAAAUUUAUAAAAAAUAUAAUACUAUUCUCUAAUAAGUUUUCCAAAAAAAAUAUCAAAUUUAUUUUUAAAAACUUUUAUUAAUGUGGGUUAGGAAUAGGAUUUUGAGAGAGGAUAGAUUUUUUUUUUUUUGAUGAGAAAGGGGUGAAGAGAAGGAGGGUGAGAUGGUCACAUGGGCUUUGAGCUUCCGGAAUGAAAUUUCAAUCCGGACUAGAAGACCGGAAUCAAGUUGAAGACUAAUAGGCCAUUUCCAUUCCAGUCCGAAAUAGCAAUCUCAAACCAAUUCAUGCGAACCAAACAAAAUUAACCGGAUUUGAUCAAACCGAUUUCCAUUCCAUACCCAAAAUGGAUGAACCAAACAAGCCCUAACUUCGUUCCCUUAAUCUCCAAAAUUAGAUAUCAGCAUCUAAUUGCGCAUAGAUCUACUUCCGCAGGAACUACAUAACCAGAUGAUCGCGAUUAAAAAGAAACACGCUCGAAUCGAGUAAUCAAACCAAUCACCUGCACGAACAGCUCGAUCCCCCCUCGCCGCCCCCGGCAUCGUCUUCCUCCCGGCGACGGCGACGGCGGGCGCGGCGGGAGAAGGACGACGGCGACGAGGAGGAGGGGGACAAGAUUUUUAGUUUUUAAUUCCCCAAAUCCGAAAUCAAUUUAUUUACUAAAAUCAAACUGAAUCAGUCCAAGUGAGUUGCUUUUCCAGCUUAGUUUUUAUGAAACAUAUGGUUUAAAUGGAAAUAUAGAUUUAUCUUGCCGCACAAUUUUGAUUUAAAUAAUUUGAUUAUUUUUUCAAUAUAAAAUUUAGAAUAAUUAUUUACUUAAUAAAUUUAUAUCUGUGUAAUUAAAAAUACAUUUAAAUUUUUAAAGCUAAAGAGUCAUUAGUUGAUUCAAAUCAAAUAAAUUAAAAGAUUAUAUAGCAAAAUUAAAAUUUUUAAAGAUUAGAUAAUCAGAUUAAAAUAAGUGACAGUUGUGGUAAGUUGUAUAAAUUUUUACUUUUUUAUUCGGAAAAUCUGAAAAAUUAGAAGAGGUAUUUAUUUCAAAAUAUGUUAAAUUUUUUGAUUUAUUGUCUAUUCUUUCUGAUUUGAGUUUCAUGAAAUUUUUGCUAACUAUAUACCCAGUGCUAUGUGCAGUAUGCCUUUUUCUCUUUUCUUUUUUUUUUUUUCAUUCUCCUUCAUUUGCAUUGUGACUGUAGAGUAUCCUACAUUGUAAAUUGAAAAUGAUUCCGGUUACUAAAGAGAAUAAAUAAUAUAUUUAUCUUAUACCAGAACAGACUCUUUACAAAAAAAUUUCACUUUGGCCCCUAAAAUUUAUAAUAUUUUAAUUUUUUAAUAUAUCAUAGUUAGAAACUUUUGUGUAAUUUUCAAAAACUUGAGGGGGCCCAUGACCAUUGUUGGCCUCUCAAUAGCUCUCUCCCGGUUCAGGACUAAGCAAAGCAUCCCAAAAGGACUUUGAUACAAGUAUGCUAGAUUGAUAAACAUAAAAAUAUAAAAAAAUCAUUCCGGCUUAAGUUUUUUUAAAAAAUAAUUGUUUCAUAUUAUUUAACAUGAUAUCAAAUAAAAAGAUUAUGAGUUCGAGUCACACCAGGCUCCUAACCUAAUUGAAUUUUCUCUCGGUUAAUUUAAGUCCACGUCGAACUUAGACGUAAGGGAGAGUGUUCAAUAUAAAAAUAUAAAAUAUCAUUAUCUAUCAGCUUAAAUUUUUAGAGAAAACAGUUGUUUCGCGUUGUUUAACAUAGAUUGAAGCCAUAUGCACAGCUAAACAAGUAGCGUGGGUAAAUCCAUUAAAAAUGUCUAGAUGCUGCAUGCGAGUCCUCUAAAACUUGCAAUUUAUCUAUAACAAAAAGAGAUGAUGUAUCACGUGCAGAAGUAUGUAACAGUAAGGAUUGCAGCUGCAGGCGAUUUGAUUAUGAGCAACCACAAUUAAACUAUGGCUGGCGCACAUUUAUUUAAUUACAUUUUACAUGUUCACUUAUAGAUAGCAUGCUAGAGAGCCGGCUCAGCCACCAUGUGAUCUUUGCUCUCUUUUACAGAGUGCAGAUCUUACGUCUGUUUCCAUUUUGAAAAAAUUAUAUAUAUCUUUUUGGUUGAAAUACAUAAAGUCACCAGCACUGUACUGCCAUAUGAAAUUUCCUCCCCUCAACUUUUUAUUUUUUCAUUUAUAUUUAUUUGACUUAAUUAGACCCCUAUGUUAAUUACAAGGUUAUUUUACCGACGGUUCCUGGUGCAAGUGGCAAAAGACUUAGUAGUUGGUAUCCAAGGUUUCAAAUUUAAAUUCUAAUUGAUUCACAUUUUCAUUCUAAAUAAAAUAAACGAAGUAGUAGAGUAGCAGUUGAGAUGUAUGGCAAUGAUGACAACAUGAAAAAAUAAAUGAGCUGUUGUCUCUAAUAAUAGAAUGAGAGUGCCGACAGAUACAAAAGAAAGCUAAAUUUUUUUAUUCUGAUUUAUGAUAGCAACGUGGUUUUGAAAAAAGAUUCCAAUAGCCUCUCUAAUUUAUAAAGAUUUGAGAUAAUCAGGUAUAAUAAAAAUUUAUAUAUUUUUCACCGAUGGGAGUCUAACGUAAAGAAAACAAAAGAAAGAAAAAAAAAAUGAUAGUAUAAAGAGGUGUAAAUUAAGAAAAUAAUUUUUUUAUGGCUAUUAAGAAAAUCAAUGCUAAUUAAAAAAAAGGCAAUUUCGAACUGCGGUACAGUGCUGAAGUGGUCUCCAAUUUUUUUUUUCUUUUUUGUUGGGGCAAUCAAAAUUUAUACAUAUCAAUCCUUCAAAUAUAAUAGUAUCGUAGAAUAAUAUCGUGGGGUGAAAAUCGUUUUGAUAUUACUCAAUCUAACCGGACUCUGAAGCCAAAGAUUAUCAGAUUUGGAUUGAAAUUUUACUAUCCAUUACAGACUCAAAUUUAGAUUCAGAUCCAAAAUUUGAAAUUCUUUUGGGUUCAAAUUAAGAUUCAUUAUUCCUUUUUAUUCAAAAUUAUUCGAAACAAAAACUGAUUUUGACUGCUUUUUUAAUUUCUUAAGCAAUGCCAUUUAAGCAUCUUUCAGAAAUCUCAAACAUCUUCAUUGCAUUUUCUUCACUUGGAAGAGAAAUUAAUAAUAAUAAUAAUAAUAAUAAUAAUAAUAAUAAUAAGGCCCUCCUUUUCCGCCUCUUCAUUUGAAAAUGGACACGGAAACAUCAAGAUCCAAAGAGAAAAUUUGAAACUGAUAAUAUUUUUAUAAUCUGUACAAUAGGAUAAAGCCGAUUAAGGGAGUAACGUGCAAAAGGUCAACGAUUCCCAGCGUAGUUACCAGAGAGCAGCAGCACGAUAAUUGGAGCAACCACCUAUCAUCCCCAUAUUCUCUGCUAGGACGUUUGUAUUGAGAAGAAGCACAUAGCUAGCUAGCUGCUUUGGUAAUAGCGAUGGCGGAGGGGAUCGCAUUCGAUCUGGUCAAAGGAGUGCUGGGCAAGCUGGGCUCCGCUCUCUGGGACGAAAUCGGGCUGCUGCGGAGCUUCAAGGACGACGCGGACGAUCUCAAAAGCGACUUCUCGGCGAUCCAGGUGGUGCUUCUCGACGCCGAGGAGCGAAGCAGCAGCGUUGGGAAGGAGAGCCACGGUUUGAACGACUGGCUGCGCAAACUGAAGGACGCCGCCUACGACGCCGACGACCUGCUGGACGAGAUCCGGACGGAAGCUGAAAAGGUACGUGGAUUUCUGUCCCGCGCUAAUCCGAUGCAUCUGAAGUUUAAGCGCAAGAUGGCACACAGGAUGAAAGAGCUCAGAGAAAAGAUCGGUAAGAUCGCGGAACAGAGGCAUAAGUUUGGUCUUGCCGAAGUUGGCCCUGGUCGGCAGGCUGAGUUCAAGCGCAGUGAUUCAUUCUCGCUCGUCGACGAAAAGAAAAUAGUUGGGAGAGAUGAUGAUAAAGAGAAAAUUGUGAAGCUACUGCUACAGACUAACAGCGAUCACGACGUGUUGGUCAUUCCGAUCGUGGGAUUGGGGGGUUUGGGGAAGACGACGCUCGCUCGGCUGGCCUUCGACGAUGGGCGGGUUACGGGCCAGCAGCGCUUCGAUCUACGGGCGUGGGUCUGCGUGUCUACCGAUUUCGACAUAAAGACGAUUGCAAGGUCGGUGAUGUCUGAAGCUGGAGAGAAGUGUGAUCUUGACAACUCGGAUGCCGUCGGCCAUUGCCUUGUUAGGAUCUUUAGCCAGAAGAGAUUUUUGCUGGUGCUGGAUGAUGUGUGGAACGAAGAUCAGGAAAAGUGGGAGAAAUUGAAGGUUUUGUUUAAGGACGGCAAGCAGGGAAGUAAAAUCUUAGUGACCACACGGAGCAAGAAGGUUGCCACGAUAAUGAAAACAGUCGAACCACACCAUGUGAAAGUCUUAUCAGAUGAUGAUUGUUGGACAUUGUUCAAAAGACGGGCAUUCGAGAAAGGGGAAGAGAACGACUAUCCGAGUUUGGUGGAAAUUGGAAAGCAGAUAGUAGAGAAGUGUGGUGGCUUGCCUUUAGCAGCAAAUGCCUUAGGAAGUAUGAUGCGCUUUAAGAGGACAGAGAAUGCAUGGUCUGCUAUUAGAGAUAGCGAAAUAUGGAGGUUGGAAGAAGGAACUAUUUUACCAUCAUUAAAAUUGAGCUACAUUCAGAUGCCGUCGGCUUUGAAGCAGUGCUUUGGUUACUGCUCCAUAUUCCCCAAGGACUACGUGAUUAACAAAGAUGACUUGAUCCGGCAAUGGAUUGCUUUAGGCUUCAUUUCAUCGCAUGAAACAUGGACUUCGAUGGAAGAUAUUGGGAAUGAGUACCUUAACGAUCUAUUAUGGAUGUCUUUUCUUCAAGACGACGUGGAGAACAAAUACAGAUACCGGAUGCAUGAUUUAGUGCACGACCUCGCACAGUCUGUAGCAAGAGAAGAAGUUGCUGUCAUAUUUGGAGAAGAGUCAACAGGGAUCUCAGAAGGUUGCCGCUAUGCAUCAAUACACAGUAGUUUCGUGCCACAGAUUCCAACCACGGUAGCGCAGAGGUUGCGUGCUCUUCAAUUUAGGAACUCUGGUUCACUUAUUAUGGCUUUUUAUAGCGAGGCAAAAUGCUUACGCCUGUUGGAUUUACGUGGUUCCCAAAUAUCUAUGCUGCCAAGCUCAAUCGGUAAGUUGAAGCUCUUAAGAUACCUCAACCUUUCAUCGACCAAUAUACAAGAACUGCCUGAAUCAAUUACCAGCCUCUGCAACUUGCAAACCUUGAAACUUUCAAGCUGCCACGAUAUCCGUACAUUACCCAAAUUUCUAGGAAGGCUUACGAAUUUGCGGAUUUUAGAUUUAAAUGAUUGCCUAUCUCUGACAAUACCUGACUCCAUAAGCAACCUUCAGAAUUUGUACGCACUAAAUUUGAGUUGGUGCAUAAAUGUGAUAUCACUUGAACCUAUAUGUCACCUCAAAACCCUGCAUCACCUACACCUAUCAUUUCUAUAUUCUUUCACAACAUUACCUGAAUCCAUUGGGAGCCUUCAAAACCUGCGAAUUCUGAAUCUUUUUUGGUGCUGUUCUCUAAUAUCAUUACCGUCGUCGUUAUGUGAUCUUCAGCAUUUAGAGAAACUAGACAUUAGACGAUGUAGAAAAUUAUGUGAGCUGCCUAAAAUGAUCCAAAAGCUGACCAAACUAAAAGAAUUGUUAAACGAAGAUUGCUGGGAAUUGAAGGGCAUGCCCCGAGGGAUCGGCAAGUUACUUAGCUUGCAGGAAUUGUCCGUUUUUGUCGUCGGCAAGCAAGACCGCGUCGAACAUUGCGCUAGCAUCUCUGAGCUAGAGCACCUUAAGCUUGUCGGCGGGCUGGAGAUCAAGGGUCUUGAAAAUAUAACGAGUCCGGUUGAUGCCAAGGCUGCAAAUUUGAUAGAGAAGAAGCUGCGGUCUUUGAAGUUGGAUUGGAACGUUUUAAGUGCGGAAGAAGGCACGGAUAGUACUGUACUACCGGCGGAAGAGAUCGAAACCGUGCUAGAAAAUCUUCAACCGCAUCAAAAGCUAGAGGAAUUGAAUAUACGAGGCUAUGGAGGCGGGAAGUUUCCUAGCUGGAUGAUGAAUAGGAUUGGCUCGUGCCUCCCAAAUCUCGUUCAAAUCCAACUUGUGAAUAUGUCCAGAUGUUGCUCACUCCCGCCGCUGGGGCAACUCCCUUUUCUUAAACAACUAUUUAUAAGAAAUAUGCCCGCAAUAACAAAUUUGGGCGUAGAUAAGUUCCCUGCGCUGACGAGACUUCGCUUGUCCCGCAUGCCGGUGCUGCGAGAAUGGGUGACGGUAAUGACGGUGGACGGCAAAGAAGGCAGGCGAGAGCGAGUUCCCAUUUUUCCGUGUCUCACUCAUUUGAGUCUUACAAAAUGUCCCCAGUUCCGCCCAGAGCCUUGCCUCCCGCCAUCGGUUGAGGAUCUGGACAUUUCCGGAACAAGCAGCGAGAAUCUAUCGUUAAUUCUCGAAUGCGUGACGCCACUUGACGAGCGCGAUGCUGCCGUUUCACUCCAACCACCACCAAAUAAGGGGCUGCGGAAUCUAACAAUAACUAAAUGUCAGCAGCUAACUUGUUUGCCCGAGAGCUUGCGGGGUCUCACGUCCCUCCAGAGCCUGAGAAUAAGAGGUUGCCAUGAUCUUGAGAGAAUUGAAGAUUGGCUCGGGGAGCUCUCCGACCUGCAGUCCUUGUCCAUCCAUGGGUGCAGCAGUCUCCGUUACUUGCCUGCCCACAAGAUGACCGCACUUCAGGAGUUAGGUAUCGGGAAUUGCCCGCUGUUGUUCGAUGCAGAUGGACGAUUUGUCGACACCAGUGUGGAUCACAUCAAAUAUAUCUAUGUUGAUGGAAGGUAAUUAAUUUGGAACUCUGACUACUCUUUAAUUAAUUAGCUGGCUAGCACCUUAAUAUUCUCUUGUAGCUAGCAUAUAAACCUCUUUCUUUAAAUUUAUUUAUUUAUUUAUUUAUUUAUUUUUAAUCCAGAUGGAAAAACUUCCAUUAGCCCCGCCCCACGUGGUUCAUUUGCUAUAAAAUAUUUCACUUUGCUAUUUUAUUGUUGUCUUUAUUUUGCCCAACUACUGCCAAAGAAUAUUGAAGUGCUUAAAUUUAUGAAUUAUAGGAUAUUAAAGUAGUAUAUUUUAUAAAUUUUAGCACUUAACUACUUCACUUGAUGGCAAGUUCUUACAAUGAUACGAAGGAAAGAAAUAAUCACACAAUUUUAAAGUAAAAAAUUACUAUUUAAAGUACAGGACGAUAAAGUAAAAAAUGCAUUGAAUUAUAGAGGGUCCAAACUAAAGUUUUUCCUCACCGUAUAAACCUCUCGUAACAUACUUAUAGAUGCACAUACUUACUGCAACAUGAGUUACAAACCAUUUGCUAUUCACAAUCUCCAAUCCCCACCUUCUCGAGCAAUUGACCCACCAAUUUAUGUAUCUGGGAGAUUUUGUUUAAUUUAUAUUCUGAGUGAUUAUAAAUUUUUAGAUUAGUUUUAUCCUACUCUUAGAUAAGUUUUAUCCUGUUCUUAUUUCUUCCGGUUUAGAUAUGCUAAAUUGCUAUUCAACACAAUAUUUUGCUUGUACAAGUAGUUCAUAGAUUACACGAGGCAAUUAUUUUUCCACAAAUUUUGUAGCAAUUCCAACUUUACUAAUUUGCACAAUUGAAACUAUAUCAGCUUGCCGUUGCACAAUUUAAAAGCCACAUUUCAAAAUCAACUACAUAAAAGUGCAGCUAAGAUAUUCUAAAACAUGGUUUGUUGCUAAAAAAAAUUUACAAGCGGUCUCUUGCACGUAUAUAGACUAAUUAAUGAAAUUUUAACCUUCUCUUAAUUUAUAGCGAUUUGAGAUGCCGAAAAGUUUCUACUCGAAAGAUAUAUAGUAUUUGCGAAGUAAUUAUUUCCGGUAAUAUUGCUAAUAUACUAUUCGAGUCCUGGGAUAUUUUUCUUUUCAAAUUGAAAUCAGGUAUUUUAUAUAUCAUGCGUUAUUAGAAAGCCGAAGAAAAAUGUACAGCACAUGCUGCACGAGCAUUGGAGUUUAGUAGUUUCCACACCCUCUUGUUGUUUACUUUUCAGCUACUGCUACACCGACAGAUCAUCGAGAUAUGAGGAUUAUGCCAUAGAUAGCAUCUCCAACCCGUGUAUAUAGAGGACCACCAGUUAGUUGGUUUUGAGAUUGUAUGAUGUACAUUAGGACCGGCGGGGUCAGGAUCUUUACUUAUAUACCUUUAUUUUGAAAUGUAUAGUUGUAUAUUUGUAUGGAUAGUGGUCGUUGUUUAGUUUAGUUUUACAUAAAUCGCUAUGAUACUUUGUGUUUAGUUGUGAACUCUAGAAUCAUUAAUGUUGACUCUUUGAUUCCUUUAUUACUGCUACUGUUUCGUUGGUCGCUUCGUGCGGACAGGAGAAACUCUAUCCGUUCGGUGGAUCUGUCGAUGUUCCCGUGGGCUUACGCUAUGAAAUUGGGGCGUGACAGAUUAAUGUGCUAAAAAAAGUUACUAUUUUGUGUUGUUAUGAUGCAGGAAAUACCCAUAUGAGGAAGAAGGGAGCAGCUCGCCAAAGGAAGAGAAGAGCUCACCGAAGGAGGAGGAGAAGAAGAGUUGGACGAGUUAUUGGAGCAGAUCGAAUUGGUUAGCGAGGAGAGCAUAAGUAUAUGUACCUAUUAUUUGGAGGUAAAAAGAUAUUAGAUAUUAUCUAAACUAUCAUGUGCUUUUAAAGCGGGCAACUGGGCUUUACGAAUUUUGAUUUUAAUUCGUAAACCUUAUAUAUGCUCAUUUUGAUAAAAUAAAUUUUCUUUCAAAGAUUUGUUAGAUUCUUUUAGAAUUUAGUCUUUUCCGUUAAAAACAAAGUACAGAAUGUUUCAAAAAAUAAAAGAUAUUUUUUAAUCAAAUUUUAAAAUGUUUUAUCAAAAAACGUUAAGUAUCCUUUCGAAUUCUAUAAGGUGUUAGGAUUUGGUUAGAUUUGUAAUUGAAUCCUAUUUGGAUAAGAAUUAAUAUUUAAAUCUGUUUAAAAUAAAUUAAGAUUUAAAUAUUAAUUAGAGGAUCAACCUAACUAGAUUAGGAUUAAUAUUUAAAUCUAUUAGAGAUUAAUUAAGAUAGAUUUAGAUAUUAAUUAGAGUAGAAAUCCUAAAUAUAUUAGAAUUGGGGUACAUUUUGGUGGAGCUUUAUAAAUAGCUCUUGAUGGGUUUGUUUUUGAGGUGAGUACGGGAGAGAGAGAGAGAGAAAAGGCCUCUUGGGUGCCGUACCAGAGAGAGAAAAAGAGAGAGAGAAGGGAAUGAGAGAUUCAGAAAGAGAGCUCGGAUUGUAGCUACUCUGCGCAGAAGAGGAGUCAGGUGUAAUCUUCUCUUAUUUAAUGAAUCUUAUUUUACCCGCAUAUUUUCUGUUUUGGUAUUUCUCUCUUUUAUGAUUGUAUCAGUUUUUGCUGAGGAGACGGAUUUAUGGUAAAAAUCCGAUUUGACGUUUCCGUUGCGGAAUCCCAACCAUCGGUAUCGGAUUCACAAUAGUCGGUAUCGGAGCGGGUUGCGGAUUCACAAGAUCCGGUACCGGGGCGAGUACCGGAUUCCCAACAUAAGGAACAUAAUAAACACGGCGGAAAGUUAGAGAGUAGAAUUAAAUUUUUUAAAGUUUAGUUAUUUAUCUGAAAGCGUAGUAUAGCUCAAGUAAUUAAGAAUCAUUCUCUUUUAGCUUAUUUGGUGAUCACUAUUCCCCUUUGAGAAGAGUUUUUUUUUCCCCUUUGUUUCGCCAAAAAUAAACAAAUUUUAUAUAUCUAAAUGCAAUGGUGAGAGUUUUUAUUCAUGGACUUGUGGUCUUCUCUUUCAGGUUGGUGCUAUUUAGUUUGCCGGACAAGAAUUGUAGUGUGCUGUUGUCGGUUAAUAUAUAUUUGUGUUUUCGUGAUAUAUAUUUAGUUUCUGAAUGUACUAUUUUAUAAUUUGGUUUGAUUAUUUGUAAUUUUAUGGAGUUCUCUAUACAUGUUAUGGGCUUGAAAAAGAUUGUUUGGUUUGAAUAAACAAAAUGUUGCUACUUUUUUAAUACUGAUAUUAGAGGGUACAUUAAAUUUUAAGUAAAUCUCAUGUAGAGUUUAUUACUAGUAUAUAUGCAUUGUGUUACGAACUUGUUUAAAAUCAGAUGCUGUUUUUGGCAUGCAAGUUGGAGCUGGUAUAUAUGUAUGUACCGCAGUUGAGAGGGUUAAUUUCCAUAUAUGUUUACUUUAAUUUAUCUUUACUUUUAUUUGAUUAGAUCCGAAUUAAGCCGAUAAAUUUUAAAGUAUUAAAAGUUUUAUUAUUUUAAUUUGCUUUUUGCGAGAUUUUUAGUUUUUAAAUUCCACAAAUCUGAAUCGAUUUAUUAAUAAAAUCGAACUGAAUCAAUAAAAGUGAGUUGCUUUUCCAGUUUGGUUUUUACCAAACAUGUGGUUUAAAUGAAAAUAUAUAUAUAUAUUGCUGCAUUAUUUAAUAUAAAAUUGAGAUUAAUUAUUUAUUUUAAUAAAUUUAUAGCUUCAUAAAUUUAUAAAAUAUAGUAAUUAAACAUGUAAAGAUAAACAAUACAUUUAAAUUUUAAAGCCAAAGAGAUAUUUGACUCAAAUCAAAUAAAUUAAAAAAUUAUACUCUUAAAGAUUAGAUAGUAAAAUUAAAAUGAGUGAUAGUUGUGGUAAGUUAUAUAAAUUUCUUAUUUUUUUUAGUCAAGUAAUCCAGAAAAUUAAAAGAGGUAUUUACUUCAAAAUAACUUAAAUUAUUUUUUAUGGACAAGUAUUUUUCGAGACCCUAACAUUUGGGACCAACCGUAAAAAAUAAGGAAAAUUGCAUGAAAUUAAUUAACCAAAAUUUUAUUUUAUUGGAAAAAUAACCAGAAAAUUUUUAAAAUUUUCUGAUUUUAUUGUUUAUUCUUUCUUAUGUGAGUUUCAUGAAAUUUUUGCCCUUACCCAGUGCAUGGGCACUAUGCCCCCUUUUUUUUUUCCCCUUUUUCUUUUUAAUGGAAAUGCAGUAUGCAUAAUUGAUCCUUGAUGUAUACUAUAUUUUUAAUUUAACAACCGAAAAAAUAUGCUGUGAAAAUUAAACUAGUGGAUGAGAUAGCGUAAGGAUAUAUGAAUGUAUAAGGUGCAUCCAAUCGUUUUAUGAAGCGAUUAAAUUAUUUAAAUUAAAUAAAAAUUUUAAAUAUAAUAAAUAUAAAUUUUUUUAAAAAAAUUAAAUAGAUAGAUUUCAAAUUAUCCAAAAUUCAAUUAUCUUUGUAUAUUCAAAAUUCAAAAUCAUCAUAGAAAACUGCAUCUAACUUGUGAUGGCCAGUACCUUAAAAUUAAAAUCCAAAACAAAAAAGUACGAUCUACAGUAUCUAAAUGGAUUAUGUAUAAAAACACAAGGUUAAAAAAAAAAAAUCUAUUACUAAGUCAUCUAAAGUCUAUUCGUUUGUCUAUCGUAGAGAACGAGUAAUUAUUUGAUUUAUGAAGAAAUAUAUCUUCAAAAUAAGAAAUGCUACUGGUGCAUUCAAAAGUGUGGUGUAAAUCUAAGAUUUAUCCUCAAUAUGAAUUUUGUUUUUAAAUCUCAUCUUAGUAUCCGUUCAUUGUAUGGACUAGUUUACUGGAAUGGGCUUGGGCAUCCUACCUCGUUCCAUAUAACGUUUUGGUUCUGGUGGUCGUAUCAAAGUAAAUUUGUAUUUAUCAUAUCAACUUAUCACGACACAUAACUUCUCUUUGCUUUUUCUUCCUUUUUUUUUUUUUUUUUUUUUUGGAUAAAAGCCUUCCCAUGGUUGUAUGCAAGAGAUUAUAACUUGAUUGCUUAUGAAUAUGAGAGAAAGACGGGUGCUUAUUGUUUUGGAAUUUGUUGUUUGUCUGACGAUCCUGAUUAAAUAAUAUGAAGUACAUAUCUCUGUUUCUUACAUUUAUUUGAUCUUUAUAUACGUUUCAUUUUGGUCCUCAAACUUUCAAGUUCAACGACCGAGAUUUUGAACUCUUCAAAUAUUUUGCACAUCAACUGUUGGAUGGCAAAUUUCUGCUUACACCUAUUAUAUGUAUGCUACAUAUUUGUAUACUUAUUUAUCGACUCUGUACUGUCAUAUUAUUUUUACAUUGCCGCUUGUGGAUUUACAAUCGUUUUCUUUUUUAUUUAGAAAUUAGAGUAUUGAAUUGAAAGUAUGAGAUAAAAGACGGCUUGAUGAAUUUGUGGUGCACAAACAUACGGGUAACAUUUUCCAAGGUAUUGCUUUAGAAGGUAUUGCUGUUCAUUAUUUUGAGGAAUAAUAUAUUUUAUUAUGAGAUAAUUUAUCUUUCCAUGAAAAAUUGAUUUCUAGGCUAAAUAUUUUAUCCAUUCCAGAAGUUCUAAUAUACUCCUCAUGGUAUGAAAUAAUUGCACAAAGCUAGAGUUUCUAUUUUGCACAAACUUCAAUUAACCUCUCCUAUGAUUUACUGCAUUUUUUCAAUUUUGCAAUCUUGCGACUUAGAAGUUUUAUUUUGUUAUCCCAUAGUUUUGUCUUUGUUCUACCGUAACAAUUUGCCAUUAAAUAGAAUAGUGAAGUAAGAUUAUUGUAAAUUAUAAUAAUAAUAUGAUUUGUAAAUUAUAGUAUUUUAGUUAUAUGUAAUUUAUAAGUUACACUAUUUUAGCAACCACUGCUGAUAAAAAAAAUAAAAAUUAAAAAACAAGGGCAAUAUGGCAAAGCCAAAGUUUUUUUAACCACAUAUUGAAAAAGUGAAAAUGUGCUAAUUUAUAGGGGGCUAAUUAGAAGUUUAUUAUAUCCUAUUUUAUAGCGCUAUUCCAUCCAAAGGCCUACAUUUUCGCACUAAUUUUAUCAAUUUUUUCUUUGUUCAUAUUAAAAAUUUAAAAGUAUUGUGUAAAUUUUUAAAUAUGUGAGUAUAAGAUUUACACUGCGCUUUUAAGUGAGCAUAGUAUAUAAAAAGAAUAAAAGCUAAAUCUCAUAAUCCAUCUGUUGACUUAUCAUUCACAUUAUCAGUCAAAAUUACUUUUCAUUUGUACAAGAGUGAUUCUUCAAUCUCGUUUUUUAUUACAUUUAUCACCUAAACAAUUUCAAUAGCAUUUGGAGGUACCACCUGAGUUUAGGGUUGAGGGUUUGUUCGUAAACUUCGAUUGGCGAAAGUGGUAGCAACAUGUAUAUACUAAAUUGCAUUCAAAUUUUUAUCCAUAUUUAACUUGUUCGUAUCAUAUUUAACUAGUAAAUUAACAAACACUUCGUACUACAGUAAAAGUUGACAUUAAAAAAUUUGCGCAUUUGGAGAGUAAGACAAAGUACGGGAACUCAAUUCUUGAUGCUUGAUCUAAUUCACAAGAUGAGAUCCUCCUCACUUUGCAUUUAGUGGAAGUUGCAAAAAUGAUCUGAAAUGCUUGAGCUGCGAGAAAUUGACCUCAUACAUUUAAGAAGGCCAAAAGAGUUUCAGAUAAGAGCAUUGUAGUCGCUUCUUCGGAUUGGAGAAUACUUUGAGAUGAAUCAUGCUGUUCAUCGCAUUUGGAGAGUGAGAAGCAGCAGGUGCUGCAGGCUUCAAACAGGCUGGGUUUUUGUACAUACGAAUUAAAUGGAUGGAAUAAAAUGAAAAAGAAUAUUAAGGAUGAAUAAAACCCUAGUGCACACCUGUUUGGAUGCACCAUGUGUAGGCAGUGAUUUUUCGUAAGACAAAAUCAUAAAGCGGUAAAGAAUAGGUAGUCAAAUUAAUUUAAAAUUUUAAAUAUUAGCUAAUUAAUUUCAAAUAAUCAAAGUUCGGAUUAAUUAUAUACAUUUUUAUACCCAAAAAUAAAACACACGCACAACAACAACAACAACAACAACAACAACAACAUCAUGAUCUCUGCAGAGAGGGGUCUUUCUUUCUCAUGAAGAACAGGGCAUCUUCCGCACCAAGAUCCGAAUUUGGUUUAUUAAGAGAGGAAAUUUUGGGUCUCAAUAGAUAAAACAAAAACUUGCUGCAUACAAUUGUGGAGCAAAGGAUUUUUUAAAAUAAAAAAAAGGAGACAAAGCCUUAAUUAGAAAGAGAUGUUUAUGUAUGAAUUAACGAGUGCAUUUACGUAUGGUAACUUGGUAACUGUUAUACUUUCCUACCUGUAUUGUUUGGAUUCAUUAGUGAUAUUUGCAAUUUGUUAUGGAUUGAUGCAUUUAGCAGUGCAAUGUGUAUAUAUGCUUCAAAAGCGAGGUGUUUCAUCAAAAAAUUAAUCGAAUGGUUUAAGCUAUAGGUUUUAUGCCAAAAUAUUCAAAUAAAUGGUUCAAGUUAAGGGUUUUUUUAAAAAAAACAUUUGAAGUAUUGGAUGGAUCUUUGCUUCAAUCUGAGCAGUUUUGGAGUUUUUUUUUGAGAAAAAGAUAGCACGCUACCAGCUUUAUUCAUUUAAGAGAUGAACUUAGCUACAUAGGUGAGGCAACAAGGUCUCUAGAGAGAUGAAAACCAGAAGUUAAAUGAAAAAAAAAAAAAAAAAAAAAAAAAAAACAACAACAACAACAACAAAGAAUUAGUGUCUCUCUACAGGGCGAAGUUUCUCCCAAAGGGACGUCAACUGUUUAACCUUAUAACAACCACGGAUUGGAUCAGUCUGAAUCCUCCUCUUAAAGAUCACACCAUUCCUGAUCUCCCAAAUGACCCACCAGCAGGUUAUUAGUCCAGAUAAACUAUCGCUCUUAGACUGUGACCUCUUCUUUCUACUCCAUAUGUCCCAAGCCAUAUACACAUCUUCACCCAAAUCUCCUACUUGGACAUCCUCUAAUGACAUCGCCAUAAGAAAUUUGAAGAAUACAUAUUAAGAAAAACGAUAAUCUACUGUUUCCACAUCAGUCCCACACAACACGCAAUUCGUGUUUCCUAUCCAUCCUCUUUUUAAUAAAUUAUCUGCAGUUUUGGAGUUAACAGCUUGUUUUGGAUACUCUCUAAUACUACUUUUCGAAAUAGAGUUGUUACAGUUGCUCCUCUUGCUGAUGUACUGGAAGAUGCUACUGGUGUCGACCAAUAGUAGCUAGGUUAAAAUUUGAAACUGUUUCAAUCUUAAAACUUGUAAAUAAUAGUGUUUAAGAUUGUUUUUGGUUUCAUGUCAGCAUCUAUUUUGACAAAGCUGACUCUGUUUCCGGCUGAAUUUGUUUUGAAAUUGCUUCAGUUCGCCAUUUCAAUAUAAGCAACUGCUAAACUUGCAAAGACUCGUAAAGAUGGUAACAACAGCUGAAGUUAUUCUGAAUAAUCGCAUUUUUACAGAAGCUGUAUUUAUUUCAAGCAAAACAGUUUUGACAGGGCUAAAUUGGUCUCAAGCAUUCCGUAUCUACAAAUGCAGAAUUAGAAUUGAAGCAAAGCCAAAAUGACAAAUAUUUUUUCCUUUUGACGUAGGAUUGUUGGGCAUACACUUCACAGUUAGAGAAAAAUUGCAUAAUAGUAAAGUCGCAAAAUCGUAAAGAGAAUCGGUUCACAAAUAGAAGAUAAUUUUAAUUAAUAGCAUUGAUGUCUAAAAAAAAAAUUUCUCCUUCAUAAAGUUUUGAGUCAUCAUCCUACUCGCUUUCUUCAUUAAUUACCAUCGCUGCCAUCAUCAACAUGCAUCUUUGAUGCAUCAGGAUUUACCUGAAGUGAGUGAGCAAAAAAAGUCCUCCUUUAAUUAAGGGACCUUGCAAAAAAAAAAAAGAAAAAAAAAAGGGGUCCCCCUCCUCCUCAAACAUCUUCAUCUUCAUUGCGUUUUUAUUCUUUUCCUCCUUUCCAAGCACGAGAGAGGGCAAAANAAAGAAAAAUGAUAGUAUAAAGAGGUGUAAAUUAAGAAAAUAAUUUUUUUUUACGGCAAUUAAGAAAAUCAAUGCUAAUUAAAAAAAGGCAAUUUCGAACUGUGGUGCAGUGCUGCAGUGGUUUUCGUACUUUUUUUUUUUCUUUUUUUUUGGGGCAAUCGAAAUUUAUACAUAUCUUGGGGUGAAAGCCGUUCCCAUAUUAUUCAAUCCGACCGGACUCUGAAGCCAAAGAUUGCCGGAUUUAAUCUGAAAUUUUACUAUCAAUUUCAAAAUCAAAUUCGGAUCUGGAAAUUAAAAUUUCUUGGGGUUCAACUUAAGAUUCACUAUUCCUUUUUGAAUCCGGAUUCAAAUUAUUCAAAUCCAAAACUUUUUAACAUGCUUUUUUAAUUUCUUAAAUAAUACCAUUUAAGCAUCUUUCAGAAAUCUCAAACAUCUCCAUUGCGUUUUUUCUUUCCCCCCUCCGUUAGAAGGAAGAGCAUCUAUGCGCAUUCAGUGUGAGAAAAAAAAAAAAUUGCUACCUUUUUCCUGUACAUAGGCUAUAGGCCUCGUUACCGUCACUCACCGUUCAAACCGUUAGAAGGAAGAGCAAAUAAUAAUAAUAAUAAUAAUAAUAAUAAUAGUAAUAAUAAGGGUCCCUCGUUUUCCGCCUCUUCAUUUGAAAAUUGAAAGUGGACACGGAAACAACAAGAUCCAAAGAGCAGAUUUGAAACUGAUAAUAUUUUUAUAAUCUGUGCAAUAGGAUAAAGCCGAUUGAGGGACUAACGUGCAAAAGGUCAACGAUUCCCAAGCGUAGUUACCAGAGAGCAGCAGCACGAUAAUUGGAGCAACCACCUAUCAUCCCCGUAUUCUCUGCAAGGACGUUUGUAUUGAGAAGAAGCACAAAUAUAGCUAGCUGCUUUGGUAAUAGCGAUGGCGGAGGGGAUCGCAUUCGAUUUGGUGAAGGGAGUGCUCGGCAAGCUGGGCUCCGCUCUCGGGGACGAAAUCGGGCUGCUGCGGAGCUUCAAGCACGACGCGGACGACCUCAGAAGCAACUUCUCGGCGAUCCAGGCGGUGCUUCUCGACGCCGAGGAGCGAAGCAGCAGCGCUGGGAAGGAGAGCCACGCUCUGCGCGACUGGCUGCGCAAACUGAAGGACGCCGCCUACGACGCCGACGGCCUGCUGGACGAGAUCCGGACGCAAGCGGCCCUCCGGCAACAGCAGCAUCCGGAGGUGCAGAAUCAAAACCAGCCAGCUGAAAAGGUACGUGAAUUCCUGUCCCACGCUAAUCCGAUGCGUCUGAAGUUUAAGGUCAAGAUGGCACACAGGAUGAAAGAGCUCAGAGAAAAGAUCGGUAAGAUUGCGAAACAGAGGCAUGAUUUUGGUCUUGCCGAAGCUGGCCCUGGCCGGCAGGCUGAGUUCAAGCACCGUGAGACAUUCUCGGCCGUCGACGAAAAGGAAAUAGUUGGGAGAGAUGAUGAUAAAGAGAAAAUUGUGAAGCUACUGCUAGAGACGGGCGGCGAUCACGACGUGUCGGUCAUUCCGAUCGUGGGAUUGGGGGGUUUGGGGAAGACGACGCUCGCUCAAAUGGCCUUCAACGACGGGCGGGUUACGGGCCAGCAGCGCUUUGAUCUACGCGUGUGGGUCUGCGUGUCUACCGAUUUCCACAUGAAGACGAUCGCAAGGUCGGUCAAAUCUGCAACCAAAGAGGAGUGUGAUCUUGACAGCUUGGAAUCCGUCGCGAGUUUUCUCCUCAGGAUCUUUAGCCAGAAGAGAUUCUUGCUGGUGUUGGAUGAUGUGUGGAACGAAGAUAAAGGGAAGUGGAAGGAAUUGAAGGUUGUAUUUAAGGACGGCAGGCAGGGAAGUAAAAUCUUAGUAACCACACGAAGCGAAAAGGUCGCCGCGAUAAUGAAAACAGUCGAACCACACCGUGUGAAAGGCUUAUCAGAUGAUGAUUGUUGGACAUUGUUCAAAAGGCUGGCAUUCGAUGAGGGGGAAGAGAACGACUAUCCGAGUUUGGUCGCAAUCGGAAAGCAGAUAGUAAAGAAGUGCGGCGGCGUGCCUUUAGCAGCGAAUGCUUUAGGAAGUAUGAUGUAUUCAAAGAACAGGACAGAGGAUGCAUGGUCCGCUAUUAGGGAUAACGAAAUUUGGAGUCUGCAAGAAGAGAAAACUAUUUUACCAUCAUUAAAGUUGAGCUACAUUCAGAUGCCGUCGGCUUUGAAGCAGUGCUUUGCUUACUGCUCCAUAUUCCCAAAAGACUACGAGAUUGACAAGGAUGACUUGAUCCGGCAAUGGAUUGCUUUAGGCUUCAUUUCAUCGCAUGAAACAUGGACUUCGAUGGAAGAUAUUGGGAAUGAGUACUUUAACGAUCUAUUAUGGAUGUCUUUCCUUCAGGAAGUGGAGGAGGACAAAGAAUAUAGAAAGGUUACCACCUGCCGGAUGCAUGAUUUAGUGCACGACCUCGCACAAUCUGUAGCAAGAGAAGAAGUUGCUGUUAUAGUUGGAGAAGAGUCAACAAGGAUCCCGGAAAGUUGCCGCUAUGUCUCGAUAUACAGUCGUUUCACGCCACAGGUUUCAAUUACCGUAAUGCGGAGGUUGCGAGCUCUUCAAUUUAGGGAAUCUGGCUCACUUAUUAUGGCUUUUUAUAGCGAGGCAAAAUGCUUACGCCUGUUGGAUUUACAUGGUUCCGAAAUUUCUAUGCUGCCAAGCUCAAUCGGUAAGUUGAAGCUCUUAAGAUACCUCAACCUUUCGUCAACCAAUGUACAAGAACUGCCUGAAUCAAUUACCAGCCUCUGCAACUUGCAAUCCUUGAAUCUUUCAGGCUGCCGUAAGAUCCGUACAUUACCCAAAUUUCUAGGAAAGCUUACGAAUUUGCAGAAUUUAGAUUUAAGUGAUUGCCGAUCUCUGACAAUACCUGACUCCAUUAGCAACCUUCAGAAUUUGUACGCACUAAAUUUGAGUUGGUGCAAAAGGGUGAUAUCACUUGAAUCGAUAUGUCACCUCAAAAACCUGCAUUACCUAAACCUAUCAGAUCUAAAGUUUAUGGAGACUUUACCAAAAUCCAUUGAGAGCCUUCAAAACUUGCGUAUUCUGAAUCUUUCUAACUGCAUUUCUCUGCUAUCAUUACCCUCAUCAUUAUGUGAUCUCAAAAACCUGCAUGACUUAAACCUAUCACGUCUAAAAUCUUUGGUGAUAUUACCUGAAUCCAUUGGGAGCCUUCAAAACUUACGUAUUCUGAAUGUUUCUAAAUGCCAUUCUCUACUAUCAUUACCCUCAUCGUCAAGUGAUCUUCAGCAUUUAGAGAAACUUGACAUCAGUGGUUGUAAAAAAUUAUGUGAGCUGCCUAAA
This 106572-nucleotide long non-coding RNA is filed under the name Ananas comosus (pineapple). Its description in RNAcentral is "long non-coding RNA (ACOM_LNC007759)". The record is from RNAcentral. Lineage: Eukaryota; Viridiplantae; Streptophyta; Magnoliopsida; Poales; Bromeliaceae.